RNAcentral lists this long non-coding RNA (124266 nucleotides) under Fragaria vesca (wild strawberry). RNAcentral's name for it is "long non-coding RNA (FVES_LNC002549)". Lineage: Eukaryota; Viridiplantae; Streptophyta; Magnoliopsida; Rosales; Rosaceae. The record is from RNAcentral.
GUUUCAACAAAAUCAAGGAAAAUAAACUCAAUGCGAAAUGUAAAAUUUACACACAACUCCAAAUUGAGUUAAAUAUUACAUUUUCUUGUUUACAUAACUUGAGAACAAGAAAGGAAACGCUCACAUGAGUUUAAUAAUUCCUAUCCCCGUGUAUAUAAAAGAAUAUACAAAGACACACCCAAAACUCAACAAAAAACCCUGCCACUAAGCCUCCAUCUCAACCCUGCUGAUCCUCACCUGCAGGUCUAACCCCUACACCAAGAAAUGGUGCACCGGGUUGUAAACAACACACCCGGUAAGCUAAAAAGCUCGUAUGAGUAAACUAAAGAAAACAACACAACAUUUAUCACAUCCAAUAUUCACAAGAGAGAUUGGAUCAAUAAUUUCAAACCACACAUCAAACACAUUACCCAAGAGAGGUACCCAUGAGUCCCAAAUAUUAAUAAAAUACCUCUCAUGACCUACCACAACACUAUGUGUACCCAUGGGUCCCAGAUACCAUACAGUAUCUCCCAUGACCUACACUGACAGACGGACUAGAGCUCUAUUCCUAACCGCAACCAAUCACCCGGCCAAAGGCUUGGAACCCGGUUUGACUGUCUAAUAUCAAACACAAAAGUGAUAAAUAGCAUCUUAACCGCAACCAAUCACCCAAAAAGGGCUUGGAACCCGGUUUGACUAUUUAUCCAACAAUCAUAAUAAAUUUCACAACAAUAACCUCACAACACAUUAUCACAAUUAUUAUCGUCAACAACAUGAUAUAUCUCACAUUUAUUAUUCUCAACAUCACAAAAUAAAGAAGACUUGUUUUUAUCUUACCUAUGAGCCGUUGGCGAUCAAGCUCAUAUAUUUUUAAAAACAAUUAAAAGAAUAAUAAUAAAACCACCAUCAUCAUCAUUAUCAUUAUAUCAUCAGGUUCAAAAGUGAACCUUGAUGAGAUUUACUCACCUAAGUAUCCAGCUGCAAUUUCCACAACCAAAUUUAGCAAGCGAAACACAACUUCACAACCACCUAAAAACACACAAUUAAAACCUUAGUAACUAAAAUACUAUAGGUUAACACAAUACCCUUAACUAACCCUUAAUUCAAGAGAUGACAACUUUCCAAAGUCGUCGAGCUUAGAGACUCACAAAGGCUGCCUCUAAUUCUCCAUUCCUAACUCAAACCUCCACCAAACCUAAAAUCACACUUAACGUUCUAGCAUGCCAACAUUUCUUAAAAACUAGCCACACUACCACUCAACAAGCUCACAGCAGUAAGGACUACCUAACCACAGGAAACUAGGGCUGCAACUCAACCGGACGCGCCGCCACGCGCCGCCACAGGCGGCGGCGAGUGGGCCUCACGCGCCACCCCAAACUUCCGAAUUUGAGAAAACUCCCAACAGCAAAGUUGAAGCUUGAAGCAAGGGGAACAACUUUCAUACCUGAGACUUUGACCAAAAAUGGCCGGAACCGGCCGGAAACCGCCCCGAACGGUGCCCAGAAAAACAAAGGCAAAAUCUGCAAAACCGGCCUCAAAACCUUAAAAACUUGCUUCAACUAUGCCUAAACACUGCUAGGAGGAAGAGGGGAUCAAUACUCACCUAAACUUGGCCGGAAACGGCGUCGAAAUCGCCGGUUUUCCGGCGGAACAGCAGCAGCUCCGCCGCUUCGUGGCGGCUUCCAGGCGGCGGGACAGCCGGCGGAACUGCUCCAGAAAUGGAGAGGGCUGCUGUGGGAGUCGACUGGAACCGGUGGCGUCCGGUUUGGUGGCCGGAGGAGGAAGAAAUCGGCUGAAGAAAGUGAAGGCUCGGGGAGCUCGGGAGAGGAGAAGAGGAAGGGAAAAAAAAGAGAGAAAAAAAAGUGAGGAGAGAGAGAGAGAGAGAGAGCUGCUUUNNNNNNNNNNNNNNNNNNNNUAUGAACAGACUUGCAUGCCUUAGUUAACAUUGAUAUCAGUAACAUUUAGUCAGAAUCAACAUAUUAAGAACCAAUUAACCAAACAGUUAGUAUUCCAAUGUUUGUUUUGAUAAACAAGCAUACGACAGGGAACAAUUCACCACAAUCAAACUGAUCAAUCUCUUGUUUUUUUUGCUUCAGAUGAUUGAAUAUGGAUCGAAUAGAGAAAAAUUGAUUAUCAAAGAGAGAAAGGAAGAAAUAGACGAUUGCUUCAGACGUACCUGCUGUCUGCUGACGAAUCUGGGAAGAAGAUGGCGACGAGCUUGGCCUUGGAGGUGUCGACGGCCUCGUGGUCGGGGCAGGGCCGAGGGCGUUGAGGACGGAGGGGAUCUGGGAGACGUCGGAGACGGCGCGGGUCAGAGAGGAGGUGAAGAAUGGAAUCGUCUAAGAAAUCGGAGAGGAGAAAAGUUGUGGAGCAGAGAUUGAGAGGGGUGGAAGCAGAGAGAAGGUGAAGAAGAAGAGAGAAGAGUUGUGGAGGUGGGUAUAAAUUUUUUUUUUUCAUUGGGCUGGGCUGUGAUAUAUAUAUACAUAGGGGUUUUUUUGGCCCAAUUUUCGGUUGGGCUGUAGCCCAUACAGCCUUUGCUUUGCUUCCGUCCCUGCAUAUAUGGCUUGAUGCCCUUUAACUCUAAAAUGAACUGGCCUCAGUGUCGAAAGUAUUUAAAUGUGGUGUCUUGUCACUAACUAUCAUUUUUCUUUUAAAUAUAUAUAUUGGCAUGAAACCCUACCUUACUGCUGACACCAUUGGAAUACAUUUUUGUUUUUUUGGUUACAUGACACCCAUUGGAAUAUUGUUGUACUGUCUACGGUCUACCACUUUUUUUUCGACCUCUUUUUUACCUUUUGGGAAUUGUGUUCAAGUGUAUUAUCUCUGGAAAUCAGCAUACACUCGUAUGAAAACAUCCGGCGUUCUUCUGAAGGGAUUUCAAUUUCUUCAUUGAUCGCUUUUUUUUCCACAUUUUCGGAUCCAUCAAUGCAUCAUGCAUGUUACUAGGAAUUAAUAUACGUACCGUAAAUAAUUGAUUAACAACAUGUGCAUGUGACUUGAAAAACUAAUGGUUAGACACAAAAACCAAAACCAAAGCCAAAUGCCUUGUAGCUAACUUUAUGUCUAACCAUAGGUUUUCCGAGACACAUGCUCUUGUUAUUGAUCAAUUAUCUACUGUAUCUAUUUCUAGUAACUUGCAAGAUGGUUUGGCUGAUCCAAAAUAAAGAAAAAGCAAUGAAUGAAGAAUUGAGAUUCCAUUGGAAGAAUGCAAUGUGGGAGAUAGUAUUCCAUGUCUGUCGGAAAGAAAACUAUUAGGCAUUGUUGGGCGCUUACAAUGAACCUUAAGCCAAAUGAAACUAUUGACAGAUACAAUGCAAAAUUGGUCUCAAGGAAUGUGCAUUACGCUAUGGAAUCCAGCUCGGAGACAUAACCGGAAACUAGAAUAUAAAACUACGGAAUCCAUCAAUUCCUACCUUUUAUGUUCUCAGAAAAGAAAAUGCCGCGAAUAGUCUCCUCGGGGACUUGGGCAGGUCGCGGUUCAAGGGCUAAAUAACGCCAGUAGGAGCCUGAAACGACGUUUUAGAGAAUUCCAGAAGGGUAGAGCACGGACCCUUCUUCAAACGGACCUUCAUUCUAUGAUUAGAUUCGCAACCAGGGAACCUAGAGAGGCAGGUAAGGGUGGACCGAACUAGCGCUCGUUUAUGAUGAUUUCACAAUUCUAGCCGAUUGUUCUCGAGUCCUCGCGAUGGAGCAGCAUCCUCGAGCUCGAGAACCCCUGUCUAAUAUGUUCCAAACCCAUAAUAUAAAAAAGUCUAGUCGGAAGGCUAAAGCAGACUGGGGCCAAUUACUCGAGAGUGGGGCUAAGAAAAAAAAUUGGUUGUAACUAAAGUCCUUUAACUGAACUGGUCAUUUAGGCAAAUUGUUCAUAAAAAAAUGUCCUCACACCUCCAAAUGAGCUUCCUUCAACGCCAAGCAAGUCGAACAGAAACCCAGGUUAAUUAUGUACUUUUUUGAACUUGUGGCGAAGUGAAAAUAGUUUCAACAGUAUAAUUCUAUUUUGUAGUGCCUUUUAACCAAAUACAAUUAAAUUACUGUUGAAACUAUUUUUAGUUUAUAAACAAUAUUGUAAAUACAUUUCUUAAUAAAAUUUGACGAUGUUGUUGAGAUCCUAGAUAAAGUGAAUUCAUGUUAAGAGUUGAGACCAUUUGAAUGUGGUGUCAAGUCAUGUUGGUACUGGUUUUGGCCGGUUGAGAAUUCACAGGUGGUAGAUGGAUGUAGGUCCAAGAAAGCCAACCUGCGGCAGGCAAGCAUCGGGUUAGAAACUAACUUGGUACAAUUUAUGUGCUAACUGGUUUCAUGUCAACUUUUCAAUAAUGCAAUCAACCUUCUACUUCUGGUAAGUUCACGACUUGAUAUACAGUCUCCCGCCAACUGGUUAAUUUUACCAAACCAGGUUUACAGGGGCGUACUCGAAUGAUAAUCGAAUCUCACCGACGCCCACUGGAAAUUUGGAGCCUGCAAUGAUGUAAGGUCACAGAUGAAAUAGUUAAUUGCAUAUUCGUACAUAGUGACAUGUAGAGAGUGACGAGAUAUAGGUAAGAGUAUCUUGAAGUCAAAUAUAAAAGGCGCAGUUAAUUUCAUUAGAGACUUGAAGUCAAAUGAUUGUGUUCAUAUUUCAAGCAUUCUUCAUCGGUUGUCAUCCUUGCUACCGAUAAAAGGUAUCAAAAAAUUAAAAGGAAAUCCUUUGGUUAUGUGAUCUAUGAUUUUUUUAUUUAUUUAUUUUUUUAAAAGAUGUCAUCCAUUAAUGAAACUCAACGAACAAUACAAUAAUGAUCUGCCGAGAGGGCCGUCAGAAAAAACCAUCAUGCAGAACAACUAUCUUAGUACGCUCUUCACACAAACAUACCAAAACACUCACUCCAAGUACAUUCACCUUCUACGAAGAUAAAACCAAAAACAAAAAGAUUAAAAACUCCGAAGCGUAAUAAACUGUAACAUCAGAAUUCUUAUCUUCAUAUUGGUCUCCCGAUCAAAAUCAAGCGGGUACUAUAGCAGAAGUGGAGCUCACCCCUUCUGCUACCUCCCUAGCCAUCUCCACUGCAAACGCUUCUGUUGAACAAAGCCCGCAACCAACCUCAAAAGCCAACGCCUAACAGAGAGAAACACUAGCUGAUCCAACCCAGGUCCAAACCAGCCAAAACCCUAGAGGAGCCAAGAAGGAGACCAAAGUAGCCGCUUUCUCCUCAUCUCCGCCGCUGCCACCGCGACCAAGCCGUGUCGCCGGCGUACCCUCCCCUUGAAACGAAGACCAUAAGCCAGCAUCCAUACUAGCCACCUCCACAGCCGCCACUACACCACCACCCCUCCCUCUGACAUCACAAAGAAGGAGAAGAUCUAAUCCAUGGUUGUCGACAUCAGCUUUUCCACCACUGUGCGCAAUGACCCCCGCCCUCCAUCCAAAGCCAUGGCAACCCAACAACAGAUCUGGGUUUGUUAACCACUUAACCCACCAGUAACACUCACAGUAAGAGGAUUAAGGCCAGAGCCUUGGUUUAAGAGAUGUCGUCGAGCUAACCCGCCGACACCACCACAAGUUGAACAAGAGAGAGGAGGAAAAGCUUCCCAUGCAAUCGAAGGUACAAAGUCACCGUCAACCGAGACUGAGCGGCACCGAGAAAACUCUCUUGCGAGAGGCAGAGAGGAGAACAUGUUAUUGAAGUUAUUGUUGUUAUCUUAGUUUGUUUGAUGGGAUGCAUUAAUCGAUAUCUACAAAAAAGCGGGUUAGCAAGCGAUCAAACAAUGACCGAUAUAUAUUGAUGGCGUUCCCAUCCUCAAGUCUCGUUCCAUGCAUGGUAGAAAAAGAGGAAAUUGAUUCGCACUUCUCAUUUUACAAUUUAUACUCAUUAUUUCUUUUGUUUAUUAACUUCAAUCUUUUGGUAAUGUGAUAACAUGUGUUUUGUUCUUUUUAACAGAAAACUGGAACAGAGAGCGUAGAUUGUGAAAUGGAAAAUGCACUUUCCAUAUCAAACGAAAGAUUCUAAUCUAAUGUUGCUAUGUUGCUGAUGAUUGUUUAAUUUUUACUCGAGCAUCGUAUACUGCUCCAAAGAAUGUAAUCAACUUAUUGUCUACUUUUUCAGAAGCUUCAGGUCAGCAAAUUAACUACCAUAAAUCAACAAUUUAUUUUUCUACUCAUCUUUCUGCUGCUUCUGUUAAACGUGAUCUUGCUGCUUACUUGGGAAUUCAACAUAAAACUAGUAUAGGUAAGUAUUUAGGAGUCCUAAACAUUAUUUACUGGAAAGACCCUAUCAAUUUUCAUGACAUAAUUCUUAAAAUGAAGAGGAAGUUAGCUGGUUGGAAAGCUAAUACCUUGUCUAGAGGAGGUAAGUUAACUCUUGUGAAUCCAACCUCACAGGUAUGUCUAAUCAUAUACUUUCUUGUUUUAAAUGUCCUCGUCAUUUUCUUCAUAAGAUAGAUAAAGAAAGUCGACAGUUCUUUUGAGGCUCUAGUCAUUCUAAUGUAGCUUGGAAUCAAACUACGUACUUUACCUAAAGGCUAAAGAUAAAGGGAGUUUGGGUAUACGAUCUGCAGAGGUUUUUAACUGUGCUGCACUAACGAAACUAGGGUGGAAGAUUCUAACCGAACCAAGUAAUUGGGGGGUACAAGUAGUAACUAGAAAAUAUUUACGAAAUACUAAUUUCCUUAAUGUUCCUCGCAAAAAGAAUGCUUCUCUAGCCUGGAAAGGAAUCGACACUAGAGAUGUCCUACUUGAAGGCCUUCGCUGGAUAAUAGGUGAUGGGGAUUCAAUUCUUUUUUAGCCUUUUAAUUGGGUACUCCCAUAUUCUUUGUUCCAUCUAAUCCCAUCCGAUCAAAGACAUGUCUUAGAUUCGAAUCUCAAGGUUUCUGAUUUUAUUGUCAAUGGACAAUGGGAUUCUAACAAGUUACAUACUCUUUUGCUUGUUAAUAUUGUUAGCCAAAUUUGUGCAAUUCCUUUGCCUAUUUACCAUACCCUUGAUGAAUUCGUCUGGGGACCUAGUGGUUCUGGUAAGUUCAGUAUUAAAUGUGCAUCUUCAAUGCUAGAUAGUAAGGCUAUUCCGCAUACUGCAGCUAGAACUCCUAGUCGGAUGUGGAAACUAAAACUACCUCCUAUAAUUCAAGUUUUUGCCUGGUUAUUAUUGCGUAAGAGACUGGUUAUCACGUUUUUACUCUAGUAUCUCUCCCAUUUGUCCUUUUUGUCAUUUACAUAAUGAAUCAGCAUCUCAUAUUUUCCAGCAUUGCGAUUUUGCAAAACAGGUUUGGUCUUUGGCCCAGACACCCACACCUACUUUGUGGGAAGGUUCUAUUUAUUCUUGGUUGGAUCAUAUCUGUUAUUCUACAUCCCCUGAGAUUACUGCUUUAAUCUUUCUUAUAUUAUGGUUACCCUGAAAGCCUGUACAGGUUAUCAACCACGCUCCAUCCACAGGGUUACGACUUGCGAAUAACCAGAAGACUUCAAGCAAUUUCUUCAGAUGCUAAAAAGAGUGGGAGACAAAGAGUAAGUAAACAGACCUCUAACCAGUUGAGAAAAUUGUCAUGGCAUUGGUAGAUAGAUAAAGAUUACUAACCUGAAUCGCACUAGUAGAAAAAAGGCUUAAGCAAUGGGCACUUUCACAUUUCGUCGCUUAAGCAAAUCCUAAGCGACGAAAAAAAUAUCGUCGCUCUAAAUACAUAUUUCAUCGCUACAAUUUUCUGGGGUGACGAAAUGUUUUUGUCGCUUAAAUUUCGUCGCCACAGGUCCCACUAAGGCGACAACAAGGAUUUUGUAGCAAAAGAUUUGUGUAGCGACGAAAAUGUUAACACUUAAGCGACGAAAAUGUUUGUGGUAUUAUAUCCUUCACCUAACCGACAAAUUGACUUUUCGUCGUCUUAGGUUUAGACUAAAGCGACAGAACUUUUGACUUUAGAGCGACGAAAAUGUUUGUCGCAUGAUAUCUUUCACCUAACCGACAAAUUGACUUUUCGUCGUCUUAGGUUAAGACUAAAGCGACAUAACUUUUGACUUUAGAGCGACAAAAAUGUUUGUCGCAUGAUAUCUUUCACCUAACUGACGAAUUAAUUUUUCGUCGUCUCAGGUUAAGACUAAAGCGACAGAACUUUGACUUUAGAGUGACGAAAAUGUUUGUCGCAUGAUAUCCUUCACCUAAGAAUAAUUAUAUUCUUGCAUUCUAGCUAUUUACAUGUUUAGCCCUAGAAAUCCCGUUUAAGAAUCAUUUUGUUACGACUUUGUUUGACAAAAUGAUUCUUGAAUUGUCCCAUUUUUGGACAGUUUGGGAGAACAUGACUUUGAUUUGCACUGAUUUAUGUUAUUGUAGUUGAGUUUUCGAUAGUGAGUAAUUUCGACAGGGUCUCCUGCUACUGCACAUUAGGUAUAAAAAUUGAUGCAUUUGGGGAACUGUAGGGAGAUGCUGCCGAAAUUUUUCCACGUCGGAUUUGAAACCACAAUAACAUAAAUCAGUGCGAAAUAAAGUCAUGUUCUCCUGAAUAGGAUUAGGACCCUAACCGGAGGCAUAAGGUGAAGAAGAAGAAUUGAAUGGAUAUAUGUGCUUAUUUGUUGCUAACGAUGUGCAUUUUUAUUUCUAUUAUGACAGGCAUGUAGAAAAAAUGGAAAAGAGCUGGAUGCAGUACAAGAGGGGACACCUUUUAUAUAUACAGGGGAUCGUAGAUUUUCUGAAAUUUGUACAACAAUACGAUGGUGGAAAGGAAUGGCACAAGUGUCCGUAUAAAAGAUGUUGUUGCGGUAGUUGGGAGACAAUUCAGGGCAUAGAAAAACAUUUGUCACAUUACAACAUUGAUCUAUAUUAUACUACAUGGACUGAACACGGUGAAGUGCUAGUUAAUGAUCCUAUAAUGCCCCAUUUUCUACCAAAUAACUUGCAUGAGGCUGGCUCAUCUAGUGCUUCCGCCAGCCCUUAUAUGGAUCCCACGUUGAACAUGCUACAUGAUGCUUUUCCAUACGCUUCAAGAUAUCAUCAGGAAGAAACUCAUCAUGAUGCACCCCAGGAAACAGAUUCUACUUUCUCGAACCUAAACACUGGUGAUUACGAUAAGUAUAACAAGAUGCUCGAAGAAGCGCAGACCCCAGUGUACGAGGGAUGUUCAGAAACUGUUUUGAGUUCUCUCAUGGAACAUAUGAGUUUGAAAAAGAAGCAUAGGACCUCGAACAAACAUUUUGAUGACUAUUCAUCGUUUGUUAGACGUUUGCUUCCUCCUGCAAACAAACUACUAUCGAGUCAUUACAAGGCAAAAAAGAUCAUGAACGACCUCGGUCUUGGUUAUGUGAAAAUUGAAGCUUGUAAGAAUAAUUGUGUUAUGUUUUACGGAGAUUACAAAGACAUUUAAAUGUCCCAAGUGUAAUGCGUUGUGGUGGGAAGAUACUCUUUCCCCUAAAGGGAAUGAAUGUGCUUCGUUAUUUCCCGUUGACUCCUAGGCUGCAACGUCUCUACAUGUGUGGAAAAACUGCUGAGGAUAUGAGAUGGCACGGUAUUCCGAGGGAAGAUGACAAUGCGCUGAUACACCCCGUAGAUGGGGAAGCAUGGAAAUCCUUUGAUUUAUCAGUUACUGAUUUCGCUGCAGACGUUCGAAAUGUAAGACUCAGACUCUCAACAGACGGGUUUAAUCAUUUCGGAAACAUGAACUUGUCUUACAGUAUCUGGCCUGUUAUUAUUGUUUGUUACAACCUGUCUCCCUGAAUGUUAAUGAAGAAGGAAUAUAACAUGUUGGCUUUGUUAAUUCCAGUACCAAAGUCUCCAGGAAAGUUUCUCGAUGUGUAUUUGAGACCACUGAUUGAUGAGUUGAAUGGGUUAUGGGAAAAUGGAGCAUUGACUUUUGACAAGCAUACCGAUACUUCAUUCAUGAUGAGAGCAUCACUGAUGUGGAUUAUUAACGAUUUUCCUGGUCACGGGAUGUUGUCCUCUCAUCCCACUAAAGGGUACAAAGCUUGUCCACUAUGCUUAACCGACAUCAAUUCUAGUUGGCACACUAAUAGGGUGUGUUAUAUGGGAGCUCGUAGAUGACUUCCAGAUGAUCAUGAGUGGAGACUUGAUGUAGUUAACUUCGAUGGGAAACAAGAGUUUGGUCUGAAACCCCGAGAAUGGAGUGGCGAUGAAAUUUUAGAUUUGUUGAACUCCUUUAACUUUGAAAAUCUGAGCAGUGAUCGUGAAGUAUUGGCUCGGGAUCCUAAACGUCAUUCGUAUCUUGAUAAUUGGACACAUAAGAGUAUAUUCUUUGAGCUGCCUUACUGGUCAAAGUUAAGAAUAAGACACAACCUAGAUGUUGUGACGACAUCGUUGGAACAAUUCUGGAUAUAAAAGAAAAGACCAAGGACACUAUCAAAGCACGGUGCGAUUUGCAAAAUAUGGGUUUACGCCCACACUUGUGGGUAAAACAAACCGGCUCUAUAGUUGUUAUGCCUAUUGCACCGUACCAGGUGAAGCCGGCUUUGAGGCCUAAAGUUUUCAGCUGGAUUCAAGAUGUUAAGUAUCCUCAAAGGUAUGCAGCAAAUAUAACUCGAUGUGUUAAAGUGGGGGAAGAGAAGAUAAUUGGAAUGAAGACGCAUGACUGUCACGUUUUGUUGUAGCGGCUCUGGCAGAAGUUAUGCAUCGUGAUUAGACCAUAUAUGCAUCGUGAUGUUGUGGAGCUAUUAGUAGCCUUGUCCCGGUUCAGGCAAAAGUUAUGUGCUCGGGAGUUGAAAAAGUCAGAUGUCCUUAAAUUAAACAUCGUCUGCAUCCUUUAAUUUGCAAACUGGAGAGGAUUCCCCCCCCCCCCCCCUUUUUUUUUUCUAUUAUGGUUCACCUCAUGAUCCACCUGCCUGAAUAAGUGUUGUUUACCGGUCAAGUACACAAUACCUGGAUGUUUCAUAUGGAAAAGUAAAUUUACUAUUUCCUAGCACUUUAUGACUUUGAUUUAUAUAUUAUUAACGAGCUCAAUAAAUUAACUCUGACCUUUUAUUUUCUUUAAGACAACUCGGCGGAUAUAAGGGGUAUGUUAAAAAUAUCGUCCGGAGGGGUCAAUAGAAGAGGCAUACAAGAUACAUGAGUGUGUAACCUAUAGUGAAAAUUAUCUCCAUAAAAAACAGAGCAUGUCGGCAGUGAGAUUACACCUAGGUUCAACUUUUCAGUUGUUUCUGAUGAUAUCUGUUUGUUUGGGAAAUUAUCAAUUUCUGAAAGAUUCACCGAUGAUGAGAUUGUUGAGGCUCAUUGGUGGGUACUGUGACACUGUGACCAAGUCGACAUGUUUAGACAUCCACAUGAACAACUUUGCAAAAUUAAAUAUGGUGACAGAUGGGAAGAGAUGCAGAAGAAGACAUUUCCUAAAUAUUACACAAAAUGGGUGCGUUUCUGUUUCAUUUUUUUACACGAGAAAUUAACAUGUUUUGAUGUUUUUUCAGGUUUGUGAUUCCAAAAAUUAACAUGUUUUGAUGUUUUUUCAGGUUGCAAAGUUGCAAGAAGAAAAUAGUGUACAUUACAAACCCGUGUUGUCUUAUUUGGCUGGUAAGCCGCAACAUGUGAAUAUAUAUGCUGCUUGUGUAGUCAACGAUAUUAAGUUUUUGACAUUGCAUCGAGAUUAUGGUUGAAAGACACAAAAUAGUGGCGUGAUGUGUGUGGGUACGGAAGACAGAUCUGAAUAUUACAAGGUCGUUGUAUCUGUUGUCGAGCUAGUCUACGCAACUGGUAUGCCAGUUGUAUAAUUGAAGUGUAGAUGGUUCAACGACCUAAAUAUACUGAGGAGUACCAAGAUGAAUCAUGGUCUGUUAUCAGUGAAUACAUGCACAAGCUGGUAUGAGAAUCAACCGUUUAUUGUUGCCACAAUGGCAAGACUAGUUUUUUAUCUUGAUGAUCCAAAAGAGGGUGGGGGUUGGAAAGUUGUUAACGUGAUGUUACAUAGAGGUAUUUACAUUGCAACUACACUUGAGAUGUAUAUUGCAAAUAGAGAUAUUGAGAAUGUGACUUUUGAACUAUAUUAACAAGCCUCGACAUCUAAUAUCCCCGACACGGAGACUAUUCACAUCAACAACGACAUCCACUUCCAACCCCGUGAGCGCGUUCCCAUUUCUAAUUUAGAGUUUGACUUUGAUUCACUUCCAUUCAUCCCACCAACUGAGAACUUCAUUGACGACGAAGAGGAAGACUCAAACGAUCAUUCAUAUGAAGUGAGGGUGAUUUAGAAGACGGGGACUAUGAUGAUAGCGAUUCAAAACUCAUGAUGUGUUAAAACAUCAAAUUUUCGAUUUAAUUAUGUUAUGAAUUUAAUUAUUAUAUAUGUAAUGAAUUUAUUCUAUUAGUUGUGAUAUGUACUAAUUUCCGUUUGAUUUAGUUUUAUACUUUACUAACAUUUUAUGAGCUAGUAUUAAUUAGUAAAAAGUGAAAUAUAAAUGAUUUUCCAACUUAAGCGAUGAAUUUUGUCAUUUCCGUCACUUUAAAACGUAUAUUAUUUGGUGAAAAAUCAAAAACUUAAGCCACUUAGGCAACAAAAAAGAAACAGAUCGUCCCUUUGACCCAAAUAUUUGGCGAGCUGCUUUUCAUUCCCAAAUUUUGGCCUAAAUUUGAACGAACUUAAGUGACAUAAGCCAUAAAGGUAUUCGUGGCUCAUUUGUUACUGUCACGCCCCAAUUUUCGAAAGAUAAAUUUUCAAAAAUUUGGGCAUGAUAUAACACCAAAUCUUAAAAUUCCAAAACCUGCUCAAACAACUUCCGAACUAAAAACAAAUACUGGAAUUGUAAACGUCAACAAACUCAUCAACCGAGUUAAACAUUACAUCUCCUUAAUUACAACAACUUCAAAAGUCUAGUAAUAAAGGGUCGCUCACAUGAGCUUAAAAACAACCGCCAUGAUAUACAAAAAAAGUACAUCGCCUAAAACCCAGCUCCUAAGCCACUGCCUUAACCCUGCUGAUCAACACCUGCAGGUCUAACCCCUACACCAUAAAUUGAUGCACCGGGUUGUAAACAACAAACCCGGUAAGCUUAAAAAGCUCGUAUGAGUAACUCUCAAAAUAAAACUCAACAAUUUCAACAUCACAUAAGAUAACACUGGAAAUUCCUGCAUUAAUAACUUAGUUCAGGAAUCACCUAAAAGCAAGAGAAUUUAAAAGAACUAAUUAAGAGAACACAACAAUUCAAAAUCACUCAAAAUCAUAAAUGAAUCCUGCAAAAAAACGUAGUUCAGGAUUCCACUAAAAAUCACACAAAUAAAAUUAAAGAAUCUCCUACAUUAAGCAUAGUUCAGAAGAUAUUUAAAACAAGGAAUUUAAAUGACAACAUAUGAGAACAUCACACAAUCAUUUCUCAACCCUUACUUAAGAGUUCGUCAACACAUAGUCAUCCCUCAUAAGUAACUAGACAAAGACGUACUCAUGAGUUCGUCAACACAUAGUCAUCCCCCAUGAAGUACCGACAGACUAUAACUCUAUACUGACCGUAACCAAUCACUCGGCCAAGGCUUGGUUCCCGGUCCACCACGAAAGCUCCUAAUCUAAUGCACACAAUCACCACUAAAGCACACAUCCACAACUAAUACACACAAUCACCACUAAGGCACCAUUCCACAAUGAAUGCACACAAUCACCGCUAAGACACCAUUUACAACUAAUGCACACAAUACCAAGGCACCAAUAAUCACAAUGAAUACACACAAUCACCACUAAGGCACACAUGCACAACUAAUACACAAAUAACCACAUCAAUAGAACCAGACAAGCGACACCUCACUAGAAUAUACUUUUUCACGAAGGGAUAUAUAUAUACACAAAUAUAGAUUUUCUCACAAGAAUAAUCUACCAAGAACUAAAAAUAUUGUAGUCACUAGAACCUUAAAAAUGAUCAUUUAAAAAUGAAAAUUUGUUUUCUCUUACCUAUGAGCCGUUGGCAAUUAAGCUCAUAUAUUUUAAAACAAACAAAAAGGAAAACAUAAUUUUAAAUUAUUAUCAUCAUCACAAUCAUCAUAAUCAUCAAUAUUUUCAUCAACAUAAUCAAUAUCAUCCUCAUCAUAAUAAUCAUUAUCAUCCUCAUCAUAAUUGUAAUACCCUAGAUUUUCAUAUAUUAUUCCCUUAUUUAAUGAAGGAUUAUUUAUGAAAAUUCUUUGGUUUAUGCGAAGUUGAAGUUUCAGGAGUUUAUUUUAAGGUGCUUUGAUUUUAAGAGGCCAAAAGUUGACUUUAUUUUCUGUAAGUUAUCUUCAAAAACUUCCUUCAUGAAAGUUGUAGAGUUUGUCGAUACGAGUUUGUAGACAUGAGGCAUGCUUGAAACGGAUGUCGUAUGGGAAAGUUAUGGUCAAAGGAAGUUAGUUUUCGGGUUUGGAAAGUGUAUAAGUAGAAAAAUGUGUGUGGGUUAAUUUUUGGAACCCUAAAAUCAGCUCACUCUCCACACUCUCCUCUCUCUCUUCUCUCUCUUCUCUCUCUUCCUCUCCCGAGUUCCCCCGAACUCCCUCUCUUUUUCGGCCGAGUUCUCGCUCCUCCGGCCACCAAACCAGACGCCACCGGUCCCGUUCGACUCCCACAAGUGCUCUCUUUAAGGCUGGGCAGCUGCUACUCAGUGUGGCGCGUCGGAAUCAGAGCUCUGUUGCUGGAAAGAGGGCUGAUGUGCCACCGGUCGGAGCUGCCGUAUACGGCGGCGACAAGGGGAAACCAUAUGUGAGUUUUGAUCAUCUCCUCCUCCUGGUAGUGUCUAGGCAUAGAUUAAUCAAGUUUUGAGGUUUUUGAGCCCAGAUUUGCAGGUUUGAAGUUUGAUUUCGGGUUAGGGUUUCGUGGCGUUUUCCGGCCGGUUCCGGCCAAAAUUGGUUGAAGCCUCUGGUAUGAAAGUUGUUCCCCUUGCUUCAAGCUUCAACUUUGCUGUUGAGAGUUUUCUCAAAUUAGGAAGUUUGUGGUGGCGCGUGGCAGCGCGUCCGGCUGUGGUUUUGGCUUAGGUUGCUGUGUUUUAGCUAGCACUUGUUGUGGUGAGCUUGUGGAGAUGUAGAAUUUCUAGGUUGUGAGCAAGAUUUGUAUGUUAGGACUUUAAGGUUGUUAUUAGGCUUGGUGGGGGUUUGAGUUAGGAUUUGAGGAUUAGAGGCAGCCAUUUUAGGUCUCUAAGUUCGAUGACUUUGGAAAGUUGUCCUCCCUUGAACUAAGGGUUAGUUUAAGGGUAUUGUGAUAACCUAUAGUAUUUUAGUUACUAAGGUUUUAAUUGUGUUAUUUUUAGGUGAUUUGUGAAGUUGUGUUUGGUUUGCUAUUGUCGACUUGUGGAAUUUGCAGCGGGAUUUUUAGGUGAGUAAAUCUCACUAAGGUUCACUUUUGAACCAAAUGUUAUUAUGGUCAUGUGAUGAUGAUAAUGAUGAUGAUGUUGGAUUUAAUAAUAUGCUUUUAAUUGUUUUUAAAAAUAUAUGAGCUUGAUCGCCAACGGCUCAUAAGUAAGAUAAAAAUAGAUUUUCCUUAUAUGCUAUUUCUGAGAUUCAUGUGAUCAUAAUUUUAUUUAUUAUUGAUAGAUUAUUCUUGUGGAAUAUCUAUAUUUUGUUCAAGUAAAUAUAUCUAUGUGCAAAGAUAUAAUUUAUGAUGUAAUAUUGUGUUGUUGAGGAUAAUGUUGGGAUAUUGUGAUUGUUGGAUAAAUAGCCAAACCGGGUUCCAAGCCUUUUUUUGGGUGAUUGGUUGCGGUUAAGAUGCUAUUUAUCAUUUUUGUGUUUGAUAUUAGACAGUCAAACCGGGUUCCAAGCCUUUGGCCGGGUGAUUGGUUACGGUUAGGAAUAGAGCUCUAAUCUGUCUGUCAGUGUAGGUCAUGAGAGAUACUGUAUGGUAUCUGGGACCCAUGGGCACACAUUUUGUUGUUGUAGGUCAUGAGGGGUAUUUAUUAAUAUCUGGGACUCAUGGGUACAUGUUAAUUGAAAAAGUGUUGGAUUUGUGGUUUUAUUUAUUGAUAUAAAUUGCUCUUGUGAUAUAAUUGGUGUUAUUUUGAGAAUUACUCAUACGAGCUUUUUAGCUUACCGGGUUUGUUGUUUACAACCCGGUGCACCAAUUCUUGGUGUAGGGGUUAGACCUGCAGGUGAGGAUCAGCAGGGGUUGAGGCGGAGGCUUAGUAGCAGGGUUUUUGUUUAGUUUUGUUGUACAUUGUAUAUUUUUAUAUUUGGGCUAGACUUUAUUAAAACUCAUGUGUGUAGUUUCAUUUUCUUGAUUUUCAAAUUUAUGUAAACAAGGAAAUGUAUUAUUUAACUCGAUGUUGAGUUGUGUGACUUUUACAUUUCCAUAUUAAGUUUUAGUUUCUUUGAAGUUGGUUUGGAAACAGGUUUUGGGACAAUAAUAUCAUGCCAAAAUUUUUGAAAAUUAUCUUUUGAAAAUUGGGGUGUGACAAUAAUAAUCAUUAUCAUCAUCAUCAUCAAAAUAAUCAUUAUCAUCAAAAUAAUCAUUAUCAUCCUCAUCAUAAUAAUCAUUAUCAUCAUCAUCAUAAUAAUCAUAUCAUCCUCAUCAUAAUAAUCAUUAUCAUAAAACUAAAUAAUUUGGGUCCCAAAGUGAAAGUUGGUGAGAUUUUACCCACUUUAACUCCUGCUGCGUCUUCACACAAACACAAAAGAAAGCUCAAACCAAGCUCCCGAUAACCACCUAUUAAUAAAUUGUUCACUUUAGUAACCAACAUGACCAAAACACUUCCCCCUUGAACCAAGACUCUACCCUUGACCCAAGGUCUUGUCCUUCAAGACAACUCUUCUUCCGAGACCUCCCAAGAUAAUAGGAACCCUCAACCAACCUAUUGAAAAAGGUUAACAAGAUUUUCCACCAAAGCUUAACAACCUCUCCCGAUUCUCAACUUAGUCUUAAACCUAGGAUGCAAAACUUGAUCAUAACAUAACCUCAUGACAUGUUAACGUGCUCGUAUCGAUGAGCACAAGCUAACAGUUACUCCUAACCUCCCAACCCCUACCGGACGUGCCGCCACGCACCACCAAAGACGGCGGCGAGUGGGCCCCACGCGCCAUCCAAAAACUUUUGAAUUUGGGCAAACUCAAAACACGAAACUUGUAGAUGGAAGAGAGAGAAGCGUCUUUUAUACCUGAGGUUUUGCCCCACUCGGCCGGAAAACGCCGGAAAACACCAGACUUGUCGAAAAAGUUGGAAUCCACCACCAUCACUCUACACCAAGAGUCGAGCUUCAAGACCACCUGAAAUCGAACUAGGACGCCAAGGAGCUUCAAUCUCGACCAUUUCCAAGCCGCGUCGCCGCCGCCGGAGGUGGGAAUCCCAACCGAUCUCCAAGCAUAACUUUCGAGCUUCGGUUACCACUUCGGGACCAAAUCGGCGUGACCCAGCUAGAGGAGAACGAAGGCAAGGAGAAGAGGAGUCGAUUCGGGCCGGUGGCACGGUCAGGCGACAUCGGACGGCGCCGGAAAGUCCGGGUCGGGUCAACCGGGUUCGGGUCGGGUCAGACAGAAAACUUGGAAACCGAAGGUGAGGCGCGGGAGAAGAAAGAGGAAGGAAAGUGAUGCGGGAAAAAAAAUGAGGGAACCCAAUAACUUUUUCAUAGUUAUACUAAAAAUUCCCGAAAGCCACAAACUUUUGCUGAUCAUAAUUUCCACAUACGAAGUCCGUUUUACACGUACCACAUGUCUACGAAUUCGUAUCGUCGUGCUCUACAACUUUCGUGAAGGAAGUUUCUCGAGAAACCCAACGGAUUAGAAAGUCAACUCUUGACCCUUCAAAACCGAAAAACCGUUUCGGGUAAUUGAUGCAUCCGAACACUUUUUUUCUUCUUUCGAACCUCAAAACACAAUAACUUCUAACUCGAAAAAUUCUUGAAUAAUAUUAGAAACUAAUAUCAAAUUUUCGGGGUAUUACAGUUACUAUAUAUUGUUUCUGCAUCACUGAUCGAGAACCCUAACAUUGCUCAAUCGAUCCCAAACUCCCUCUUCCUCCUCUUGCCCAACCCCUUCCUGCUGAUCGAAAUCCCAUAAUCCCACUUCGUAAAAGCUCAGCCACCUCCAAUCUCUAAGCAACUAAACCCGAUUAAAAUCCCAAAAUUUGUCCCCCAACUCUCUUCCAUGUAAAACCUAGAUCCCUUCCUCUUAUUCGAAAUCCCUAGCUCUCGGAAUCCCUAAUAAUAUCACCUCCACUUCCUCCACCGCUCACAAAAUCCAGCCACAUCUUCCUCUGACUACCUAGAUGCCAGCGCCGCUCGGGAAAAGGAAAGCUCGGGAGGAGGCAGAGGAGCGUUUGCGACUGGAGUGUGCGCAAUAAUAUGGCUCUUCUUUUGCAGGAUCCAACCAAGCCACUCCGACGACGGCGCCUCUAGGAUCCCUUGCUGAUUUGGCUCCCCUUCUAACCGACGAUGACGAGUCAACGACCUAAAUAGCAGAAACACCGUCUAAGGGUGCACCCAGGGUUUUCAGCGCUCACCGUAAACCUAAGAAAAGUGGAGGACCUCCCCAGAAAGGCAACCGUGGUGUGGUGAACAACGCAAAGGUGUCUGAUAUUGUAAAAAACACGGGGAAGAAGAUCAACUUGGACUUUGAUUGGGACGUUAUUGAUAGACCUCGUAAUUUUGAUGUAUGCAAUCUGUUUGUCAAUAGUAUUGGAAGCAUCAUACGAAAAAAGUGGCAAUGAAGAAGGAAUCGUGGUAUGAUUUAGACAAGUCGGAGAGGCAAAAGCUUUUUGACGGUCUCACUGUAAGUUAAGAUAACUUUCAGUUCUUUUUUUUGGUAUUUUGAUUCCAUGCAUCAUUGCAAUUUAAUUAUAACUUGUUUUUUAUGUCUUGCAAUGUUUUUUUAUCAUUGAUUUUAAUGAUAUAAAAUCGAUUAAAGGAAUCAAUAAAAGGGCGGCAAGUGUAUUCCGUAAAUAGAAGCAUGAUUUGUCCGAGAUUCACAAGCUCGGGGGGAGAGACGUGAUUCCGGAAGAGCUUUUGCACAGGAGGGAUGAGUGGGAGUGGUUUUGCACGUAUUUUGUUUCGGACAAGUACAAGGUAUAAAUUCAGUUUUGGUUAUGAGAUAGAAGGACAAGUACAAGGUAUAAAUUGAGUUUUGAUAUAAGAUUCUAGUUAUGAUUACGUGGUAUGAUUAAAUCUUAGUUUGAAUAAAUUGAGUUCUGGUUACUGCAUACAGUUGAGAAUUUUGAUUAAAAUUGGAUAUGAUUGUUAAGUUUUGGCCUUGUGUUUGUGGCAAUGAAGUUGGUACUUUGAUUGCUAAUUUAGUCUUAGUAGUAUAUAUGUAUAUAUAGGUAAUUUCAUAGUUCUAUGAUUGAACUUGGUUUGAUCAACUGAUAGGUGCAUUUUAUGCAACGUUCUUAAUGUAUUUCUGACCCUAUUUAGCUAUGUAAUUCCUUUAAAAAUAUUGAUUUUAACUUAAUUUUUGUUUUUAGGUUGCAAAUAAAGCCAAGGAGCACAAAAUAAGUAGAAGAGGAGAAAUCUUGAAGGAAAAGGAAUCCAUAUGGCACAAGGAAAGAAAUCAGAAAAUCUGCCAGGAAUAGUCAGUCAACUUCGACAGAGUAUUGUGAUCAGCUCACAGUGAUCCAGAAGAUGAACCUUAUAUCAACGGAAAGCUAGAAGAGUCUAGUUUCCAGAAAUCUUCGCGGAUCGUCAAUAGCUAUUUUAGAGAAGAAGUUAUGACCGUUUGAGUGGCCAAAUGUCAGUCUGCCCGAAUUUCUGAUUUGGACCGGAAUUUCAAUUUCAAGGCCCAGACCACAACGGCGAGCCCAUGGACGAAAAUUGAGGGUUCUCUAACCCUAAUAGCAGCUGUUCAUACGUUCCUUAUACAUAUGAGGAGUUGGAGACGUGAAAUGGGUCGCUCUUUGCGGCAGAAAAAUAACGUCCCUUUCAUCUCCUUCAAAAAUUCCUCUCCAAAACUCAAGCCCUAGUUUAGGACUUCUCUUGACGUUCCUUCUCCUUUGUAAUCCUCGGCGUAGUUCUUGUCUCAAUACCCAAAGUGUAAUCUAAAUUCAGACCUCAUGUUUUCUUUUACUAUCUAUUCAAUUACUUUAGUUUGUUUCCAUCUCUCUUGUUCGUUUGUGUUCAUGAGUUGGAUUUUUGAUUGAGUUUGUUCUUAUAAUAAUGUUAAUCAGAUAUGUAUAGUUGAGUUGUUGGUGUAAUUGAUGAUGCUUUUGAUGAUCUAAAUUGUGUUUAUGUGUGAUUGACAACUUAUGACUUGUACGUUCUCAAUCAAUAUGUGUCAUUGUUUGUGUUAAGUCCGCAUCGAUAAACAUGAACUAUAAUGGUAAGGAGUUAUAGGUUGCAUGCUAGGAUGUUUUUGAAGUCCGCGUCGGUGAAUUACAUUCUAACAUGUCCAAGUUCUUCCUCUGAUCUAUUUUAGAUGUGAAGUCCGCGUCAGUACAUAUCUAUGAGAAGUUAGAAGGGUUUUAAGUAGUUAAGUCCGUGUCAGUAAAUUACUUGAAAGAUGGAAUUUGAUUCGUUUCUCCAUAUGCAUGAUUUAGGUUGUUAGGGUUGAAAUUGCAUAGCGACUUGGUUAUAUGAAUCUGAUUUAGUGUUUUCUUGUGUGCAAAGAGACGAUCACAUGUAUAUAGUAGGUUAGGUUUUUGUUUCUUUUUAGUUUAUGAUUUUCGUCACUCUUCUGUUCCCUGUUUUCCUUUAUUUUAUUUUCAUACCAAAUGAUCUCCGAUCCCCCUAAAAAUCUAUACAGUAGUUCGUCAGUGUGUCUAGUAGGCCUCUGUAAAUUUUCAUAUUUUUCUGAGUAGUUUAGGUUAGGUUUUUAAUUAGGUUUUCGACUACUGUUCUAUGGAACAGUAGCUACUUUUGUAAAUUGUUUAAAGGGUUUAUUACUUAUCAAUAUUUGUUAUGUUUUACUAACGCUUUGUUUUGCAAGGUACUCUCAAUCCCCGGCCCUAUAUGAUACUCUUAUUUACCUUGUGCUACUAACGAUGAAAAAGAUUUAUUUGAUGCAGGGUUUGCACCCGUCAGCAACCAAGAUAGAAACUUGUGAGAGCUUGAGGAUCGGGUUUGAAAGGGAGUUAUUUUUACAUCCUGUUAUGAUUAUGUGGUAUGAUUAAAUAUUAGUUUGAAUAAAUUGAGUUUUGGUUACUGCAUAUAGUUGGGAAUUUUGAUUAAAAAUUGGAUAUGAUUGUUGAGUUUUGACCUUAUGUUUGUGGCAAUUGAGUUGAUUCUUUGACUGCUAAUUUAGUCUUAAUAGUAUACAAGUAUACAUAGGUAAUUUCAUAGUUCUAUGAUUGAACUUGGUUUGAGCAACCAAGAUAGAAACUUAUGAGAGCUUGAGGAUCAGAUUUUUAGGGAGUUAUUUUUACACCCUAUUUCAUCAUGUACUUGGUCUUGUGCAGAGACGAUCGGUUGCCAACUCCAGCAACCGUGGUAAGGAGUUGGAGCACCACUCAGGGAGGAAACCUAUCAUUUACCAGGUGGCUGAACUUAGGGUUAAGGGUGCUUCAUUACCGGUGGUUGACGUGUACCCGGUGACAUACGACAUCAACCAGCCUAAAGCUAUUGAGCAUUAUAUAAGUAUCAGUACCUAAUGCCUUAAGGAUAAUGGCUUAGUGUUUAAAUAUAAAUGGUUUUGAUUCAAUGACAAAUAAUAAUGGUUUGGGUUUUGGUGUAUUUGCUCUUUGCUAUUCAAAUUUAUAUGCCAUAUGCAUUUUCUGCUUUUCAUUUUCACAAAAUCAUUUGAGAAUCUGCAUUUUCAGAAAAUCUAAAUAGUCUUGUAGUAGUUUUGUGUAUUUGUGUUGUACUUAAUGUUGAAAGUAAUUCAAUGUUCAGUAGGAAAAAUUUUGAACUUUGAAUUGAUAGUUUUGGCUGCCUAAUUGUUGCUACUGUGUGUAUUGGCUAGUCGACAAUACGAUGUUUUGUUUCCUUGUUCUUCAGUGUACUAUGUUGCUUUGCAACAUUUGAGAUUCCAUUGCAUAUGAUCUACUUGUUAGAUAUUGGAAGUAGAGUCCUGAAGUUUAGUGUGUUUCCAACCUAAUGUUAAACUUUUAUUUCUGGAUGAGUGUUCUAUCAAUAAGGUUUAUCUAAAUACAUUAUACUAAGAGGUUCAUGCCAUUGAUUAUGUUUAUGUCUGCAUUUGUUUAGCUAGUUGUUAAUCAACUAAUCUUUCAACUUUACUCCAUAUCUUAUUUUGUACCUAGGACAUUUUCAAAACCCACUUCUCAGACAUUUAUUUAUAAAUGGUUUGUUGCAAAUUUACAACCUAUUAGUAUUCAAGAGUUAGUAUUGCAAGUUUUUGUGCGUUGGUAUUGCUAUUUGUUCUGUGUGCUUGCUUGUUCAAACCUAUAAUAUAAACCAAGCAGUUUUCAUGUUGUAUAUGGUAUAAAAGACUAUUUUAUCAUUAGUUUGAAUACUUUGAUUUCAAAUACAUAAAUUUAAGUGAUAUAUAUCCUGAACAUCUGAAUCUACAAAAAUUUCAAGUGGUUAUGCUUGCAUCUGAGUUUCAUAGAUUACAUUGGAUGUUGUUUCUGAGCUUAGCUAGCAGCCUCAUUGUAUCUUAGUUUCAUACAUCAUUUCCAGAAAUAUAUGUUAUCUUUUUCCAAGUAUAUUUAUAUGUUAUGGCUAUUAUAACAUAUAAGAUAAUAAUAGAAACAUAUGAGUCUGUUAAGAAAUUGCUUGUAUAACCUGUGCACAUGCAUUCUUGUGUGUGCAAGCACAUAUAUUAUUCGUAUGGGAUUUGGUUGAAAUUUCUCUACAUUUGUUGUUCUUUUCCAAUUCUACCUGCAAUAAGGGAUCAAUUUAAAGUUAUUCAUUUACUCUCAUGAUCCACCUGUCUUUGGUGGGUAAUUGGCUGCAGCAAGGCAGGAUUUUUGCUUACAAACAUGUAUAAAUCUCAUCAUGAUGAUAAGAAAGAUGACAUAUGAUUGUCCUUUGAUUUUCUUUCUUAUAAUGUGACCUUCUCAAUGUUGACGCUUGUAUAAUGUUAGUUUCAGUUGACUUGGUCAUUUUUACUGUUCGCUGCUCUUUGCCAUAAAUUUAACAUCAUAUCCAUUACUAUAUUCUUUCUCAAAUUACCUAGGACAUUUAUAAAACCCACUUCUCAGACAUUUGUUUAUAAAUGACUUGUUGCGAAUUUACAACCUAUUAGCAUUCAAGAGUUAGUAUUGCAAGUUUUUGUGUGUUGGUAUUGCUAUUUGUUCUGUGUGCUUGCAUGUUCAGACCUAUAAUACAAACCAAGCAGUUUUCGUGUUGUAUAUGGUAUAAAAGACUGUUUUAUCAUUAGUUUGAAUACUUGAUUUCAAAUACAUAAAUUUAAGUGAUCUAUAUUCUGAACAUCUAAAUUUACAUACAUUUAUAAAUGACUUGUUGCGAAUUUACAACCUAUAGGAGACGAGAAACUCUAAUAAGCUAGGUGAAACAUUAAAACCCCAGACAACAUUAAGAGUAAAGCAUGUGUCUUACCCCUCCUACUUGUAUGAGAAUAAACUUAGAAAUUUAGAUUUAGUUUGAUGGACCUUUUAUUACCUGGGAAGCAUAUUCCUUAAGACAGAUGGGAGAGUUUGGAUGUGUGCUAAAUUGAUGUGUUCUUCAGUAAUUUAGGUACCUUACCUUGCUCGCCUAUUUGAAAAAGUGGGUAUCAACUUUGACGGCCAUAAUCCAAAUACCAUUUGUUGUGUUAACCUUUUCAAUUCAUGUUUGGUUUGAGCUGCUGUGUUCUGUUUUUUGAAUCUCUCUGUCAUGAUUACUUAAGGCUUUGUGUUAAUGUUGGUAUAUAUGACUAAAUACUGUGUUUUGUUAUGAGUUGAACUUGUAUGUAUAUUUUCGUAUUGAUUGAGAACGAUCUCUGAAUUACUCCACAAGUGAACUUUGAAUUGAUAGUUUUGGCUACUGUGUGUAUUGUCUAGUUGUUUGAUUUGUGAAGUGAGCUACUUAGGGGUGGGCAUGGGACGGGAUAGGAUGGGAUAUAGCUAAUCCCACGGCCCGUCCCGGAUAUUGAAAUUGGGACGGGAUAGGACAGGCUUUGCGUUUUUUAGAUUUCAUCUGACCCGGGCCCUAUCCCGGUCGGGAUUGGACGGGUCCAGUCCCGGAUAAAAAAAGUUGAAAAUAAACUUGUAAGCAAAAGAAAAGGUUUCAUAGUUUUAUAGUGCUUUUUACUCUAUUAAGUAUAAACAAGUACUUGUAACAUAUUUACAAGUACAACACGGUGUAAUAAAAGAGUUUAUAUUUCUUACUUUCUCUAAACUUAUCAUCACUACUAUUGUGCAAGAAGAGAGUCUACAACAAUCAACAAAUUAAAGUAUUAAACAUCAUUGUUAUUGAAUUGGAGACAACCUAGUAACUUAAAGAAAUAAAGAGCUAAGAUUAAAACACUUAAAUGAAAGGUUCAAAUCACAUAUUAAUUAAUAAAAAAUCAAUCAUUAAAAUAGUCGGGACAUGACAGACCUAAACGGGACUUGAAUUAUCCGUCCCACGUUCCGUCCCGUUGUCUAAGGAUGAGACAAGACGGGACGGGACGGGACGGGCCUGACAUUUUGAGAUUUAAAUCCCGUCCCGUCCCGACAAAUUUCGGGACGGGUUCGGGAUUACGAGAUUUUAUGCCCACCCCUAGAGCUACUGCAUGUGUAUAUUGUCUAUGGUGUAUAAUAUUGAAAAUAACAAGAUUGUUAGCAUGCAUUUGGUAUCUCAACAUUAUAAUUUGAGUUGUAUAUAUUAUUUUAUAAUUGUAGGAAAAGUUGACGAAACAGGCUGCUAUUGCCAAGAUUUUAUUGAGCACUCAACACCCGGACAUCCCACCGGAUCAGCUACCUCUUUUGGACUGGCUAACUCAACUAAAUGUUGUGAAAAACGCUAUGGGAGAGAAAAAAAAGGGUCUUACCUUCGUGGUAUUGGACAAGCAGGCGUCCUAGAGAAGAGCAAAAUGUCAACAUCUUCCCUUUCACUCUCUCGACUGACUAAUGAGGCAAUGACAUCGAUAGAGGUUGCUAGAAAGGAGGCGGCUGAGGCACAAGAGAGGGCCCAAAAAGCCGAGAAGAUCGUUGAGCAGUCUGCUGCAGAUUAUCAAGUUUUGAAGUUGAAAAUGGAUCAAAUCAUGGCUCGAAUAGGGCUACAACCUAUGUGUUCACCCUCGGUCCCAAGCCAACAACCUCGAGACAACGAUGAUGAUAGGGGCCUUGACACUUCUCCGAUUAGUUUAGAAAAUCAAUAGAUUUUUCUAGUUUAAAUAAUUGUACAAACAAUACUACCUAGUAUUUCUUUUGGUCGGUACGAUAACUUUAUUAGUAAUAUAAACAUUUCCGUUAAUUUAUUUUGAUUUUACAGUAAUUAAUUAUUUACUUACAGUAAUAUAUUUUUGAGUUAUUAUAUCUCUUAAUAAUAAAAAUAAUAUAUAUUUUUUUUUCAAAAAACUAAAACCUAAAAGACGAAAAUUUUGUCUUCUAAGAUGCUUAUUUUUGUUGCUUAAGGGUAAAACUUACGCGUAAAAAUUAACAGGCCAAAAUAGUGUUCUGUCGCAUAAGGCUAUAGCGACGGAAAAUUUUGUCACAUUAAAUCUAGUGUCAAAAACAAACUCGUCUCUAAACUAAAAAGUUUUGUCGCUUAACAACAAACCGACCGGAGAACAUACGUCGCUGAACAAUUUAAGCGACGACAACAAUUCGUCGCUUAAGUUAAUUAUUCGUCUCAUUAAACCUAGCGAUGAAAACAAACUUGUUGCUAAACAAAAAAAUUUCGUCGCUUAACAAUAAAACGACAGGAGAACAUACAUCGCUGAACAACUUAAGCGACGAAAACAAUUCGUCGCUUAAGUUAAUUAUUCGUCGCCUAGGUCUGUGGCGACAUAAACAAUCCCCGUCACUUGUUCCGUUUUCUUAAGCCACGGAUAAUAUGUUUUUGUCACCUAAGUGCCUAUGAGAUGCUUCAUAUACGACGAAUUUUAAGCGACGCCGAUUUCGUCGCUUAAGUCUUAUGGCGAUAAAAAUGGGCACUUAGCCGACGAUUUUUUCCUCUCGCUUAAGCCUUUAUUUCGACUAGUGAUCAUAGACAAGCAGUAGAUAAAGAUUGGCAACUUAGAACAUGAGCCAUACUUCUGUCCCCUUUGGAUUGCUAUGAAACAAUAAGUAGAACAGGUGACUAACAAGGUGAUAUAACUAGAAAAUAGAUUCACCAGUUUGAGAAAUGUGUAAUAGCAUGGGAGAUGAUAUUGAUUACUGACCAGAAUCAUAGACAAUCAGGAGUAGAUAAAGAUUGGCAUCUUCACACAUGAAAUAGAAUGUAGUACAAGUGACUAACAAAGUGAUAUAACUAGAAAAUAGAUUAACGGUUGCACAUUCCUAUAAAGAAAACAAAUUUAUAAUUAUGAUUUAAGUGCAUUUUCAUUUGAAGUGUUAGGCAUAUAUAUACAUCAGUAGUCGAGAAUAUUAAAUUGAUUUUUUUUUUCAUUAGCAAUACAGGGAGAAUCUUAAGAAACUGUACUACCACCCAUCCUAGCUAGAAGAAGAAGAAAUUAGGUUGAUGAUUUACAAGGCUUAUAAUCAGAUCGCACAGAGAGCAAAAAUAGACCCAGACAUAUGGUGGAAAGUUACGCAGAGGCUAGGGAAUCUAAGCACAUAAAGAGAAGAACAAUUCUACAAACAAGUUUGCAAAGACUAUCCAGGGAAGUACUUCAAUAAUGGCCAAGGUUUUGUCUAUUAUUAUAAGGACUGCUUGAGCACUUAAAUGAAAAAAUUGAACGACACAAUGCACAAGUAACUACCAUAAACGAAAAAGACAAAGAAGAAGCUGCAGAAAAAGCUAGGGUAGAUGCUAAAGCACAAAGGAUUGAAGACAUGAAGAUUAUAGAAGAAAUGGCUGCUCUAAAUAUAAAGGGGCGGCAAAUUGAGGACAUUGAACCUAGACGCUCAUUGGGUAAAAUGGAAUGGAGAGCUUGUUCUCGGGAAUCGUACUCAAACUCUAUAUCUUAAUGGUAGAAGAGAACAUAUAGUUCAACAUAGAUGGAGAGGAGCUGGGAAUACCAAUGCAAGUAAAUCCAACCCCCGUGCCAAUGACAAUGGAUGCCUACUACAUGGCACAGAUGAUGAUGUACGCCAAGAACGAGCCACAAAUGAUGAUGCAUGUCUUCUAUGGGCCACAAAUGGCAACGAAUCCUAACUUAGCGCAACAGAAGCAAGCUUACUUGGCGCACCAGAAGCAGCAGGCUUACUUGGCGCACCAGCAGCAGUAGCAGUCUUACUUGGCGCACCAGCAUCAGCAAAGGGCUUACUUAGCGCACCAGUAGCAAGCUUACUCGGCACACGAGCACCAAUAACACGUUUAUUCGGUGCACCAGCACUAGCAGUAGGCAUACUUGGCACACCAGAACCAGCAACAGGUUUACAUGGCGCACCAGCACCAGCACCAGCAGCCGUUCUUGGCACAGCGGGUGUAAGUGUGUCUCCUAAGAGGCUAAGAAUAUCAAUGCAUCUAUUAUUCAACAUCGACCUAUUAUUGGUUUUGUUUUACAAGAUCAUUUUGGAAAUCUCCCAUAUUGCAACUGCAAUGAAGAAGAAGCUCGAAGAUACGAGUGUUGUUGUCGCUGAAGCCACUGCUUUACGUGAAGGUCUUCAUACCACGUUUCUUCAACAAAUUUCAGAAGUUUUUGUCAAGGGUGACUCAAAAUUAAGUAGCUUGACUUGAAAAAGGUCUCACUCUCUUGGAGAGAAGUUUUGAAAGAAAGCUAUCUCUUUAACCUAAGAGAGAUUCUGGAAAGAUCAACGUUACGAUAUGAACUCUAAUUAAAGAAGAAUCUUUCUAAAUCACUUCGGGUCAGCAAGCCGUUCAAAGGAUCAAAAAAACACCAGGGUUGUAAAUGAUAUAGCGUUCCUGAUGACUCGGUAAACAUCUUUCAUUUAUGAAUUAGUUUUCUAUUUCUUAAUUAACUUUUACACAACAAAAAUGAAUUUACAUGAACCACGGUGGUCAAAUUGGUAAGAGCCUUGGUGUGGAACCCCUAUACCUAGGUUCGAAUCUUGCUGACGUUAAUAGGAGUUAAAUCCCAAUUUAUUCUUGGUGACAAGUGAGAGGAAGCGGUCUGACAUGAUCUCUCGACGCGGAUUAGUCUUCCAAAAAUCAUUUGAAAAUCCCGUUGAUACUUAAAAAAAAAAAAUUUACAUGGAAAAUAAACUAAAAUAAAAAUUUAAAAGCCUUAUCCAGAUGGCUGGUCUCUUAAAGUGAUGAACUUUGUGUAAACAUCUGAGUAUUUGUAUACAUCAACAAUCUAACUUCAUGAUGUAACCUUUCGAAAGUUAAGUUAAUCACUAAAGAUUAUCUCUACAAAAUGCAUUAUGAAACAAAAUCGUUUUUUUAGUUGGUAUUAUUAAACAAAUGGGCCAUUGAUUAUGAGAUUACUAACUUUCACAACAACCGUUCAUUUGUUUGAUACAAUUGAAUGAGUAGAUGUUUUUGAUUUGCAUCCAUUUUCUGCAAAAAAAAAAAAAAAGAAUCUUGAAUGGUUGUUUUAAUGUUUGAACAAAUUUAAAAACAAAAAACAUAAACAAUUAAAUGACUAUUUCAUCGUCUAUUCUCGAAAUCAUGUAUUUUCAUUUCCAGAAGUAUGUAAUUAGAAAGUGCUCGGUCGCAAUUAAUUUUUCUUAUCUACAUCCUGAUAGAGAUAAGUGGUGACAUGAGUUGUAUCCCUUAUAUUUUUUUUCUCAUAAACUACUAAACUACUUCAGUAGCUAAACAUUAUCACAUCUAUUACAUGAUGAUAAUUCAUUCGUUAUCAAUUUUAUUAGAGUUGGCGUUGGGAAAUUUUCAUAUGGUACUAUUUUCUUCUAUUUCGAAUGUCAUACUAAGUUGUGAGGUGAUUUCAUCAGUGUGGUUAUGAAAAUUAUGAUGAAAAAAAAAAAAAUCAAGUGUACCAAUCAUACCAGUUGGAUGUUGUCUGUGGAUUGAAAAUGAGUGAAAGUUCCAUGGGCAUAGAAAAAUCUAGGUAUAUAUGAUUGGUUGGGCUAAUAUAUGCGUAUGUCACAUCCAUUUAACUUGUUUUAAUCUAUAUCGUGAACAUCUCAUUUUAAUUGAGAACGUGUUUUAGCUGGAAUUGCUUGAUUUGGUUAAGUUCAACAUUUAGCUUACAAAAGUGAAUUAUUUAAGCAAGCUUUGGCUUUGUUAUGUCGGUGAGCCGUACUUUGGUUGGUUAAAGAGUUUAACUGACAGCUUUGAGGUCAUGGGUUCAAACCCUCAUUGACAUAUAUAGGUGAGUGAGUUAUUAAUAAAAAAGUUUUAUUUUAUUUUAUUUUAUUUUUUAAAAGGCCUUGGCUUUGUUAACCAUUUAAAUUAUGAAAAUAACUUCUAAAAGAUAAACGAAUGGUCAACCUUACAUAGAGGUUAUGGUCAUCCAUCUGUUUGUACCUAUUUUUUACAUGUCGACCUACUACGCCGAAGUAGUUGGUUGCGAAGAAGCCAACAACAUUUAAUGAUAAUUAUGGCAAUUAUUUCGUAUAAUUAUCAUCAACAUUAAUGAGAUUUGCCGAGAUUCAUUAUUUGGUAUUAACACAAAUACAUACCAAAUAUUGAAGAAGCCAACAACAUUUAAUGAUAAUUAUGGCAAUUAUUUCGUAUAAUUAUCAUCAACAUUAAUGAGAUUUGCCGAGAUUCAUUAUUUGGUAUUAAAACAAAUACAUACCAAAUAUUGAAGCAACGGCGAUAUAUGGCAACAAAAUAACAUUUACGGCUAAUUAGAAGCAUUGAAGAACGAUAUUUCAAGAUAAUUAGUGCAAUUCCAACGAAGCCGCAAGAGGAAACAAAUAACGGCGAUAAUUAUUGCCGAGAUUUAAGUGAAUUUGAAGGCAUUAAAGAUGAUAUUGCACAAUUGAGAGCAAAUUGAUUCUAACGGUGCUUCAAAAAAGAAAGUAAAUAUGGAGUGAUUAAGAAAAUAAGUGGAGCAUAUCUUUAUUCCGGUCAUUAAGACCGAAAUUCAAAAAAUAUUUGAUUGUAUUAUAUUUCCUUAAUUGGGUGUACGUACUUGUAUAUAUUCGACCCCCAAGCUCAUUGUAAAUGGUCCCCGACCAACACACACAACUCAAUACAAUCUCAAACACUUCAAAUUCUCUACGAAUUCUCUACAAUAUCAAUCUUUUUAUCCAUGUUCUAGCAUAGUUUUUUUCUUCUUUUUAUUCGUUUUCUUUACAUUCCGCACUUUAUCGCUUUCUUUAUAUUCCAUACUUUACUUUCAUGCAAUGUCUCUUCUGCGUCUUUAAAUUCAUGCACUUUAAUUUAUCGCAAUUACUUCAUGCAAUUUACGUUUCAUGCAAUUUCAAUUUUCGCCUUUAGAUUUUUGUUCAUUUACUUUUCGUACUUUAAUUCUCGCAAACUUAUACAAAAAUCACAAAAAAAGAGGAGCAACAUCGGUGAAAACGCCGAAAGUCCUUGCAACAAAGGCAAGAGAACCCAAAGGCCGAGACGGUUCCUUCCUCAGUUAAGAUCCGUCGCCUAAGUGUGGUGAGGUAGACACUUGGGCGUCGAAACCUAAAAUUCCGUCGCCUAAGUGGUUCUUAGGUUAGGCGACGGAUUUUAUUUUACAGUUAAAAAAAAAUUAUCCACUUAGGAGACGGAAUAGUUGAAUUCCGUCGCUAAAGGUUGAAAAAAAAAAUUUUAAAAAUAAAUAAAAAAACCACCGCAGGUUUUUUAUCCACUCACUCUGACCGCCUCAAAUACCACCACCACCGCAGGUUUCAGAAGUCACAACUAAAUGUCUUGAACUUCUUCUCAUUCUGCAUAUAAGUAGUAAAAACUUGCAUUUAUAAAUUGCAUAUGGAAAAAAUAAAAUUUACUGCCCCCCAGUAAACUUCUACUGGGGAUCAGUAAACUUGUAAAAAAUAACUCUCUUUCUAUUUCAGGGGCACAACACACAACAUAUAUCAAUUCUUACCUUAAUAAACAACUUUAUUGGCCCCUAAUGAACCCAGUAGAAGUUUACUGCCCCCAGUAAACUUCUAAUGGGGGUUAGUAAAAUUCAAUACAGUAUCUCCUUUUCAAUUUCAUGUCAAUUAUACAUAACAGAUACCAAUUCUUACCCUAAAAAACAAAUUCAUUGCCCCCUAGUAAAUCCAGUGGAAGUUUACUGCCCCCAGUAAACUUUUAUAGGGGGUCAGUAAACUUCAAUACAAUCUUCCUUUCAAUUUCAUGCUAACAAUCUGCCUCAAAUAUACCACAUGUUACACCCAAAUUUUCGAAAGGAAAUUUUCAAAAAUUUUGGCAUAAUAUCUCUUAAAAUAAUAUAAUCCCAAAGCAUGUUUCAACAAAAUUUCAAUGAAACUAAACUCAAUGCGGAAAGUAAAAUUUACACACAACUCCAUAUUGAGUUAAAUAUUACAUUUCCUUGUUUACAUAAACUCGAGAGUCAAGAAAAUGAGACGCUCACAUGAGUUUAAUAUUGUCUAUCCCAAUGUAUAUAUAAAAAUAAGUAUAUACAAUGAACAACCAAACCCAACAAAAAAAAACCCUGCCACUAAGCCUCCACCUUAACCCUGCUGAUCCUCACCUGCAGGUCUAACCCCUACACUAAGAAUUGGUGUACCGGGUUGUAAACAACAAACCUGGUAAGCUAAAAAGCUCGUAUGAGUAAACUAAAAAAUAACACAACAUUUAUCACAUCCAAUAUUCCACAAGAGAGAUUGGAUCCAUAAUUAAAGAAAAACACACAUCCAACACAUUACCUAAGAAAAGUACUCAUGAGUCCCAGAUAUUUAAUAAAAUACCCCUCAUGACCUACAACAACACUAUGUGUACCCAUGGGUCCCAGAUACCAUACAGUAUCUCCCAUGACCUACACUGACAGACGGACUAGAGCUUUAUUCCUAACCGUAACCAAUCACCCGGCCAAAGGCUUGGAACCCGGUUUGACUGUCUAAUAUCAAACACAAAAAUAAUAAAUAGCAUCUUAACUACAACCAAUCACCUAAUUAAAGGCUUGGAACCCGGUUUGACUAUUUAUCCAAAAAUCAGAAUAUCACAACAUUAACCUCAACAACACAAUAUCACAUCAUUAUUCUCAACAACACAAUAUCACAUUAUUAUUCUCAACAACACAAUAUCACAUUAUUAUUCUCAACAACAUAAUAUCACAUAAUUAAUUCUAUCCUCUCACAUGGAAAUAUUUACAUGACCAAAAUAUAGAUAUUCCACAAGAAUAAUCUAUAAAUAAUCAAUAAAAUCAUGAUUACAUGAAUCUCAAAAUAGCACAUAAAGAAAACUUGUUUUACCUUAUCUUUGAGCCGUUGGCGAUCAAGCUCAUAUAUUUUUAAAAGCAAUUAAAGACAUAAUAUUAAAACCAACAUCAUCAUCAUUAUCAUCAUCACAUGACCAUAAUUAAAUUUGGUUCAAAAGUGAACCUUGGUGAGAUUUACUCACCUAGAAAUCCUGUUGCAAAACCCCCAACACAACUAAGGCAAGCCAAUCACAAAAUCACCUAAAAUCACACAAUUAAAAACCUUAGAAACCAAGGUAUUAAAGGAUAACACAAUACCCUUAAACUAACCCUUAGCUCAAGGGAGGACAACUUCCCAAAGUCGUUGAACUCAAAGACACAAUAGAGCUGCCUCAACUCUUCAAAAUCUAAACUCUAACCCAACCAAACCAACACCAAUAAACUUAAGUCUUAGCAUGCCAACAUUUCUUAAAGACUAGCCACACUACCACUCAACAAGCUCACAACAGUAAGGACUAGCUAACCAUAGGAAACUAGGGCUGCACCUCAGCCGGACGCGCUGCCACGCGCAGCCACAAGCGACGGCGAGUGGGCCCCACGCGCCACCCCAAACUUCUGAAUUUGAGAAAACUCCCAACAGCAAAGUUGAAGCUUGAAGCAAGGGGAACAACUUUCAUACCUGAGACUUCGACUAAUUUUGGCCGAAACCAGCCGGAAACCGCCACGAACCGUGACUAGAAAAUCAACUACAAAACCUGCAAAAUCGGCCUCAAAACCUCAAAAACUUGCUUCAAUCUAUGCCUAGACACUACUAGGAGGAGGAGGAGAUCAAGACUCACCUAAGGACGCCCUUCGUCGCCGCCGUAUACGGCGGUUCCGACCGGUGGCACAUCAGCCUUCUUUCCAGCAACACAGCUCCGGUUCUGGCGUGCCACACCGAGCAGCAGCUGCCCAGCCUUGAAGAGAGCACUUGUGGGAGUCGAACGGGACCGGUGGCGUCCGGUUUGGUGGCCGGAUGAGGGAGAACUCGGCCGGAGAAAGUAAGAGUUCGGGGGGAGCUCGGGAGAGGAAGAGAGAGAAGAGAGAAAAGAGAGGGAAGAGAGAAAAUAGAGGCUGACUUUGUUUUUAGGGUUCCCAAAUACAUCCCACACACAUUUUUCUACUUAUACUCUUUUCAAACCCGGAAACAAACUUCCUCUGAACAUAACUUCUUCAUACGACAUCCGUUUCAGGCGUGCCACAUGUCUAUGAACUUGUAUUGACAAACUCUACAACUUUCAUGAAGGAAGUUUUCGAAGAUAACUUACGAAAAAUAAAGUCAACUUUUGGCCUCUUAAAAGUCAAAGCACUUUAAAAUAACCUCCUGAAACUUCAACUUCGCAUAAAUCACAGAAUUUCCAUAAAUGAUCCUUCAUUAAAUAAAAGAAUAAUACAAGGAAAAUUGAUAUGAAAAUCUAGGAUAUUACACCACCGCCACCACCACCACCGUAUCAAAUAACCGCCAUGCCACCAUCGUCAUACCAAUCACAUCCUAACCAAAAUUAAAAUCAAAAUCAAAUUAAACAAAAACACAUAAAUCUAUCACCAAAGCUAAUUAAACUAGAAAAAUUGAAGAACUUACCUUGAUUUCUUACCCUUUUGAAAUUUCGAGGGACGGUGGUGGGUUGGUGGAAAGGCUUGGUAGAGAGAGAAAGGUGGCGGUAGCAGCGUCUGUGGUGACCCAGAUCUGAGGCUUGGUGCAAGAGAAGGGGACGAGGAGCUUGCUGGCGACGGACGGGUGAGUCAGGUCGGGUCGAGAGGGAGAGGUUGUUGGCUCCGAGGAGGGUGCGAAGGUGGGCGGGUGAUGUUGAAGAGGGUCUUGACAGCAUUAAGAGUGGUGGCGUUUAUGGGGACAAAGUCGAUGAGCGCGUGGCNNNNNNNNNNNNNNNNNNNNNNNNNNNNNNNNNNNNNNNNNNNNNNNNNNNNNNNNNNNNNNNNNNNNNNNNNNNNNNNNNNNNNNNNNNNNNNNNNNNNNNNNNNNNNUGUCUCCUAAGUUCUACUUAGGCUACGAAAUGUAGUUCCGUCUCCGAAGUGAUUCAUAUAAAUUUUUUAAUUUUUAAUUUUUCAAAAUGUCGUCGUCUAAAUAAAAAUAUUUCGUCGCUUAAGUACCACUUAAGCGACGGAAUUCCGUCUCCUAAGUCGUUCUUAGGAGAUGAAAUCGAAAUAUUUUGUCUCCUAAGAACAACUUAGGAGACGAAAACUGUUUCGUCGCCUAAGUAGAAAAUUCCGUCGUUUAAGUACCACUUAGGAGACGGAAUUUUUUAAUUUCGUCGCCUAAGUGCUAUUUUCCAGUAGUGAAAAUGAGUUUAACUUCACAUUUUAGAAAUAUAAAAAGCAAUUGUGGCAAAUCAUGAUCACAUAUUUUUGAAAUUAAAAUUUACGGGAUUAACUUAAAUUCAAACACUCGUAAAUUAAGGUUUCAUACCAUUAAAUGAGUCAUAUUGAAGUUCGAGAGACCCUCUCUCUUGCUCUUCUAUUCUCUUACUUUCAACAUUGAGACUGCCUCUCUAGUACCUCUAGGUUUUUAAAAAAAAUUUCUUCUCCUUUGUCCGAUGACGCAUCCAGUGACGCUGUUGUCUGACUAACUAUGUUGGAUUUGGGCUUAUGUUUUGACCUCUAGUGUGGGAUCGGUGGUAAGUGAGAGGGAUAUCAAGGUGGUUGGCAGGUGGAGGUUCCAGCGUUAUUGGCAAGGUUGGUUCGGAGUCGUUGAGCGGUGGUGGGUCGGUCUUGCUAUAAGGGUGAUGACGAGUUGUGGCUUUGCAGGUUUGGUGGCGGAUUGGAGGUUCUUUGGUCAUGGCAACAUGGUUAGGCUCAGAUCGGAAUGAGUUGGCUUGCGUGCUUGAGACUUUGGUUUUCCUUAGGCUGUGACGGGGCUGGUGGAAGCAUGAUGUCGGCGUUUCAGCUGAAGAAGAGUGAGGGUGUUGUGGGUGGUUCUCUAGCGGCGGCAAGGUUGGAUUGGGUUUGGCCGACUGUGAUAGAGCAUAUUCUAUCUGUUUACUUUGUCCAUCAUUUAAUCAUAUUUCUUUUUGUAAUAGGCUAACACUACCAGAAGAAAGGUUUUAGCCGACGAAAAUAAAAAAACCAGGCCGACGAAUUAUUUUUUCAUCGGCUAAAGUCCACUUUAGCCGACGAAUUUCCCUUCGUCGGCUAAUUUAAAAUUUUCGUCGGCUACGGUCCACUUUAGCCGACGAAAUUUCCCUUCAUCGGCUAAAGUAUUUUUUUCGUCGGCUAUAGUCUGUAAACUUAAGACGACGAAAAUAUAAAAGUUUAGCCGACGAAAUUAAAAUGUCGUCGGGCUAAAGUGCCUUAUAUUUGUAGAUCUGGAUAGCGGCUCAUCUGGGAAAAAAAAACGGGAGAAGAAAAAACGGGAGAAAAAGUUUGGGUGUUGCUGAAAUCUGUCCAUAAUUAGUCUGUGGAGCUAUAUAUAGGUACGUAUAUGUGUAUAUAUGUUGAUUUUGAGUUUUAUUUGAGUUGAUCGGUUUUGAGUUUUAUUUGAGUUGAUCGAUUUUGAGUACGUUGGAUGUAUAUAUAUAUGUGUUGAUCGAUUUGGUUGAUGAUUUGAUAAUAUAUAAGAAGUUGUUGUUAAUAAGUAGUAGAUAUAUAUAUAUAUAUAUGUUAAUUAAUUUAUAAUAUUGUAUUGAUGGUAUGAAGUUGUUGACGAUAUGAGUUGAUGAUGAUUUUGUGAUGAUGUUGAUAUAUAAUACUGUUAUGUAAUUAUUAAGUAUAUAUAUGUGUUAAUUAAUUUGUUAUUAAUUAGUUGUAGUACGUAGAAUACUAAAUGAAUUGAUAUUUUAUAUAUGGAAUUUAAUUAAUAAUUAGCUAGAGUUAUACAUAUAUAUUUUGUUAUAUUUUCAGGAUAUGGAUAAGAGUUGGAUUUCGCUUCCAAAAUGGGAUAAAAGAUAUGGUAAAGGAGUUAUGAGUUUUCUGGAAUAUACGCUGGCUAAUGCUAACGGGAAUACAAUUUUCUAUUGCCCGUGCACGAAAUGUCAGUUUCGCAGCGAUAUGCAUCGAUUUGCGAUUGAUAAGUAUGGCAGCACCUGAAGAGUAACGGGUUUUGGGAGAAGUACACAUGUUGGUUAUAUCACGGUGAAACAUCAUCAAGGGGUCCGCAUGAUCAUGGCCAAUUUUCUGAGACGGGCAGUACACCCAACAAUGGCCUUUAUCAACGACAUGUUUCCUUAUGAGAGUGGUGUAUGCGCUCAAGGACAGUAUAUGCCUGAACCGGUGCAGCCCUUCCCUAGAGCUGUCAACAUUGCUAGUGUUGACAAGUACAACAAACUGCUUGCUUUCCAACAGACCCCUGUGUACCCCGGUUGUCAGAAGACCGUUCUUGAAUGUGUGAUGGACGUAAUGAAGAUUAAAGUUGAGACAAAAUCGACCGUGAAAGCUGUUGAUGAUUAUCUACAAUACACUGCUUCGAUGCUGCCCCACGGUCAUCGUCUUCCUACCACUCAUCAUAAGGUCCGAUGUAUCCUGAAAGAUCUUGGGCUUUCCUACAUCAAGAUCUAUGCAUGCAGAUAUGACUGCAUUCUCUUCUGGGGUAAAGAUCCAGAAGGGAAUGACCUUGGUGGCCUUGACGCAUGUCCGGUAUAUCACACUGACAGGUAUAAGCUGACUCCUGCAGUCAAUAGGAAACCUGUGAAGGUACUUCGGUAUAUCCCGUUGAGGGAUAGGCUGGAGCGGUUGUACAUGUCUUCACACACGGCCGAAGCUAUGAGAUGGCACGCUAAUAGGGAAUUGCAUGACGAAGAUACCUUUAUACACCCUACUGACGGGGAGGCUUGGAAGCAUAUAGACAGGGAGUUUCCUCAUUUUACGUCAGAGGUCUGAAAUGUGAGGCUCGGGCCCUCAUUCGACGGGUUCAACCCUUUUGGCAACAUGAGUCUUCAAUACAGUGUAUGGCCGGUGAUUUUGGUACCGUACAACCUUCCUCCAUAGAUGUGCAUGAAGAAGGAAUACAAUAUGUUGAGUUUGUUGAUUUAGGGUCAUAAUUGUCUCGAUGUGUAUUUGAGACAUUUGAUUGAAGAGCUUAAGUUUUUGUGGGACGUUGGUCAUCCCACUUAUGACGAGUACAUGCACGAGAUGUUCUAGAUGCAUGUCAUGGUUGUUAGUACCAUCAGUGAUUUUCCUGCCCGUGGGAUGUUGUCGGGCAACAUUGUUAAGGGAUACAAAGCUUGUCCAGAGUGCCUUAGCGAUGAGGAGAGCAGCAGUCAUUGCAACAAGAUAUGCAAAUUGGGUCACCGUACUCUCCUUCCAUAUGAUCACGAAUGGCGGUUCGAUGCACAUGCAUUUGAUGAGACCGUAGAAAACGAUGUGCCUCCCAGAAAAUGGACGAGGGAAGAUAUUUUAGCAGUGCUUAAUGAGUACGAUUUUGGGCAGCUCAGCAAUCAUCCCAAUAUUGUGGCGGCAAUACCUGAAAGACCUGACUUAUACAAAUUCUAGACACAUAAGAGCAUAUUCUGGGAACUCCCAUACUGGAGUAAGUUGUUGAUCAGGCACUACCUAGAUGUGAUGCACAUAGAAAAGAAUGUUUGCGACAGUGUGGUGGGCACAAUGCUGAACUUGGAGGGGAAGACGAAAGACGGUCCUAAAGCACGCAUUGAUCUAAAAAAAUGCUUAUAAGAAGACAUCUGUGGUUGAAAGAAGGGAAGAAAAAAAUGCCUCAAGCUCCUUACACCGUGAAACCUGACCAAAAGAACGUAAUUUUCAAGUGGAUGAGUUAUGUGAAGUAUCCUUCAGGCUAUGCAGGAAAUAUAGCCCGGUGUGUGAACUUCCGGGACAAUAAGAUGUACGGGUUGAAGAGUCAUGACUGUCAUAUCUUGCUACAACGUCUCUUCCCUGUUUUCAUUCCACCGUUCUUUCCCCGUCAGGUGGUGGAGCCGUUAGUAGCGUUGGCAAGAUUCUUCCAGAAGUUAUGCACACGGGAAGUGAAAAAAUCUAACCUCCGGGAAAUGCAAGAGGAUAUCAUUUAUAUCAUGUGUAAAUUUGAGAGGAUAUUUCCUCCAAAUUUUUUUGACAUCAUGCCUCACCUGAUGAUCCAUCUUCCCGAGCAAUUGUUGCUUACCGGUCCAGUACACCACACUUGGAUGUAUCCUAUGGAAAGGUAUGUUUUUUACACCUGAAUUCCUCAAUAUAUAUACAUGUUGAAUAAUCAUAACACUUUGCAACUUGAUUUAUAGGCAACUUGGAGACUACAAAGAUUAUGUGGCUAAUAAAUCCGCGGCUGAAGGAUGUAUAGCUGAAGCAUAUAUUACGCACGAGUGCGUCACCUACAUGAAGUUGUAUUUAGGAGCGUUGAAGGAAACUCCGCAAACCAUACCGGUAGAUGUACCGAAGUUCAAUCUUUCCAUACUCUCCAGUGAUGUUGAAGUUUAUGGAAUUUUGCCAGACUCCUACAAGUUGCAAACACAUGAGCUAGUCAUUGCCCACUGAUGGGUAUUGAUUAACUGUCCAAAAGUUGAAUACUGGAAAGACAUCCAUCUAAAUUAUCUAGACAUUCAAGGUGAUCUCGAUUACCACAACAGGGAGUUCGCAAACUAUUUUGGCAGCUGGGUACGUAAUUCAAUAUUUCUGUACGUGUUUAUAUUUAUUGCAUAAUUAUCCAUAUUUACAGUUGAAUGGUUGGUUGCAGAUGAACCAUAUUCAAUUUGAUGGUCACCCAAAUUGGUCGCACGAACUAAGACUUCUAGCGAUGAAGCCGAUAAUGUCAAGAGUUUAUCCGAUGUGCAAGGUGAAUGGCGUGCAAUUUGUAUGUGAACAGAGAGACAGCAAACGGAGAACACAGAAUUCUGGGGUCAUAGCGCAUGGUGGGCGGAAUGGAGUUGACUAUUAUGGUGUUCUCCAUUCAGUGGUGGAACUUAUUUAUGGGCAAAGCAUGACAGUGCACCUCUUCAAGUGUAGAUGGUUUGAUACUAGGCCGCAGAGCAUGAAGACCGAUUAGUACGGAAUAUUAUCGGUGAACACUGCUACAAGUUCUUCCGAAGAUGACCCGUUCGUUUUUGCCACAUCGGUAAAACAAGUGUUUUAUCUUGAUGACCUUGCUAAGUGUGACGCGUGGAAAGUAGUCAACUUUGUGCACCCUCGAAACAUUUACCGGGCGGCUACACUUGGAGAGGCCGAAGACGAGGAAGAAGAUGUUGCGUAUCAAGAGCCCAUCGCAAUAGCCAUUCCUAACUCCUCUACCGUUCGCCUUAAUAAUUUUAAAACGGGUCGUUCGGUGCGAAUUCGUGAUGAAGAGCCUAGACUUAUUGAUGUUGAUCCAAAUCAAGAAACAGACGAAGAAUCUGGCGAUGAGGAAAGACAUAGAUUACCAGAAAUUAAUUCUGACACCGAAGAAGAUUCAUCGGAUGAUUCCGAUUACGAGCCUUAGUUUUAAUUCCGAUUACAUUAAUUUAAAAAAGAAUGUAUAACCUUUAUAUUUUAUAUAUGUUGAAUUCAUAUUUCUGUUAUUUUAUAUGAAUUUUGGUGAUAUAUGAACAGAAAGUUAGCAUGGUUUAAACCUUCUGUUUUUUUAAUAUAUUUUUUAUACUUUAGCCGAUGAAAUAUACCAUAAUUCGUCGACUUAAACCAUCUUAACCGACAAAAUUUUCCAUAAUCUGUCGGCUUAAACAAUCUUAGCUGACAAAAUACACUAUAAUUCGUCGGCUUAAAUCAUCUUAGCCGACGAAAUAAGUCAUAAUUCGUCUGCUACGAUGUGGUUAGCCGACGAAUACCCUAAAAUUUUUAUAUGACUUGUUGGGUCUCAUCGGUUUGAAACUAUUUUCAGUUGAAGGUCCGGGCAAAAUACGUAAUUUAGGCGGUGCAAUGACCUUCUCCGUGCGUUUAGGGGUUUGACUUACGGAAUUGACCGUCCUGAUCGAGCCCUUAACCUUGUUGGAUCAAGUUGAAUUUUUUCCCAUACAUGUAUUUUAUCAUGAUAUUCAGAUCUGAUGGUCAGAUUUCCGUUUCUCAAGUUUGAUCAUCACAAUCACAAUUUGUCGAAUGUAUAAAAGGUACUUUAGCCGACGAAUUUCAAGGGUUUAGCCGACGAAUUUCAAGGGUUUAGUCAACGAAUUUCAACCUUUAGCCGACGAGAUUUUCUUAGCUGACGAGAUUUUAUAGCUUUAGCCGACGAAAUAUUUAUUUCGUCAGCUAAAGUUGUCGGGUAUAACGCGCUGCGCUCGACAGUCUCCCCAGUCUGCGAGACUAAACCCUAAACACCACCUCCACCUCCUCGCCCGCCUCGCCGUGACACCGUCGCUCCACAUCCUCCACCGCCUCCUAGCAAAGCCCAAUCUCUCUCUCCCGGUUUCCCUCUCCCUCUCCCGGUCGCCGCCCUUUCCCUCCCCCGAUCGCCCUCUACGGCUCGCCUGCUCCAGCUGCUCCGGCCCUCCCUCCACCUCCUGCUGCUCCGGUCCUCCCUCCUCCUCCUUCUGCUCCAACCUCGAGCCCUCCCUCUUCCUCGAGUACAUUUCUGUUUCACAUUUCAUUUUGUGUUUGCUUUGAUUUUCCGGUCAAUUGCAAUGUUGUGAUGUUGUUAGGAAGUGUAUAAUUGUAUUUAGGAAGUGUAUAUUUGUAUUUAGUAUUUUGUGUUUGUUUUGAUUUUCCGGUCAAUUGCAAUGUUGUGGUGUUGUUAGGAAAUGUAUAUUUGUAUUUAGUAUUUUUAGGAAAUGUAUAUUUUUAUUUAGGAAGUGUAUAUUUGUAUUUAGUAUUUAGGAAGUGUAUAUUUGUAUUUAGGAAGUGUAAAUUUAUAUUUAGGAAGUGUAUAUUUUUUUUUUUGUUGACUAAUUGAAUGAGUUUACAUUGUUUGAUUUUGUGGUGUUGUUACGAAUAUGAAAAUAAGCAUGAAACUGACCUCCUCUUCUUGUCAUGAAAUAUAAAUCUAAAAGUUAGGAGCUUAAAAAAUUAAUUUUUAAAAGUUACAAAUGUAAAUUUUUUUUUCAAAAGGCUGACGCCUUGGUGAGGCUCUCGCUCCAUAACCUUAGCUACCCCUUAGCCUUUUAAAACAUUGGCCUUGAUUCAAAUUAAUAUUUUAAACAGGAUGAGCGGUAAUAUUAGAUCGACGAAGGGUUCGAAGGGCCAAAGGUCCGAAUCGUCUGAGGGAACCUCUAGCAACCCUCAAACGUCGUUUCAGGGCCCCACGACAGCCAGACGUGCGACCCUUCUGGAGACGGCGCAGAGGCAACUGGAGGUGCCCCCUUCAUCGAGGCAGCAGGGCGUCCCUCAUUCCUCGAGACAGCUAUGGCUUCAGACCCAGACGGAGGUGUUUGCACCCCGUAUGCCUGAGAUACACCGAGCGCCCACUCUGGGUCCUACUUUUUCGGAUAGUGGGUCAUCUAGGGUACAGAUGUCGCCGCCUCAUCUGUUCCUUCUGCGGAUGAUAUCGGCCUUACCUGCAAUCGAUGGCUCAGGGACGCCGAUUUAUCCACUACCCCCGCCAGUGGCUCCAUCAGCGGCGUACCGGUUCGUGCCUUUUAUACGCCUCUUAUUUUCGCGAGGGUAUUAUCAUCGGCUACAAAGACGGAAUCCGUCGCGUCCGCCGCAUCGCCCUCAGGUAAUGAAAGAUGAAUGAUUUGUUUUCUUAUAAUUCUCCGAUUUUAAUAAUCAAUUUGGUUUAUCAUGUGACAGGCACCGUCGGAGCUAAGCCGGCAAAGAAGAAGAGAGGCCCCGUCACAUGGAAGGCUCUCGAGAAGAUCGUCGGUACCUCAGGGAGGAUCGUCAUCCGUACUGACUGGGAUGGCGACAUAGUAUCGGGCGGGAAGUCGAGGACGUACUCCGGCCGCGUGGGAGCGCUCAUUAGGGAUAGAACCCCUAUGUUGUGGUCAGACUGGGGCGAGGUCCCGUAGGAGGUUAAGGACAUGGUCCAUAACGCGAUGUCGGUGAGUUUACAAAAUGCCUCAAUAAUAUUGUGUAUUACAUUGUUGAUUUUUCGAAAAACUAAACUAAUAAACGGUUAAAUGCAGGUGUGGUUUGAGGUUCCCGAGCACCUAAAGAGCAGCUGGGCGGACGUUGUGCAUGGGGAAGGUACGUUGGGAAGUUAAUGAAAAAACAAAAUUGUAUGUGAUAUUAAUAAUAUUUCUAAUAUUUUUGUUGUAUCUGUAGGUACAAGGAGUGGAAGAACGAGUUGCGGACCCACUGGACUACGCACGGGAACGCACGUUCUGGUACCCCUGCUGAGUUCCAGUACAGGGAGUACGAGUGGCGUUAGCUUCUGACAUCAGAAUUCAACAACCCUCGUAAACAGGUAUUUAAAAAAAUUAAUNNNNNNNNNNNNNNNNNNNNNNNNNNNNNNNNNNNNNNNNNNNNNNNNNNNNNNNNNNNNNNNNNNNNNNNNNNNNNNNNNNNNNNNNNNNNNNNNNNNNNNNNNNNNNNNNNNNNNNNNNNNNNNNNNNNNNNNNNNNNNNNNNNNNNNNNNNNNNNNNNNNNNNNNNNNNNNNNNNNNNNNNNNNNNNNNNNNNNNNNNNNNNNNNNNNNNNNNNNNNNNNNNNNNNNNNNNNNNNNNNNNNNNNNNNNNNNNNNNNNNNNNNNAAGGCUGUUUCCUGGGCGAACGCUCAGAACCGGCAACGCAACACAAGGAACCAUCUUGCCGAUUCUAGACCGUUCGCUGUCUUCAUGGACGAGGCGGCCAGGGAACAUCCAGAAUUCAACCAGUACGUCUCUACGUACAAGAAGGCAUAUCCUGACUCUCAGGAGGAUAUUAUAAGUAAUCUUACGUUUUAAAAUUUUUAAUUUUACUUAUAUAUAUGUCAAAAUGUUAAUUAACCAUUUUUUCCUAUCCAAUUAGGUGAAGGUGAGGGAGGCUAGUGACGAGAUGAUGAGUACUAUAGUGAGGGAGACAUGGCCGGACACGCAGGAGGAAGAGAUGUCCGAAGCCAUGUCCCGGAUCGACAUUUCGGAUCUGAGGGUUGGGGCGAGGAUCAUGGGCACAGCUUUCCCACCGUGAGCAAACAACUUCUACUGCCGGGGUCUAGGAAAGAAGGGCGAGGGGGUCCUGAAGACCACUCCAGGAUUUCAACGAAAGACAGCCUCGACCAGCAGGAGGACCUUGACCACCAGCAAGACGACUCAGCUAGAGUCGGAAGUUCAGAGACUACGGGAACAGCAAGCUGCUUAGGCUGCUUAUAAUGCCACGCAGACAGCCUAUACUGCCGAGGUAUAUGCCAUCCAGCAAGCCCAGCAGCGGUAGAUGCUCCAAUACAUGUAGGAGUUUAUAGCUGCCCAGCUUCAGGGACUUCCGACUCCGCCCAUGCCUACGCUUAUACCGCUACCUCAGCCACCGCAACCUCCGCAGCAGCCCCCAGAAACGGAUAUUAAUUUAGACGAUCUAGAUUUUGUGUAGUUGAUACAUUAUAUAGUUUUAUGUGUUUAUUGUUGGUUAUAUGGAAUUGUUUUGGUGUAUUUUGCAACUUGCUUGGAAUGGUAAUUUAGAAAUUUUGGUUUUUUUUUUUUUACUGGAAUGGACUUGUAGCCGACGAAACAUGUAAAAUAUUCGUCGGCUAUAGUAUUUUUAAUUUUUUUAAUAAGGUUUGGCCGACGAAUUACGGCCCGUUUCGUCGACUAAACCCUCUAAAACCGACGAAACAGACUAUAUUUCGUCGGCUUUAGUUAUUUUUUUAAUUUUUUAUUACACACUUUAGCCAACGACUAUCUAAUUUCUUCGUCGGCUAAAGUCUGGGAAAAAGAGCCGACGACUAUCUAAUUUCUUCGUCGGCUAAAGUCUGGGAAAAAAGCCGACGACUACAUGAUUUUUUCGUCGGCUAAAGUCUGGGAAAAAAGCCGACGACUUGUUUUUCGUCGGCUAAACUCUAGAACUAUAGCCGACGACGUCAUUUUGAUUCGUCGGCUAAAGUCAUCGCCGAUGACCUUUUCCCAACGAAAUCUUAACCGACGAAUUAAGCUAACAGGCCGACGAAACUUUUUCGUCGACUAAAGUGCUUGUCCUAGUAGUGUAAGCCCCAAACUUGUUGUAGGAACUCAAGGCCCAUUCGGCCCAAGUAGACAGAUAUCAAAGUAUAUUCUCUAAAAGCGAUAAGUAAAGUGCAUAUAAAGAACAGAACAAGAAAAAUAGAUUUCUUCAGAUUUUAGAAAUUUUAAAAGUUAUAAAAUUACUAUGAUUUCGAAACUUCAAAAAAUUACAACACAUAAUCAUAUAGUCUUUCGAAAUGCUACUUUUCAGCCUAAUCAAGUUUACCAAAGAGCUAUUUCUGCUACUAAAUCUGACAAGCAUGCUAAUAUUGUUACUAACAGUAAUGUUUUCUCAAAGCCAACGUACAUCACCUGGUUACCUCUGGAGAAUGCGUAGUUAAAACUAAAUUUUGAUGGUUCUAUGAGGCAAGGAAAAACAACCAUGAGAUGUGUGAUUCGUGAUACCAAUGGAAACCCUAUCAUCUCAGCAUGUCAAGCCAUUGGAGAAGUCGGUGUCUUGGUAGCAGAAGUUAUGGCUUUUCGAGAAGGUUUAAAGACCUAUUUUUUGAUUACAUCUUGACAUCUUAUCCGUUCAGUUUUUAAGUCUAUAUGUGUAGAUCAACCCUACAAAUUUUUAGCCAAAUUAGCGAUCGUUAAAGUAAUAAACUAGAUCAAAUUAAUAGACGAACCAAAUCUGUCAAACAUGAACCGUUCAAAUUUAUAAUUAGUAAAUCACACUUAUAAAUGUCUUAACGAUUUUCAAUAUGACUGAAAAUUUACAUAAAUAAUAUACUCAUAAAUACUUAUAAACUGAACGGUUAAUAUGUGGAUAUAAGAUCGAAAAAUGGGAUAAACCGAAAAAUCUUAAACUAGUCCUCAACAGUUCUCAACUUAAGGAUUAUCAUUAGAAAGACUUCCUUUGGUUUAGUAUUCUGCCUACGACAGGCAAAUAAUGUUUUCUUCUUUGACCAACUCAAUGUCUCAAUGUCGAUUGCAGCAGGGGAUUUUCCAUGUAAUCUACUUUAUUUCUACAGCCAAAAAGAAGGAAAUAAUGUAAUAUUGAGAUAAGAGAGAGCCGGGAAGAGAAGAAACUUUUCAAUCAGCCAAUUAAGAACAAAACAUUUAUAUGAAUUGUGUUCUAUUUUGCUUGGAAUAAAUCUGUAGACAUUCUUGAACUAAUUAUUCAACAUCCCUGUAUCCUUUUCCCUGUCAAACCAGGAAAAUUAGCUAAGGAAAUAAAUGUGCGCUCUAUUCUCAAUCAUUCAUCAGUAAUACAAAGCUAUAAAUUACAGUACACAAUUCACCUUUGGGGAUAAGAACUCUUCAGUCCCCCAGCUAUCCCUCCGUGGUGUAUGUCCUAUUUCACUCGCAACCAAAUGAUCGCAUGGUUAGUCAUCACUGGAUGUGCUGUUUCCGCUGCUUUCAACCCAGUACUGUUUAACAACAACCAGUACCUUCUCAGGUACAAGAGGUCCAUCCUCAUGGUCCAUCAUUUUGGUAUCCCAUCUCAUGGCCCCAGCGAUCUUCUUAACCUUGUUCAGGACAUUGACCUCGUCCCUUAAGAUGACUGUCCCUUCAGGCCGCAAGAUGCGGUCCAUCUCCAAAAGGAUGUCUUCCACUUUGCACCUGCUUACAUAUAUAUUAGGACACUGGGAAAUGCUCCAAAUAGUGUUUUAAAUUAAAGCAAACCCUAUCUAAUAACUUUUUUUUUCUUAUAAGAUCUAAUCACAUUAUUUAUUCUAUUAAGAAUUAAAGGAUUUGCCUUGUUACGUGUGCAGAAAAUUGACAACCUACUUAACUUAUCGAUAAAAAAAAUUAAAAAAAGAAUUAUGAAAGAAACCUUCAAUUUUAAGUAAGUCUCUAAAUCUUUAUUAAGUUUGCUUUAUGAUUCACUAUUACCACAAACUCCAGCAUACUAGAACAGCCUAGAGAAAAAUAUUGUUAAACAGAACUUCUGGAUUGAUGAAUUAAUAACCUUCUAGUUUUUUAAAUAAUUAAUAACCUUCUAGUUUGAACAGUUCUACUAGCUAAAAUGAUUGCAGAAAUAUUCAUAUCAAGAAUAUUAACUCCGUUGAUACAAUUUCUGUAUCAUAAGAAAAAAUAUCACGUUUGUAAUCACAUUGGAAGACUUACUCAUUCCUGUACAAGCUGAACACCCCACUAGCAUGGAUAAGGUCAUAUGUCCUUGGAUAUGUAGAGAAACCUUCACACCUGAGAUUGAGAAUUUUGUUUAUGAAUUAGUAACAGGCAAGCAGAUAUCAUAUGUCCUUUGUUAUAGAGGAAUAAGCGCUUGGCGUUAAAUGACAGUGCUUUGCAUGAAUAAAUCCCCUUUUACGCUAAAUUUUCUAUUUUGAAAAACAAAGAAAAAAAAUUUCAAUGUUGUUUGAAAUGUUGAUGACGGAAACCGAGUUAGCAUUAGCAUCAAUAAUUAUAUGUCAUAAAAAACCAUUCAAGGUUUAAUAUGUCGUGAUAGAAACUAUGCAGUUAUAAGUGGAACUAAAAAUGCGACCGAAAGGAGCAGAGAUUAACAGUACCAGUCGUGGUAUAUGCCAAUUAGACCUCUCUCAUAAACAACACCUAAAGUGUUCUUUGCUAUUGAAGGUACGACAUUCAUAACCCAAGAGUUCUUUGAUUCAAGGGCUGCUGCAAAUCCUCCAAGGCCAGCAUUCAUAUCCAUGACAUUCCGAUAUCUUGUAGUGCCAAUUAAUUUGUUGAUUCUUUUGUAGGAAUUAACUCGCUUUUUCCAAAGCUUAUUGUCUUCUUGGUAAGAUUCAAUUGUCACCCCUGCAACUAAUCCAUUGGCUAUUCGAGGAGGGACUGCAUAAAGCCUCGCGGGAAACUUCAACUGCCCUACAGCUACAUCAUUUGCACUGGGAGGGGUUACACAUGUGUCCAUUUUCUUGUACCUGAAUAUAUGACAACAAGCUAAGAAUUAGGAAGACAGUAUGAGAACUUUAGAAAAACAGAUUUAAUAGGAGGAAACAAAACAACAAAAGAAGUUUAUCUUACUAAGAACCAAAGUAGAUUUUUUUUCAAAGAUGCUUGAAAUGGAUUGAAUAGGACCAUAAAGUGAGUAGAGUACUUCAAAGAUGCUUGAAAUGGAUUGAAUAGGACCAUAAAGUGAGUAGAGUACACCAGUAGUAGAAAAAAUAACAAUAAAGAAGCAAUCCCAGUGAACAUGACGCAAGAGGAUUGAAAAUUGUAGAUUCAGGGUAGACUUUUAACUUUUUAAGUUCAGGAGCAACCAGACUUAUCCAUGACAAUUUAAACAUGAAAGCAACCUGUUUAAAAAGUUAACAAAAAAAAAAACAAAACAAGGCUCAUUGAAAGGAUUACGAUAAUAGAGAAGUAAUCAAGAGAAACCACAACAACAAAGGAGACUCAUUCAAUGGAUAUAAGAGUGGUAAUUAAAGAGAUACCACAGUGCAUAGUGACAUACCAGACAUCAUCAGCAUCCUUUGUUCGGCAUAUAUUGGCAGACUCCCUUUGGCAGGAAUUGGUAUUAGCUUUCUUCUUCCAGAUAGCAAUAUCUCCUUUCUCGUACUUUUUCACCCAGCACAGGCUUUCAGCUAGUUCUUCAAUCUUCCUUUGCUCUGCCUGGACAUCCUCCUUGGACCUCUUCCAUGUUUUGUAGUAAGUCUUCCAAUUAAUUGGAGGUCCAGACAAGAUCCAAUAUCCCCCAGGUCUAAGGACCCGAUCAACUUCUUUAAGGUACAUCCCAUCUGAACAAAAAACAUUGACGUUUAAAUUUAAACUUCCAUCACUUUCAGUCUUUCAGAGACAUUUUUGCAGACAUCAAGAAAUUUUCAGACAUUUAAAAACCCAACUACAAUCAGAAGCUCACUAAGUCUACAGGUAGUGAAUGGUUAAUGAAUUCAAUCAAUCAAAAGAAAAUUUCUUCUUAUUGGUCAAUAACUAGAAAAGAAAAAAAAAAAUUGGAAAAUGGAAAUAUAAAGGAUUCCUAAAUAGACCAACAGUCAUCCAGAAGAUGCCAACAGAUAAUCAGCGUUAUGUUAUUUAAAAUCUUGGGAAAGAUAUAGACUCGUUGAAAUAAAUUUAUCAGUCAACACUGAUACAAAUAAAUGCAAAUAAAACUUUGCAUAUCAGUUAACGCUGAUACAGAUAAAAUGCAAGUGUACAAGUGGACCAAAAAACUCUGAAGAUAUAUCAGUGGUAAAUUACUGAGACCUCAGAUUAGUUCAUGACAAUUCAUGUGACCAUAUCAUUUUUAAUAUGAAAAUAUAUGCAUAUGCUUAUCUAUUUUCUAGAAGUCAUAUUCUUACAUAUAGAGAAGCUAAAAAAUCAAGAUGUGAGUUCUCAAUCUCAUAGUUAGUUACUCCAAUAUCUUACCAUUUGCAGUCCAUGGAAUCAGACAUCGAGAGCACUGAGACAUAUCAAAGGCCCUCGAUGGGUAUGGAAGGCGUAUUGAUCCAAGAACACCAAUAACUGCAGGUACACCUCGCUCCAAUGCAAACUGAACUUGUGCUUCAUGAUUGUCCUUCGGUGCAAAUGACAUAGCUAAUACAUUUCUCUUCAGCAAGUAUGCUCCCCAGCUUGCGACCUGUGUCAUAGUUGAUCUCAUUAGGACAACAACCAUGACUAAACAAAAGAAUUUACUGUGUGUGAACAAAUAAGAGAGCUCACAUACAAAAUCUAGUUACAUAAGCAUUAUAUCCGCAGAGACAUCAAACCACCCCAAAAUGCAAGAGCAUGUUUGUAGAUAUACAUCCUAUGUGUAAGCAAUAUUAUAUCUACUUAAAUAUUGUGUGUUUGGAAGGAGUAGGGUCUUAAAUAAUAUUGGAGGAGACUGAUAAGAACACCUUUGGAUGACUGAAGCGAGUCAGAGUCAAACUAAUUACAUACAACUGAUUGCUCAAAUGAAGGAAUGAAACAUCCACAUGCAAGAAAUAACAGAACCAAUGCAGUAUAAAAAAAAACCAACAUACCCCACAGCCAGUAUCCAAUGCUGUUCUCACAGAGCCAUCUUUAAUGGGAAUAACUGAUGCAAGUUCAUCAAUAUAUGCAUCGGCACCGUGAGGGAACAUUGUUCCUCCACCUGGAAAUUUAAAAACAUCACCCUUAAACUCUACCCAGUUCUGAACAGCUUUCUCAACUGCCAGGUGUCUGUAAGGGACAUUAGCAAAGUGGGCAUAGUCGCGACUUUUAGGCCAGGGAAAAGGAGUGAUAUACCCUUCCGGUGCUGGAAUAAGACAGUGCAAUUUUUCUUCUUCUGUGGGGCAAUGUCUUUCUCUGUAUACCAUAUUUUCCCUUGGGAACUUCAUCGCUCGGUCUUGCUCUUGGCAAGGAGUAUAAUCCCUGUACUUAGGAUCACAAGGCUUGAACUCCUCAACUUUCGGUUCAGAGUGUUCAAUUAUCUCCACGUCAUUGUGAUGAGGUUCAAAAUUCAAAUUACUACCAAAGACAUUGCAGUCUGUAUGCCUGGGUACUUCGAAUGCUAUCUUAUCUCCUUUGCCAAAACCACUCUUUUGCCAUGCUCCAAGAAGGUAGAAGAAACAGCACAGAGCGAUCACAACAAACAUAGACAAUGUGCGUCUUGUUCUGUUUCCUGGAGGAUUCUGCUUAGACCCCAUAAUAUUGUCCAGAAAAUUCCCUCAAACCUACACAAAUAACAAGUAAGUUAGAGGGAUCAUUUGAAGCAUAUCAGGUGUGAUGUAAUAGUUAUUUAGCUGUCCAAGAGUCUGAUUUAAAUAUUAAAAAAAGAGAUAAAUUUUGCCACUUGAGUAAUUGUUUCAAGUAUGGUGUCCAGUCUUUAUCUCCCGACUUAAAUGAGUUACAUCCGAAAUAUCUUAGCACUAGAACUAGUCACUAUGAACAUCUGAAUGGUUGUCAAAUACACGCACAGAAAAAGCAAACACCAAAAGAACACUUAAGAAAAAACUAUGUAGAUUCCAGAACAUUAUUUAAUUUUUUCUAAACGUACAGUGGAUCCCUUUCAUCUACCUGGCAACAAUCACAUAAGCUGCCUUCUCUAAACCUAUAGCUCAGAACUUGUAAUCCGUAACUAGAUUUACUUGCAGAGAAUUUUGAACUCAUAACUGGAUAAGAUAAAGUAAUGAAGGAUCAAAUCCAUAUCAGUUAUUUAACUUUGUAGAUUUGCUGGGAAAAUAGCUGAUUGAAUUAUAUCAAGGAAUAAUCUUUACCAGGCAAAUUUUACAUUUUUUUUUUUUUACUUCUAAUCAGCAAUUCCAAUUUGGAAUCAACAAUUACUACCUCAAAGCCAAAAAUAGAAAGAUAGAUGAUCACCCAUUUCCUUAAAGCUAGCUCAACUCUUGGAUCAUUAAUGUCAAGUCCCUCCCCCACCCAAAAAGGAAACCUCUUGAUUUGGACCCAGAUUUAAUUACAAACAAAGAAAUCCAUGCCUAAUAUUCAAAACCCAUCAAACCCAGAAAUACAAAAACCAAAAAACCAAAGCAAAGAUCACCUCUUUCCCACAAAAACCAAACACAAAAACAAUGCAAGCACAGAUCUUGAGACACAGUACCCAAUGGGAAAACAAAAGACAGCAUUUAAAGACAACAUGGAAAGAACAUAGUAACAUAUAGAGGGAUCAAGAAUCCAAACCUGAAAUGGGUGAGGGAGCUAAGCUCUAGCUUUGAUUGGGUUGAGAGAGAUGUGUGAGUGCUCAAAAUGGGUCUAGUGGUAUAUGAAGCUCUCUACUAUUUCACUCCCCAACAAGUGAGAGAGUGCGCGUUUUGAGCAGGAAGAGAAUUAUGGGUUUAUAUACACGUAAGAAGAAAUUUAGAUUUUCAACUGUGGGUGGACUUGGUUGGUUGAAUAAUCCGCCGACAGAGGCAGUGAUGCUGUACGCACUGGAGCAUGCAAAUGACCUGUUGCCUUUGGGGAUUAUUAAGUGUUAAAGAAGGUAAUAAAUUAAUAAAGGGACAGAUCUAAAAGGGGAGAAGAAUAAUGAUAUGAGGAAGAACAAAGGUGAACGAGAACGAGCGACAGACUAGAGUCUGAGAGUCACUAGGUAUAAGACUGAAUUCAACUUACCGCGUUCACGUUGAUUGACGUAUAGUUUCAACAAGAAUAUCUUCUUGUUAAGUUGUCUAACUCAUAUGGAGUUAUGAUCAAUCUUAAGUCGCUAGCUAAUUUGGAUAAUAGGUGUGAUUUUUAUUAUGUUUAAACUAGAACAGGAACAAGUGUGGCUUGUAAAUCAUCAUUGUAACCACCUUUAACUCUCAUUACGUUAGGAGACGUAAUUGAAGAGGGACCCGCUCUGAUACCAACUAGAACAGGGACAAGUGUGGCCUGUGGAUCAUCAUUGUACCGAUACUGUCCCAACUUAACCACCUUUAAGGUGUUGGGUUUUAAUCACAAAAGGCCUCGGUACAAUUGGAUAUGAUCCAUCCACUUAUAAGUUGUAUUUUAUUUAUCCCUUUUCUGAUGUGGGAUCUUUCCUCUCCAACAUUUAAUAUAUGAGAAUAUUCAGUCCAACACUAACGAUAAAUUGUAAGUUAUGAUUUAUUUUAUCAAAGACAAGACAAUAAGAAUGUAAACAAUUUACUGUAGAAUAUAUUAAAUAUAUUUACUUUCCUUGUAUGUGUAGGUUGAAUAUUAUGUAUAGGUGUAGGAAAUAUUUUCCUAUUAGCACUACAAUUGUAUCUCUAUAUAAACCUCCUAUAUGGAGAAGAAUAAUACAUCGAAGCAUACCAAACCAUAUUGAAUCCUUAUUUUCUACUUGGCAUCAGAGCUUGCCAGGUUCGAUCCUUUCAAUUUACACCUAAAACACCAUAAAUCGCUGUGUACUAAAAAUCUCACAAAUCACACACAAAUUCUCAAAUCCCAAGACCAAACCUGAAUCCCGAAUCACACUACAAACGAAUCGUUACAAACAAAAUCAUAAUUCCUGAAUCCUUGUAUCUCAAAAACCAAACCUUCAAAAUGGCACACCAAAUCAACUACCAUACCACCACACCAUGCCGGUCUCCAUGCAAACCAAAUUCAUAUGCAAACUCAAAAUGUCCGCUAUGUGGAGUAUUAGGUCAUAGCAAGCAACGUUGCUUUGAAACAAUGGGUACCCGGAUUGGUGGGAUUUCACCCUGAAACCCCGAAAGAAUCAAGCAAAAACUGUCAUAACCACUACAGAGGAAGACCAACCAUCCAAUGCCUCCAAUGUCACACAGUCAGGUAUGAGUGGUAAGGUAUCUAUGAAUAGGUCCUGGAUUAUUGAUACAGGAGCAUCAGAUCACAUAUGUAAUGAUCCUAGCCUCUUAAAAAAAUUAAAACCCUCCUCUCAAAAUAUUGUUUCUACUGCUGAUGGUACUCCAACUCUGGUUACCGGAGAAGGCUCUAUUGUCCUAUCAAACACAUUAACCCUUGAUUCUGUAUUAGUCGUCCCUUCAUUGUCAUACAAUCUUCUCUCAGUUGGUCAAAUCAUUCAAGAAUUAUCAUGUAUUGUCACCUUUUAUCCGUCUUUCUGUGUAUUUUAGGACAUUCUGACGCGGCGGAUUUUGGGUUAUGGAGUGAGAAAAGGGAAAUUGUACUACCUAGAUCUGACAGAGACAGGAGAGAAACAUAUGCAGUCUUUGGGUCAAGCUAAUCAGGUCAAUAGACCUGAGAGUGCUAAGAAAGAUGUGUGGCUUUGGCACCGCAGGUUGGGUCAUCUAAACUUCGGUUAUCUUAAGAAGCUACAACCGCAAUUAUUUUCGGGUGUCGACUAUUCAGAUUUUCAUUGCGACAUAUGUGAACUAGCCAAGAGCCACCAUAUUUCAUAUUCACCAAGCCUAAAUAAAAGUCUUGUUCCAUUUAUGAAGAUUCACUCUGAUGUGUGGGGUCCUGCAGAAAUUCCUUCUCUCUCUGGCGCCCGAUAUUUUGUGACGUUUAUUGAUGAUUGUACCCGUACGACUUGGGUGUCUCUAUUGAAAAACAAGAGUGAUGUUUAUUCUAGAUUCAAAGAAUUUCGCAAGAUGGUGUCCACACAGUAUCAACAGGAUGUUCGAGUUUUCCAGUCUGACAAUGGCGGAGAAUAUAUUAAUGGUCCUAUGCAAGAGUUUAUGAAGUUACAUGGAAUUCGACAUCAGACUUCAAAUACUUAUACUCCUCAACAAAAUGGAUUGGCAGAGAGGAAAAAUCGGCAGUUGCUUGAAGUUGUCCGUGCCUCUUUGUUUGGCAUGAAUGUANNNNNNNNNNNNNNNNNNNNGGAGUCAAAUAGUAGACCUUGCGAUGUUGGAAAGGUUUGUAAGUUGAAGAAGUCUCUGUAUGGUUUGAAGCAGUCUCCUAGAGCUUGGUUUGGAAGAUUCUCCAAAUCAAUGAAGACAUUUGGUUAUCGACAAAGCAACUCAGAUCACACUUUGUUCAUCAAACGUAGUCAGGGGAAGAUCACCGCUCUGAUUGUGUAUGUUGAUGAUAUGAUUGUUACAGGAGACGACCCAAAAGAGAUGGAGGCUCUACAAAAGUACCUUUCAAAAGAGUUUGAGAUGAAGGAUCUUGGACAGUUGAAGUAUUUUCUCCGAAUUGAAGUUGCAAGGUCAAAGACGGGGAUUUCUUUAUCCCAACGAAAGUAUGUACUUGACUUGUUAGCUGAGACCGGAAUGCUUGACUGCAAACCUGUUGAGACACCAAUUGAGAUGAAUCACAACCUUGCCAUCUAUCCGAAUCAAGUUCCAACUGAUAAAAGAAGGUACCAACGUCUAGUAGGGAGACUUAUUUAUCUUUCUCAUACUAGACCUGAUAUUGCUUAUGCUGUGAGUGUGGUUAGUCAAUUUAUGUAUUGUCCCAGCGAAGAGCAUAUAGAUGCAGUGUAUCGUAUUCUAAAGUAUCUUAAGACGGCACCUGGAAAAUGCUUGUUAUUUGAAAAGAAGGGUGAAUCAGAAGUUGUAGGGUACACAGAUGCUGAUUGGGCUGGUGAUAAGACUGACAGACGAUCUACAUCUGGGUAUUUUACAUUUGUUGAAGGAAACCUUGUAACUUGGCGUAGUAAGAAACAAAAAGUACGUUGCAAGAUCAAGUGUUGAAGCAGAGUUUCGAGGUAUGGCACAUGAAGUUUGUGAGAUGCUAUGGAUUCGUAAUGUAUUGAAAGAAUUGGGUUUCAAACUCAAGAAACCCAUGGAAUUGCAUUGUGACAGCACGUCUGCUAUUGAAAUUGCUCAUAAUCCUGUUCAACAUGACCGGACAAAACAUGUGGAGGUAGAUCGACAUUUCAUUAAGGAAAACUUGGACAGGAAAAUCAUUUGUUUCCCUUUCGUGUAUACGGAAGAUCAAUUAGCAGAUGUUCUCACAAAAGGAGUGUCAAGGAAAGUGUUUGACAACUCGGUUGGCAAGUUGGGCAUGAUCGAUAUCUAUGCACCAACUUGAGGGGGAGUGUAGAAUAUAUUAAAUAUAUUUACUUUCUUUAUAUGUAUAAGUUGAAUAUUAUGUAUAGGUGUAGGAAAUAUUUUCCUAUUAGCACUACAAUUGUAUCUUUAUAUAAACCUCCUAUAUGGAGAAGAAUAAUACAUUGAAGCAUACCAAACCAUAUUGAAUCCUUAUUUUCUACUUUUACAACAUAAGAUAAUCGAAAUUGUAAGUCUCAUUUUAGAAAAGUGAUCAUCAAAGAAGACAUAGAAACAAGUAGACGGAAAUCAUGAAAUACUGUUAACAAGAGGUACGAUUCAAGCAAAAAAAAAGUCUUAAUUAGCAACCUUCGGGCAAAGUUUAAGACCAGACCAAACUACUAUAACCAUGAAACUGUCUCUAUUUCCACAACACAACUUGACUUUGAAUGUGAUGAGGAAUCAAGUAUCAUCUCUAUAAAUACAUAUCAACGAUAGAAAAAAACUACGAACGGUGUCUUAAAUACUUGUGUCUUUCUCAAAACUUAAAAAAUUACUCUAUUUAGACCUCACUCACAUUGUCACAUAUCCUAGAAAAACCAACGGACGUGUACUUGAACACAUGUGGCCACAUGACCCCUAUACAUGAGAUCUAACCCACCGCAACAUAGAGUAAUUGUCCAUGUAAUGUAAUUAAGGUAGGACCAAUAUAUGACAUACACACCCUUCUUCUUCUUUAAUAAUUUGAAAUGGAUGCAUAAAAUGUAGCUGUUAGGGUCAUGAUCUGAUGGUCAUGCCAUGAAAUCAUUCCAUACAAUUCCAAAUAAACAAUAACUGCAAGGACGUUGGCAGAUGGAUAUAUCCGGUGCCCUUCACCGUCACUAAACCAGUACCGACACAUUGAUAUUAGUUAUCAGGUCUCUCUUUGGACUAGGGUUUGGCCAGUGUUUGCCGGUGGCCCUCUUUCUUAUCCAGUCACCGGUGCCGGGGCGUCAUAUACUGACAUGGUUUGGUUUCAUAUAGCAGAACGUAUGGAUAACUUCAUAUACUGGAUUUGCUAUGAUAUGGUUUUGCUGUAUUUUUUCUAGUCAACUGGCUUUGGUCUACUACGGUUUCUUCUACCGUGUCUUCUAAGCUCAUAUUGAGCUCCGGCAAAAAUACCUAUUCGUUUUCAUUUAAACACCAAGGCAAACAUAAGAAAACCAAUUUUAUAAUUUUUACAGUUUACUGCACACCAGACACCCUAAGGAGAAAGUCCUAACUUAGUUACAGUGUUGAUCACUUGAAAGAAAAGAUGAUAGUGACAAACGUCGUUCUGAAGUCUGAACUACUGAUAAGCAUGGUUCACCCACAAGCAUGGGUUACAUAUUCUUGCUACUGAUAACAUCAGGUCAACGCAAGUAUCUGAUAGUUUACUAAAAUGAUAAAAAGGAGUAGAAUAAGAAAACAGAAAUGCAUCAUAUUCACAGUGUAUGAAAAGUACAGUGGAUGAACAAACUUGUCAUUUCCAUGUAUUGCCGCCAGCCCUCGUUCAUCUCUGAUGGUUAAUCAAACAGAAAGUAAAACCGCUAUCUAGAAUCCAUUCCACUAUUUGGAUCUGAAUGAUGGAUAAAGAUUUAAAGACUAGCCGGGCUUGCCACUGUAUCACAUUUAAUCAGACAUUGUGAUCUAAAUUGCGCUACAAAUUUACAGUUUACAAUGCUUCUCCUAAUGAAUUACCGUACAGAGACAAAAUACCAUGAAUCACCUUGCCUGAUAGAAUUACAGUCACUGUCUCAACAUCGUUGUAUCAAAAUUCAAUUGCCUUUGGUCUGUAAGAAAAGUGGGGGUACAAAACACAUCAAUUUCAAUAGACUGAGACAAACAAUAAUUUCGAAACAAAUUAAAUGAGCAUACCAGGUGCAAGCUGGGAGUGAGAAUUAAUUAGUUGACGGAAACAGGUAAACAAAAUUAAAUCAAAAAUAAAUUAUUGUUCAACACUUACCGGCCUUAAGUGAAUGGAGAUGUUGAUCCGGACUUCUUUCUGUACCUUUGCUGGACUUCAAUUUGCUAGCCUCACCCUUUCUACUUUUCCUUGAAGAGCUCAGAGAUCCUUCAACUGCACAAAGCGAGAGUCAGCAAGAGAGUGGAGUGCACAGAACAGGUGGUCUCAGAACAAUUCAAAACUUCCUUUGUUUCAAGAAAAGCUCACAGUUUCACAAAUUAUGACUUUGUUUCAAGAAAUGUUAACAUAUAAGGCGACUAUUCUAGGACACCCUAUACACAUGAAUAGAUGACAUCAUUUCCACCUUCAUACCUUGCCAUUCCCAUACUACUUUUGAUUCACCUUUCACCAAUGUUGGAUAACAAUCCAUGCGGGAAUCUUCUCGAACCAACUCUUCAACCUGUCCAGAACACAGAUGAAGCAUGUUCAACUAUAUUGUUACUAUUAUUUCCAUAGGUAAUAAUUAAACCAAUAAACUAAUUCAGGCUAUGCAAAGCGGACAAAAUUUAAGUUUGCAAUAUCAUAUUUCUUACGAUGAACAAUGAUACUUCAUAGCUUGACUGCAACUUGUUUACGCAAUUGAAUACAAAUAUGUUUUCACGUAUUAUUAUGGACGAAUGGCACAAAUUAAUUCCAUAUUUACACCAACUAUAUUGUAGGGCUUUACCUUGUAGGCCUGGAAAACUAGUAAAAAUUGAUUGCAACAAAUGCACAAAAUAUAUACAUAAAGUUAUCAUCAUUGGUCCAAAUGACCCGGCCCAACCUACCAAACCAAAACCCAGCAGAAGCAAAGGUCAAUCACUCAAUCCAAUGGGUCCUCAGUUAGGAUCUGGUUUUCCUUUUCUACCACUAGGUUUUGUGUACAAUCUUUUGUUUUCUUUAUUUUUCAAAAAAGAAAAAUGAAAUUCAUAAACAAUAAAAGCUUUAUUUCUUUAGGGAAAAAUAGUAAAGACAUCAAUCAAAGGUCAAUGUUUUAACGUCAAAUUCGAGUGAAACUGGGGCAAUAGGAUCAACUUCUCAAGCCAUGAAAGUACGCUGAUUUACAAGCCCAAAAUGUAACUGGAACAAACAACAAUGACAUAGUUGAAUACACUCAUAAUACUCUUCUGGUUUGGUUUGGUAAAAGAGUACUGCUUGGAAUACAGAUAGUACAUGAAAUAUAUAGUAUCCAUUAGUACGUGAUCAGUCGGACAAGAAAGUAACAUUUGAAGCGGAAAAUAAUAAAUUACAGGCGCCAAACAGGGAUUAAAAUACCUUUUUCCAUAAUUCAGGGUUCUUCCUCUCUUUCAGGGAAAGAAGAGAAUCACGCAAUGUAGAGGCAACAACCCAUGGUUCACAUUUCUCAUUCGCUCUAUUCAUCAAGGCUUUCUCCUCGAGCUCUUCACAUAUCUAUGUAAAACAAAAAAACGUCAACUCCAGUAUAACAUUGAUUUUAACAUAACAAUUUUACAAGAAUGUGUCUGUUUGUUAAGUUUAUAGCAAAAAUCUAUGGCAUGCAUCAUUGAACAUCACUCUAGUAUGAUAUAAAUCUGAGGUAAUAAUUUACAUCAAUGUGCGUCAGUAUAUUGAGUUAGUGUGACAUAAAUUUACAAAGCUUGAUUGGGAGUUCGAUUGUAAAUUUUCUAAACGUAAGCAGAGUGAGGUUGUGAUGUAUGUAGAAUAUCAACUUCUAAGAAGAGUAUUAAUCGUGACCAUAAAAGAACAAAGCUUUGGCAUCCCAGUUAAUGAGAUCAUACAUAUCAAAUCUGACUCUUAGUCAAGAAUAAAGUAUGCUGACACCACAUAUAGGAGCACCACUUUUUUUUUUUUUCCUUUUUCUUUUUUCUUUUUUGUCUAGAAGAGGCAGAUAUAAUAUUUCUCAAACAUUCAGAUGCACGGAAACAUAAAAAUGUAUCAGUAUUAUAAGUAUGUAAAUGUAACAGGAGUUACACCUCAGUAUGUCCGACUACCUAAACAUAACAUACAAAAACCGUUUGCAGAAGUCCCUUACAAUCGAAGGAAAGAUGGCAACAUAAUACCUGUUGGUAAACCUCGUCAACUCUAGUCGAAAGAUACUGCCUUUGGUGGAAUUUCCGAAGUAACAACGUGAUUCCCAGAAGCUGGAGAUCUCAAUACGGUCAACAAGCUUCAAAUGGUGAUACUAAAACAUAAGCAUUAAAGGUUGCCUUUUAGAAUGGUAUACCGCUGCACAAACGGGAAAAAUAAGUAAUGCAUGCUCAGAGAUCCAUUGACUGAUGCGACAGGAAGAUGGUUUAUAGUGUUCUGCUAGCAUGUCAGGACACUUAAACUCUUGGACCCUACACAAAGAGAGUAAGCAUCAAAUAAGAUAACCACAACACAUUCAGUAACUGGACACGCAUCCCUCUUGAUGAAAUGACAUACCCCAGAGAAUUUGUCCUUCUGUCCAACAUUCCACUGAUCAUCUCCAUUGCCCUUUGUUUCGCAUACAUAAAAAUAGCAUUGUCUGAGCCAACAUGUUCUGCCAGCUCAUUCUUAUCAAAGUCAUUCCAUAUGUCAUUCUGUUCAACCUGUCAGCGCCACACAAACGUCAAUAAAAAUAUCCACAUGAACAUGAUCUGAUCAAGUUUGCAAGUUUUGAAAAGUAUUGUACCCAAAUUGUUCCAAUCCCAUGGCACAGAUACUCCGCAUAAGCUUCACAAAGACGAAUCUCUACCAUUUCUGCCUGCAUAUUAAAAAUUCUAAAUAAGGAACAUCUACAUUCUACAUAUGUAUAUGCUUUAACCUAUAUGUAUAGUAACAUCUACUAGAAACUCAGAUAGAGCAAGAUUUUCAGGACUCACAAGUUUCGUAGCUGUGUCCUGAAUAACUCCAUCUUCUACACAUAGCUUCCCCCGCUUCGUAUAUCCUUGAUCACACUGCAACUGGCCUUCCUGGCAUCGUCCAUGACUCGGACACGGCUCACAAGAAUCUGUAACAAAUCAGUCCCAAAGUAUCAUCACUAUAACCAAAUACAUCACGCCGACAACUAUAGCUCAACAAUACAGUUGCAACACAAUGCUGCUUAUGCAGCAGCUAGAGCUCGCACUAUAGCAACUGGAAUGAGAAUUCUAGGGCAUUGAAACAGAAAAAUGAGAAUGGGAAAUUGAGGUGGGAAAGUGAGAAGAGAAGUAGAAUUACCGGAGAAGAAGUCGAGGGAGGGAUCGGGGCCGUCGCAGAAGGGGUUAGAGCGGGGGUUGAAGAGGAAAUUGAAGGAGAAAAAGACGGAGGUAGCGAUGGCGAGGACUGCGAGGAGGCGGAGAAACUCGGCCUUGGUGGGGAAGAGAGUCUCGGGAGGCUCGAGGAGUGAUGGAGAGGAGUUGGGGUGAGGCCUGGGUUUGGGUUUGGGGCGCUUCUGUGGAGUCGAAUACAUUUUUGAUGAAAAAAGAGAGGGAGGGAGCGAUGAAGAAGAAGAAGGAGUUGGAUCGACCCGAUCCACAUGCGCUUUGACCCGUUAAGAAUUUGGGUUUUAGACUUUUUAGACUUUUUUCUUUUCUUUUUUCGUUUUCUUUUUCGUACAUGUAUUUGAUCACAUUUUCGGCCAACUGAAGUGAAGAAGUGACAUAUCUAUUACUUUAUUUUCAUGUAACUCACUCCGAUCUUAUAAUGUUUGUGAGUUUUGAACACAUGAUUAUUACGAUAUCAGUGAAGCUAGCUAACCAACAAGUCACGGUUCACCAACGAAACAUGUAACAUUCUCUUUAUUGACAAAUCUAAUUCAUUUUUAGUUUUAUAUCAAUGAUCAUAGCCAAAGCAUUCAAAUCAUACGAGAGAAUGAGUUUUUAAAUUUCGUUUUCUGGCCUAUAGGAGUAAUCAAAGUUUGGUAUCCAAGAUAUAGGAUUUGCAUGAUACAUUCACAUAUUGCUCUUUCUUUAACAAUUUUUCAGUUUUUGAUCUCGAGAGGACCUCUGUAUAGAGGUUUUGUGCCUAUUCGAAUAUGUCAAUCUCAAUAAUAAUUUUUUUUAAUUGAGCCAAAACAAAAGCGCGCACCAAACUCAAGCUUUUAUUAGUUGCAUAACACACAGUAUGACAGUAAUAUGUAAAAUCAAAUGGAAAACGUUUCCCAUGCAUGGACUCAAACACUAUAGCAACAGCAAAUAGCGCUAGUCACAGUCUAGUUUUACCAACACUCGUACAACUUCACGUCAACUUUGAGACGGAAAUAGACAUCACCCUCAACAUCAUCACCCAUCAAAGUAGCAAUCCCUCUAGCCAUGAAGAAGUCACCAGUUCCACCAACAACUGAAAUGUCUCUAGUCUUAGCCGCCGUUGGAUCAGCCCCAACACAGUUGAUGCUUCCUUUGUGUUGGGUUGAGUUGAACACGAAGGAUAUCCCGAAAAAAGCAGUGAAUGCAACUUUCCUGUCGUACAAGUAAAAGCCUUGCGCGCGACCAACCGGGGUCGAGUGCAAGUUGUUGUCUGAAGUGAUCGGAUCGUCGAACACAACCACAUCCCCGAAAUGGUUGUCCUUUGCCAGUAUGGUCUUGUUGCCCCAAGCGGGUGCACCCACGAUGGCUGAUGUUGCAUUCUUUGAAUUUUUGCCGUUGUAGACAAUAUCGUGGAGAUAGAAAACGAGGCGUUUGCAAGGAAGAGGAUGAUGAGGCUUGGAUUUGAGGGUGGGGGAAGCUGCUGAGGUUCCAAAGAGGAGGAAGAAGAGGAAGAGAGUUGAAGCUAGAGAUUUUGACUCCAUUGCUAUAGUCUUGUAUAGACUAAAGAGAACUCCAAAGUGCUCUGUAAGGGGUUGUGAUCAUGGGACCUUAUUUAUAUAGGAGUACUAGGACUGUAGGAGAUUGGCGAAGAGGCAUAGUUGAACUAGUUUAUUUUUUUAGCUUCCAGUCUAAGAUUUGCAUGACUUUGAUUGCCUAACCAUGCAAGCCAACCGUAAAUUAUUCUAAUUAAACUGAUAUUAUUAGUGUACUGUAUACCGUCCCUCCCUAAACAAAUGGAUCUAAUUACACUUUACGCUCUAAAUUUUUGAUAAUUGAAUAUCAUUCUCUGAUUACCGCCUUGCUGUACCGAUGGAAGCCCUUCAACAACCCCAUACCUGUAUCAAAACCCCAAGCGGUUGAUGGAAUUACAACCUCAAGUUUGUAUCUCGCACAGUUCCACUCCCUUAUGUGGUUCUUUGUGUUAAUGAAACACAAAGUUGGGGAGGAGGAGACCUUUCACUUUUUUCUUUUUGUCUCUUCCAAAUGCCUCUUUUCUUUUGGAAAGAAGGUAUGCAUUGGAAUUGAUCGACUUGUGUGCGUGUGUUUUAAUCUUGUACUUCUUUGUUUGAAAAAAAUUUUAAUCUACUCUUUUAGAAUAAUGCUAAGUGAAUCAUCAUUUGAGAAACCACAGCCCACCAUAAAUAACAGCUUAUGUGACAUAGCCAACUCAUCAAAACCUAAUUUCAACUCUUUUAUAUUUAUAUAUUUCCUUAAUUACAAUUUUUGUUUUUUUCACUUUUAUGAUUAUAUCUUUUAACCUUAAUUCUUUUUCCUUCUUCUCUCUGAUGUAAUGUCUGUCAUCUUCGGAUGGUAGAUUUGUUAGUAUUGUUGCUUUUAUAUUUUCGGAUGUAAGGUUAUUGGUCCAUAGUUUAGCGAGCUGUCAGAUUCCUCACUCUUUCUAUUUGGAUCAAGUUAGAGACUUAUGCUCUUUAUUAUUAGUUUUCCAGCCUUGUGUUUACAGGUUUGUAAUUUAGGUUUGCUUUUGAUUAAUGAAUUAUUCAUUUUUACUUAAAAAAAAAAAAAAAAUCGUCUCUCUCUCUCUCUCUCUCUAUCUCUCUCUCUCUCUCUCUCUCUCUCUCUCUCUCUCUCUCUCUCUCUCUCUCUCUCAACCAGCAUCAAUCCUAUCGAGCUUAGUUUAUAACAUGACGCAUAUUAUGUUUUCAUGGUGAUCAUUGUUUUGUUCCAUGGGGUCGUCGUCUAGCAUUUUCCCUUUGAUAUCAAUGUCAUUGUGAUUUCUCAAAUGAGAAAUCCCUCCUGUGAAUUUGGAUUUCGUGUUGAAUUCGAUUGUUCACUCAGUGGGGUUGAUAAUUGAUAAUGAGCACUAAUCUCUUCCCCCUAACAAGAUAUCAUGCACUAACUCUGGGACUUCUCUCACAGUUUCACGUCCAAGUUUCGCCUUACGGUUGGGAGAGCAUCAAAUUAUACAAGUCAAAACAUGUGAUCAGUUUCAUGAACAUUCAUUAAGUCUGGUACGCAUAUACAAAUUAAUUUUGUUCCUAACUCAAGCAAAUACCCAGCUUAUACUUAAAUAAUCAAGUAGUUAACAUGUAAACUACCUUCAUCUUGAAGCAAUAUCAACUGCGAAUUUCUACUACACUGAUUGAAGGUAUAAAGUUCUGGUUGAACUCAAAGCGUUCGCUUUCUGCUUUCAUACAUUUAGACCAAUAUCUCAUAUCGAUCAACACUACCAAAGUACCAAUAUCUAUACCCAUUUUAUUUGUCCCCUUAGCCCCUUUUCUAGUAAUAAGGAGGAGAGAAUAGAAUUCGAGACGUCUGAUGGAGUGAUGGAGAUGAAGAUAGAUCAGAUCAGCGAGAAGAAAAAGAAAAUAGGGUUAAAAGAUAAAUUUCUGUAGUGAAAAUAGAAAAAGGAAAUUGUAACUAAGAAAAAAAAUCAGAAUUAGGCUUUGAUGAGGUGGCUAUGCCACAUAAGAUGCCACCUAAGAUGGGCUCUAGAUGGUUGCCCAAAAUGGUGGUUCACCUAACAUUACUCUUAAUCUUAUACUUCAUAUAAAACUAUAAAAGAAGAUGGUAGAUCAUUGAGUUAUGACAAUGAAGAUGUAGUAAUGGUCCUUAAAAAAAAAAAAUAGUAGAAAUGGCCAACCACAGAAGAACAAAUGCAUUGCCUCAACCUGCAAGUUUUUGUAAUGGCAUUCUGGUUUUGUAACAUCACAAAAUCAGAUUCCUAGAAAAUGGUUAAACUGGAAACUAGCAAGUACAAAAGGAAUGUUUGAUACCAUGCAACAUCACAACUCAUACUAUUUUUUCCAUAAGUUGAUCUAAUAGAUAAGUGGACAACAGAAUGUUCUUUGUUCGUACAACAAAUCUUUGAGCUUGGACGAAGCUCACCCUUGUUCUCAAACUAUUAGCUUACCAGGGCAAUCAAUCAUACACUCACACUCCAAUGUAAGAUCAGAGUUCUAAGAAGUAAGAACAUUCAAAUGCAACAAAGUCAGGCAAUAAACCUGUAGUCAUCAACAGCCAACUAGAAUCCUGGCUGUUGGAUAUAGCAGCCAUAUAAAAAUAUUAUCACUCCAACUCCAAAUCCUAAUCCAUUCUAAAAUGACUCGACAAAUUUCCCUUACCUAUCUGCCUCAUCAUCGCACUCGACUUUUCCAUCACACCAAAUUUCAACUACAAAAAAGCUGCAUUGCCAAACCUACCCUCUUAAGUCAUUACAAAACCUCUAAUCUUAGCUGCUAUUUCUUCCCCCAAGUUAAAUGAUUUCAUGUAGCCUAAGAAUUAAUCAGACUACAAAGUGAAUUUUCAGACCAAAAGACAAAAAGAAAAAUUCAUCUCAGCUCAAAUAUUAGAGGCAGUUCAUAAUUCUCAUUAGGAUUGGCUCUCAUAAAGCUGAAAACACAAAAUCAAAAAGUUGGGUCCUUAAACUUAUCACGUAAAAAUCUCACUGAAUUCUCAUUGCAAGCUAAAAUCAUCAGUUCUACACAAACCCCACAAAUUCAGCAAAACCCUAACUUCUCAUAAACAUGAAAUUACAGCAAAUUAAACCUCAGAAUUCCACAAAAGGCGCUCAGAACACCACGCGGAACUGCGGCGCGUCGGAGCCACUCGCGGAGAGGAUCUCCCAGCGGCAGGGCUCGAGCUCCUCCGAGACGGGGCAGUACCCGGCGAGAGUGACCUUAUCUGCGGAAGCGGCGACCGACCCGAACUCAAAGACGGUGACUUUGGCGGCGGGUCGGGGAACCUCAACGGCGCCGUUCAUGCCCGGAACCUCGACCGGUUUCGGAUCCGGGUUGUUGGGUUUGGAGUCGCCGCCUUUCCACCAGGAGAGAAGACCCAUGACGACUAUCAAUGUGGAUUGGCUUUUGCUGCAUUUGGGUUUUAAGCAAAGGAGGAAUAUAUAAGUGGGCUUGUAUUUUGGAGAAAUUACGGGUGUGCCAUUAGGCCUUUUUAAGGAGAAUUGAAUAGAAACUGAGGGAGAGAAGAAUUGUGGAGGGGUUGUAUUUGGCGCUAUUGCUGUUCUCUGGAUCAAGGUUGGUGUUCAAGUUUAAAUCUUUGAGGUUCUUUAUUUUAAUGUUGGAUGGGUUUUUGUGAUUUUUGAUUAUUGUGAUUCAGAUUGUGAAUUGGGUAAUGUGUUUUGUUUAGUUGUGUGAUUUUGGUGCUUCCCUUCAUUCCCAUGUUUAGUUUGUAGAUUCUGAAGCAAUCUGUGAUGCUUGAAAGGUUAAAGAUCAUGAAGUUUUAUAGUUUGGAUAGUCAUUGAAUUGCAGAUGCCAUGUUUUGUUUUAGUUAUUAGUUUCAGAUCAUUUGACUGAUGGUCUCUGUUGAGGAAAUGUAUCAUUCUGUCAGAGAAACCAGUUUAUGAAGUUGAUGGGUCAGUUGACUGAAAAUCAUAUUUCUGCUAGUAUUUUCGAGUAAUACACAAGGGUCAGUUUUAGAUAUCAGAAUAGUUGAGGAAGAAUAUCAGUCUACCUUGGAAGUUAUAAUCCUCAUCUUCAUCAUCCUCGUACUGUUCCUAUUCAUACUCUCAAUACCAAUUGUUAAUAUCUUCUUGUAAUUUUGAAUCAGGCGCGUCUUUGUUGUGAAAUUUUUGUUUAACAACCAUGAAUGAAGACCAACGCUCACUCCUCCUCAGCUCCUCAGCUCGCUUCCCACCUCCACAAGGUUCACAAUUUCUCUGACACAUUUUAUGUAAUGUCAAUAAAUUAUGUUUCCGGUUAGUCAAUUAUGGAACUCUGAAUCAGGAGCGAAGCUAUCAUACGGUACGGCUGGGUUCAGAGCGGAUGCCUCGAUUCUUCAAUCCACGGUUUACAGGGUGGGAAUUUUAGCAGCCCUUAGAGCAGUCAAGACCCAAUCAGUGAUCGGGCUGAUGAUCACGGCCUCUCACAACAAAGUCUCUGAUAAUGGAAUCAAAGUUGCUGACCCUAGUGGUGGAAUGCUCUCUCAAGAUUGGGAGCCCUUUGCGGAUACACUUGCCAAUGCCCGUGAUCCCCAACAACUCGUACAGGUCUGUCUUUGAUAUCAUCAUUGCUUGUAUGGGUGCAUGCAUGUUUUUUGCUUCCUCGUUCCAUUUUGGAGAUACUCACAACGAAUGUUUAAUAACAUCUGACAGUUAAUAACUGAAUUUGUGGAAAAUGAAAAAAUCACACUUGAUGGAUCCAAGAAGGUGGAGAUACUACUGGCAAGAGAUACAAGGCCCAGUGGGGAAUCUCUGCUUGAAGCUGCUAGACAGGUAAAUCUCUUUCAAGAGGCUUCAAAACAUGCAUAUUUUAGAAUUUUUUUUAGGAAUCUUGAUUUACAUUUGCUCCGUGAAGGGAAUCAGUUCCAUUAGUGGAGCGGUUGCCCUUGACAUGGGAAUUUUAACAACCCCGACACUCCAUUGGAUGGUUCGUGCCAGAAAUAAGGGUGUGAAAGCAUCGGAAAUAGAUUACUUUGAGCAGCUGUCCAGCUCAUUCAGGUUAGUUUUCAGCUAGAGGUUGGUGUAUAGGCUAGUUUGUUCUAAAAACAAGACUCAUGGUGUUUGAAUGCUUUCAGUUUAAGAACAUUGUGUGGUUUUUUAGGUGCUUAGUUGAUCUGAUUCCUAGUGGAUCUAACACCAGAAAUGAGGCAGAUAAGCUGGUUGUAGAUGGGGCUAAUGGUGUUGGUGGAGAAAAACUUGAAACUUUGAAGAAGAUGUUUAAUGGCUUGGUUAUUGAUGUUCGGAACUCUGGAAAAGAAGGAGGUGUACUCAAUGAAGGGGUUGGUGCUGAUUAUGUGCAGAAAGAGAAAGUUGCUCCAUCUGGUUUCAGUUCACAAGAUGUUGGGAUCAGGUCAGCUGUCUUUUGAUUAUAAAUUUAAUUGUGAUUAUCAAGUACUGUAUGCCCAAAGCCUUUACAGUUCUUUACAAACUUGCUUAAAAUGCCUGCAUCAUAUGGAUAUUACUAGACAAUGACUGAAAAUCAUAAUUUCUACAAGUUGUUUCAAUAUCUAUGCCUAGAUGGUUAUGGAUGGAACAAACAUACUAGGUCAAUGUAAGAUAUUGAAGAAACUGACAGACUGUGGUGGUUUAUUGGCUUACUGAUGUUUUCCAUGAUAGCAUAACAAGUGAACUGCUCUUGAAUACUAGAAUUUUGAUAUGAGUUGAGAUAACUAAUUGGAGUCUUAGACUGGUUUUCAUAGUUGAAAUGAUGGUUUGCUUGGAAACAAGUUGUAGCUUUUAUUUUUUCAUCAUAUCCCUCUCUAAAGCAUUUGGGUGGUGAUGCAGGACAAAUAGCGCUAACUGUAGAACUAGGCUUAAAGAACAAAAUUAAGAAAGGGAUAGGUCUACUAGCAUCACACCAGUAGGUUCUCUAGAUAUCUCACCUAAGGUUAGGCUGCAUCACACAAACCUGGAUAGAAAGCAAAGCUCUCAAACUUUUAUUUAUUCAACUCUGGAAUCAAAAGACUACAAAACACCUCUAUAUAUAGAGAGGAUAAAACCCUAGAAACCCUAGAUCAAUUAGGAUCAAGUAACCCUAAUAUUCUAGAACUUAAAAGAUUCCCUAAUAACAAAACAAAUCCAAAAUAAGAAAGAAUUCAGAAACUUUCCCAAAUCGUGACUUAAGAUAUUCUGUUCCUAUUCUCCAUUAGCCGGUUUGCAAGAAUUGGCGUGUAAUGCAUUUCUCUUGGGGUGUCAAGUAGGUCAACAUCGCCAUGUUCAGUUAGUUAAUGUUCAAUUGUGUAUGAAUAAUGUUUCGACUUGCGCUGGAUUUAAUGAUGGGAGUGGAACUAACUGUUGGAUAACGUCUUGUUUUUCAGGUGUUGUAGCUUGGAUGGUGAUGCUGAUAGACUUGUAUACUUUAUUGUGCCAUCUACAAGUAGUGGUAGGAUUGAACUUGUUGAUGGGGACAAGAUAUUAUCGUUGUUUGCUGUAUUCAUCAAGGAGCAAUUAAGCAUCUUGAAGAAGAAAAGAGAUGUUAAUGUGAAUGAUGGUUAUCAAUGCUGUCUUGGUAUUGUGCAAACUGCUUAUGCAAAUGGAGCAUCCACAGAUUAUCUCAAACAGUUAGGCCUGGAAGUCAUUUUCACUCCUACAGGUGUGAAGUACCUGCAUGAGAAAGCAGCACAGUAUGAUAUUGGGAUAUAUUUUGAGGCAAAUGGCCAUGGCACCAUCUUGUUCUCAGAACAAUUCUUACAGUGGUUAGAGGCCAAGAUUGCUGAGCUUUCUGAUGUAGCUAAAGGUUAAAACCAGAGAGUUUUGAUUUAUUGGAGGUUUGCUGUUUCAUUCUGUAUUAUGUAUAUGAAUGAUGGACAUUGUUUGUUUAAAUCAGGUUCGGAACCACAUAAGGCAGCUAUGAGACUCUUGGCGGUCACAAAAUUGAUUAACCAGGCUGUUGGGGAUGCUUUGAGUGGGAUGCUCUUGGUUGAGGCCAUUUUACAACAUAUGGGAUGGUCAAUAGAGAAAUGGAAUAAGCUUUAUCAGGAUCUACCAAGUAGGCAGCUUAAGGCAAGUGUCCUUGAUUACCUUUUCAUGAGAGAAAGUCUUAUGCUUAUAUAUGGAUGAUUGGAUGCUUAUCAUCUUUGUAUUUUACCUCAAGGUAUUUUAUCUUUAUAGUUUUCUAUUUCGGAUUUGGUCAUCUGUUCUAAAAAAUAGUUCAGUUUUCUUAUUUUCGGGCAGCUUUGCACAUAUUGUGCUUUUGCAUUUUUAAGUAUAAUGAUGUGCCCCGUGCUUUUAAGAAACUAACAGUGGCAAUUAUCAGGUCAAAGUUGUAGACAGAACCGCUGUUGUCACAGCAAAUGCAGAAACUGUGGUUGCGAAGCCCCCUGGCAUUCAAGAAGCUAUUAACGCUGAAACUGGUAAGCAGCCUAUGAGACAUUUCUUAUUCCAUUACGUCUGGUAUACUGCACAUCAUCUUUUCUGUCCACAAUAUACUUGGUCAUUAUGAUUAUUGGUCAGACACUCAGACCCAAGAAAAAUGUCCCUUUGAACUUGUUUUGGCCUGAUUCAGUGUCCCUUUGUGAUCUGUGUUCUUUACCAAAUAGCCAAAGAAUACUAUGCAACAUCUUUUGCAGAAAUUUCUCAUGUUACUUUUAAGAUUGGCACUUUUCCUAAAUUCUAUUUUUGGGUAUAUUCACAGUACAAACAAAUUUCUCAGUUUUUCAUUUUUUUUAUCUUUUUUAUAUUUUUAUAAUUUGCAGCUAAGUACCCUAGAGGCCGGUGUUUCAUACGACCAUCAGGAACAGAGGAUGUUAUACGAGUAUAUGCAGAGGCAUCCACUGAGCAUGCAGCAGACAGCUUAGCCAGUUCUGUGGCAAAACUUGUAGACCAAAAACUGGGGUCUGGCACUUGAUGAUCUCCUCUAGCUUGUCCAACUGGUCUUUCCUUUCAAUUUUUUUUUUUGGUCGAGACUUUCCUUUCAAAUUAGGCUGUCAAAUUUAACUUAUAGAUGAGAAUUAGGCCUAGUGCCAAAUAUUAACAACUGGAUAGAAGACCAUUAAGCUUUUGAUUAUAAGUAUCUUCAUUCAUAGAUAACUGGUUUCUUUAACUAUAAAUUGUAGUUAUAAUAAAACAAGAUAUAAAAAAGUUUCGAUUGAGAAGAUAAGAACGUCUCUAUUCGAUUAUUGAGUCAGUUCUUGCAGGGUUGGUUCAUGUUGAUUCAACCCUCUGUUAUACUACAUCUUGCAAAUCACAUUCAGGCUUCACUGGUCCAAUACCGUGCAUAUAUCAAUUAUCAAGAACAUAAGAAGCUUCAUAGUGUCACCAACUACACAAAGUUACAUCACACCAUUUUCUCCUUCCCAAAAAAUACAACUAAACAAAGUUAAUGGAGCAACUGUAAUAUUCCCAAGUAAACUUCUCAAUUAGCAUUCCCAAGUAAAGUUUUGCAAUUGUAAACGAACUAGACUGUUUGGAAAAGUUUCCAAUCUGGUAGAAAUCCAAUAUGCGAUCAAAUUCUCACGGUAAAACUCUAGCUCAGGACUGUCCUCAUGGUGGUUUCAUAAUUUUGCCAUGGAUAUUGAGGCACCACAUCUGCAUUAUGGGGAGGAACUGCCUCCAACUAGAUUUCCAAGACUACCAGUCUACCUCAUGUCCAAAGACCCCUGUACAAACUGUGGAUCACAGACGCUUUGCCUAGUAGAUUUCUGUCACCCAGUUAGCUAUAGCUUUGCUGAUUUAGGAGACCAAAGAGUAGGCCUUGCUCUUGCUCUUGCAGGUAGUGAGAAAAUGAGUUUUCUUGUGACAACAUUCAAGUAAAAAAUACGUAGCAGCAUACUGCCAUCCUCCAUCUAUUACGAUCCUUUGCCUCUGUUGUGCGCCUUUGUGCUGUACCUUCACAAGCGGAAAAUAUACUGGAGAGGAGCUUUGCCAACCGUUUGGAGUCCUUCAAUUUGCAUAUUGCUGCUCUGGGGUUAUUGGACUUCUCUUCGCUGUUCGUUGUUUGUGAUGUAUAAAUCUAAAGUUAUGUUUAGUUUUGCUGUUUGCUAUUAUCUUUGGCUAAAUAAUCGAUUCUUCAGUAAAAGGCAGGAAGCAGGAAGCCCCUGACAACAUUUAGAACUCACAAAAAAGCCGUAAGUUCUGUAUUGGAAUUGAUGUCAAAAUCUUUUAUGAGGUAAACCUUAAAAUCAGACGUCUUAGGAUCACAACUGAAACAUGAACUUUUAUAAUCCGGAGUCAAAUACACUAUUCUAUGAAAACUAGAGUGGCAGUAGAAGCUGCCGAGCAACCAGAUGAAAAGUGGGUGCUGCAUUGGCUUGAAAUUCCACAAGUGAAAGCAUGACAUGCGGCAUCAAGAAUGUGCUUGAAUGAUCUCAUAGGCCUCUGCAACAAGAGAACAGGUAUAUUAAAAGAAAAUAGGAGGAAUCCACCCAUAGGAGAUAAUAUUUCCAUAGAAAGGCUACUUUAAACAUACUACUGGAAAAUAGGGUAAGGGUGCAACAGUAAAACAACUAUUAUACAAAACUCAUAAUGGAACCGAGUAGUCCCAACUACUUAUAUAAUCUUCUAACGAGAUGGUCUGUUUGAACCUUUGAUCCUUGUCUACAAUCCAAAAAUUACAUUCCACUGAAAAGCUGUAACUUGCCAAUCUAACAUUUGUAACUCAGAACAAAGGGAUUGGCUUGGAUGUCAAUGGAAAGUAGAGAACCAAGAGAAAGAAAAAGAUACGACGAGAAAAUUUCUAGGUUUUUUUUUUUUUUUUUUCUUUUUCUGGAAAUAAAACAGAUUUUGUUAAGAACAAAACAACUACAAAGACGAACAGUAUACAAGAAGUCCACACAACAGAAGCUCAAAAGAGAAGCAGCGAAAAAUCAGUAACCCAUAAACCUGCUCCUUUCAAGUCCCUCAAAGUACAAGAGAAGCUAUAAGCUCUAAAGGCCAUAGAAACUGAUGCACAAAGACCCAGCCAAAAUCUCACUCACUCCCAAAGCUCCUCAAUCUCAGGCCCUCAAUAGACUUACAAAAAUUCUUCUAUUUUUCCCAUCCACAGCACCCUAAACACAGCCAAGAUACUGCAGCCUCACAACACUUUGGCAUUCAUUCCUUUCCCAAAACAUAAUUGUUUUGAGAAACCAGAGCAGAAAUGUGCAUUGAAUACUGGCCAAACCUAGUCAAAUGGUUAAAAACUGUUCCCAUGACAUGAGUAUCUGGCUUAUGAGUCACGUCUCUUGAUGAAGUACCAGGGGAAAUGAAGAACUACUUUUCUUUGUUCUCAAAUCUUUAUUCUGUUUCUUUAUAGGAUACUUGCUUACUUUCACUCAUAACCAAAGUAAACUAAACUGGGGAUAAAAAGCAUUGCUCAGGCAAAUACAGCCAACGGUGAAGGGUAAGAUUUCAAAGUUCUCUACUUUCAAUAGAUUAGCAUAACUGGAACUAUAGUUAGAUUUCAACGUCCUUAUUUUGAAGAGUAGCUGUUCAAAGCCACUAAAUUCCUUUAUAUUAACAACUUAGAUUCACGAAUAAACAAUUUCCAAUUCCAAGCUUGUUCCUUCUUAUUCACCUGCUUCAACCAUUCAAACACCAUGCACACAUAAUCAGAUAUCUCUGAUUGAAUCAGUCUCACAACCCCAAAAAAAGUCAACAGCAGGAUGAGACUAGCUACCUAUACAUACCGUAAUAUAUAUAUAUAUAUAUAUAUAUAUAUAUAUAUAUAUAUAUAUACGGCCUAUAAAAUCCAAGAACUUCAUAGUUCUCUAAUUUGAUGGGAGAGGCCCAAUUCCUACACACAAUGAAAACCCCUAAAACCCCAACCAAGCUACAAACAAAAGAAGACAAACAACACUCUCCAAACUCAUAUUCAUUCUACAACACCAAAUCAAAUCUAAACCCCAUUCUCAGCUACCUAUACAUACAUAUAUCACCAUAGAAAAUACAAGAAUUCAAAGUUGUUACUUUCCUAAAACCCUAAACCCCUGAAAUUCAUAAUACCAUUUCCACUUCAAUCUCUAUAUUUGAAAUCAAAACCCCUAAAUUCUCGAAUUCUCCGAAAUCACGUACCUGACUUUCUUGAUGAGGAUGGCCUUGAGCUUGCGGGCGAGGUCCUGGGACUUGAGCUUACGCUCGAGAAGCUUGCGUGCAAGCACGCGCUUCUCGGAGUUCUUGAUGUGGUGGGUCUGCUCGCGCUUGAUCAUCCUCUCGAUCCCACUGGACUGCAUCUUCCUCUGCAUAAACGUCAGCGCUUGCUCCAAGUUUCCGUUCAGCACCUUCACCCGGAUCCCUCUCACUUGCUCCUGACGGUGGUGACUCAGUGACUCCGCCACUCCCUGACUCGUUGGCCGUCGGAACAAACUCCACGCGCUCCUCGCCGCCGGGUUCAUCUUUAAGCACAGACUCAAAAUGGGAACAAGUUUUAAGUGUCGAGGAGACAGUGCGGUGUUUUUUUACUAGUGCCUAGGUUUAAUCGGUAAUUAUCUUAUUAUUAUUAUUAUUAUUUUUGGUCGGAAAAAAGAAAAAAAAAAACAGGUUUCAACUUUCAAGUAUGUCCGACUUGAACAUCACUAUAAACGGGUAAUUAUCUACAUAUUUUACCAACAAAAAACCCUAAAUCCUAAAUGGUCCAAGUAUGUCCGUCUAUUUGUGCGUCCGGACUCUCUCUUAUCUAUAUAUUUUACCAACAAAGAUCAUAUCCUGCAAAAAAUCAAUGUAAACAAAAUUCGUUUGCUCAGCUGAUUGCAUUAAAUUGACUAUUCUGUUGAAGAUUAGCAGUCUCAUUAUCAACUGUCCAUUUAUUUGAUACAUUCUGCUGAGCAAACGAUCUUUUUUUAUAUUGACAAAAAAAAAAUUCAAAUUUUAAACAGUUAAGAUUAUGAUUUACAUCGACAAAAGUAUGUAAAUAAAAAAGAGGUCGGACACACACGUACAUAUUAAUCCGGACGUAAGUUUUUUCCUUAUUAUUUGGGGAGUGUAGAUUUCACAUAUAUUCAUUUGAUAAAUCUAGAUUAUUAUUUUUUUUUUUUGAAUGUCCAUCAUGUCCGUUGAUAAUAUGCUGUCAAAAGGAAUUGAAGAGCGUUUGUGUGCUUUUGAUUAUAAGUAAAGGAAUACGGAUGAUGCUAGUUUUCAAUAUUGAUUGCUCAAACUGCACAACAGUAUACGAUCUUUUCCCACUAGUGGAGGCGGAUCAAAUGUUCCAAAUAGUGUACGGAAAGCUUGUAAUCAGAUCCAGCACAAGGCAAGAUGAGCUUUUGGAACGUAAUCGGUUUUACUGUAUAUGUCCCCUCUGCAUACCCCUUUGGGAAUUCUCAUCAUAAUUCUAUUCAAUGACUUCCCUAAAUUCCUCACUGCUCAUAUCGUUUUCUUGCUCACUCCACAUCAUUAUUUCAUCGUUGUCAUCUGCAGUAGAAACAUCACUAUAAACGGGUUCUUCGUCUUCCUCCGUUACAGGACUAAGCAAAGAAGGCGACCCUGGAUACCUUGAGGACUGCAGCAUUAAGGGUGAAUAUAUGAGAAACCAAUACUACGAACAUAAAUUUGCUAGCAGAAUAGCAACAAUCAAAUCUGGUAAAAAAAUUGACCAAUGAUGCAACAUAAAAUCAGUUGAAGCACCAAGUAAUAUAAAAAUGGUUCACUGGAACCCGCAGUGAUUUUCAGAGAUUGAGUCCUCCGUUAAGUGAGGAUCUUUUGAGCAUAUAGAAAUAGACAAUCAGAAUGUUAUGAUGCAUCUAAUACAUACGCCAAUUUAAGAACAUUGGUACCAAGGCAAUAUAAUGUCCCACAUUAGAGACUUAAUAUCAGUAUUUAACGCUCUAGUCCCUUGACUCCCUUCAUGAAUGAAAGAAAUACAACAUGAUAAAGGUGGUGCGAGACGUGAUAAGAAGGUAAGUAAAACUCUAUUUUACAUGAAGAUGUAAAAUGAAAUGUCUAAUGAGUCUGGCUGGAGUGGCUGUUCCCCUUUUAAGUUGAAGUUUCUAUAAUAGAGUGUGUGUGUAUAUAUAUAUAUACACACACACUUCAAAAAAAAGUCGAAGGAUUAUUCAAUAAAAAAAAAUGGUAGAUAGAAUUUGUAUCAAAUAACAUGAUAAAAAUCAUAAGAAAAAUUCCUACUUGCUAAAAUCUAACAAAGACAGCUGCUCAUUUUGAUCUGGCAUUGGUUCUGGUUCUUAGGAGUUCGUUUGCUAAUUUUCGAGUUUCUUACACACUCGGUUACUCUCGAACUCCUGGUGGGCGAAUCACCUCUCCUAGGUGGUCAUACCAUCGGUUACGGUUAUUGUUACAGUUACUAUCACAUUUACGCUACUAUCGUGUUAUAUCACUUAUAUGCAGCUAAGCGAUGUCGUUCGGCAUCAAGUCACGUCCUGGUUACUUCUCAAUAUAGAUGCGUUUGUGCAUCUGGUUAUCUUUUAUUGCUUUUUUAUUAUAGAUGCAUCUGUGCAUCUUGUUAUGCUUUCUUGCUUUCCUUCGAUGCGUUUGCAUCAUGCUAUGUACUUUUCAAUUAUUAUUAAUAAACUUUCGUCCUUGAUAAAAAAUAAAUAAAUAAAUAAAUAAAACACAAAGACGGUUGAAUAAACAAUAUACUGAACAAACAACUCAAAAAUAUAGAAUUCAAAAAAUAUAAUGACAUUGCGGAUCUUACCCCACAAAAGGAUGCAUUAAUCUCUGAAUAAGUCCCCGUGCCAGGAAUAGCAGCUAAACUGCCAAAGGCAUCAUAGAGGCUUACUGACAUCUUGCAAUCACCAAACUUGUAUCCAUCUCUCUUGUUCCUAGCAAGUGCGGCUUCCUGCAAAGACAAUAAUCAAAAGAUGAGGUGACAAUAAAAAUACCUCCGUAAGCAUGAUUUUACUAGUACACGACAUAUUGACCCGAACGGUUAUAUACAGAUAAAAUAAAAAACAACUGUAUUGGUCUUCAACUGUUCAUACCAGUUACUGUUACUAUCAAACACUGUCAUUGAAAAAUCAAGAGAACUACAACAGUAAUAUCAAGUGCACGUGCUCUGAUUUGUUAAACCCAUUUGCAUCCAAACACAUUUACAGCAUCCGAGCUAUAUUAUUCCUUCCCCAAAAAUCAAAAACACAGAUGUUGUAUUAAGAGUAAAAUUCCAAGGCAGUGAGGACAAGCUUUCCACUUGAGUGCAUACAAGAUCCUAACCUCAACAUCAUACAAUGUCCAGUACAUCUGACUGCUCAAAACAGCUCACCUAAGGAAAACAGAACUAAAGAGAUCACGUUGCAUUCUAAUUCCUACAUGAAUGAGGAAAACUGGUUUACCGGAACAAAGAGGAAAACCUUAAACCAUUCCUGGUUUCAAAAUUUUUUUUAUUUUUAUUUUAUUUACAUACAUGAUACAUCCUCCAAGGAACAAAGCUACAUAGCUAACAUACACUUACAUCAUUCACCAUUCCUUGUCUCGAGGAAAAUGGAGUUUUAUUACCUCUGCAAUAUUCUAGCUAGGCAUUAUUCAUUGGCAAGCUUUCAUUUACAAUCUGAUAACUAUAACCUGUAGUCUACAAAUAUGUAAACAGAAUGUAGCCUAUGCGACAAAAAGUAAACCUAGUAAUCUAGUAUCCCUGUGAAUCUUUCACAACUGGGUUAUCAAAUUCAAGCGAAACUAAAUUCCACAAAGAAAAAACCCAACAAAUUUGCUGCAUUAGUAUUACACUAACCAAACUCAAGAAACAACUGAAACUAAAACAGAGCAGAGGAACAAAACCAACUACCUCCUGAGAAUUAAACUCAAUGAAACAAUGACCCAAGGUUUCUUGGGUGGUGGGGUUCACAGGCAUCGAAAACCCAUCUUCUUUAAUAACACCAACUUCACUAAACACCACUCGAAUCUCGCUUUCAAGCUCCUGGGCCAUCUCUGCCUCAACAACAGGAAGAUUACUAACCACAAUCACACCCCCAAACUCAAUAUUGGGAAUGAAACCAUUUUCAUCGUAAAACACUUCUUGGCAUUCACUGUGAACCAUAAAAAAUAAAGCCGAAUCAAUUAUAAGUUUGGAGUUUGAAAUUUCUAAGUGUUGAGGAAUUGAAAAGGCAAAAAAGGAAGAGUCUUUGUAUUGAGAAUUGGGUACCUGAAAUUAAAGUGAGGUGGGUGUGAAGAAUUCAAGUCUAUGGAGGAGAACUGGAUACCGAGCUGGUCGGCCUUGGCUUCCAUGUCUUCCAUGGUGGCGCUGUCUACUGUCAUGUUUGGUGCUUCUGGUUUUUGGGAUGGAGACUAGUUCUGUUUGGGUUUUAUUGCAUGCCAAAUUGAAACUUGUUUGUGUAUUUUGGGAUAUUUAUGUAAAUUUUACAAAAUACAUUCUUUUGAAUAUGAAUUUGUACUGACUUUGCUAUACAGUGUAUUAUUUCUUUCACAGUGUUCGGAACUUUGGAUACCCCAAACACUCCAUAUGCUCGAAAGUAAAUUUCUCGGCACUACGGGCAAAACUAUAUACACUGCAAUUAAUGCUACGCAAGCCAAUUUGCUUCAAGUCGAUGGGUUGCAAGUGAAGGCUUAACCCCGUUUAAGAAAUUUCACAGUUCAUAAACUAAAAGAUAUGACCAGAAAGGCACCUUAUCUGUCAAUACAAUAGACCCCAGAGUUUGUAGUGAGAGGUCAAAACAUAUAAUAUUCAAAACCCCACUCAAAUACAUGAUCACGGUUUUCUGAAUCUAUAACAAGCUGAUCAUCGCACACAAACAGAUACAAAUGCUCUAUAUACCUAAUGCAACCUAUGACAUCUUUACAGUAAUCUGGUAAUCUCGUAGAGAGCCAUAUCUCAGAUCGAACUGUAGCUGUCGUCAUCGUCUGUCCGGAUGUAACACAUUAUGGCGAGUACAAAUACGAAAAAGGAUGAGAGCUCCAAGGCCAGGGCUCCCCAGCCAAUAACACCAGCGUGUGUUAAGAUGGCGGGUAUCGCAAUGCUUCCAAUGGCUGAAGCUCCAGUCAAGAACUUGGUUACGUUAACCCAGCUGUUUCAUUAUUUGUUAAAAAGAAAGUAAGAAGCUGAUGCGGCUUUAAUCUUCAGAAGAAAAAAUAUGUUUCAGUUAACCAGUUGAAAAGAAAAAGACAUACGCAUUAUCAGAUUCCAUGAAAACAGAAAAAUCUGAUCCCACAAAGAACAGCAACGGCAUGGGAAGAAGCACAUACAUUAUUACUGCCAGAGAACAAUGUGAUUACUAGGCCAUAUGAAAAUCGACAAUCACAAAGAGGGAGUUCUUGCAAUCGAAUUCUCUAGAGGGGAUACAGUUUUGACAAAUAUCAUUUUCUCAGUGACAAGAUAAAACUUAAGAGAUACAGAAAGUUCAGUUCCCUACCAGUUAGCAUCGGCCACCAAUUAUUGUACAAAGCACAUGCCUGCGUCAAAACACAAAACAUGAGAACAUAUAUUAAUAAUGACCUUGAACAAAGAAAAGCUUAACAGUUACAUUUAACUUGAGCAAAUAGAAAAUACAACAAGGACCCACCAAAAUUUGCAGUACAAUCCCUCCAGAUACCAAAAUUGCCAAGAAAGCAAGUUUCCCAGAUUGCAAGCAGAGACGCAUAUAACGUGGUAAGUCAGCCAUCAAGUGAUCAAGUACUUGCCUCACCUCAUAGAUCGAAACAACUGAAAUUUUGAAGUGAUUACAAAAAUUAAAGCGGAAAAGAUAUUCUGGAAGCAAGGAAAUAUAAAAAGCGGUCCAUGGAGAUACAAAGAGGAAAUGACAUUCGAGAGAAGUCAUAUGACUCCAUAAUGAUCAAUAAGAUUGAGGUUCAUUUACUUCAUAUCUAACCCAGACAUCCUAUUCGAGCCAUGUCUGAAGCAAAAUCACAGUAUAAGCCUUUAUUAAAGCCAUGCAGAACAGGAGUAAUGUCCAGUUGAAUACUUAAUGUCAAACCGAAGGUCAUGGCCGGAAAAUUACAUAUCACCACACUGGACAUAUAUUAUAAUUGUGGCAGCAGCAUGCAAAUGACUUGCUAGUCAUGCAUAUAUAUGAUACAACUUCAUACGACUAAAAACAUCAACACAAAGCAGGAUAUUCACUGCUUAAACUAUGACAAAGGGAAACAUUCUUCUUCUGUGUGCACAUAACAGUUAAUAGAUACUAUAAAACAAAUGUAUCAAUCUCGAGUACUAAGUGGAUUCUCCACCAUUAUCUAAAUAUGGUUCUUUUUUCUUGUUAAAUUAAGGUUGAACGGUUCCUCAUAUUAACAACAACUUGAGAGGCAGACCAGAUAACUAAAUAAGGUGACACGACUCAAGAAGGAAAAGGUUCAAAGACAUUUAGUGACAUAUAGGAAGCACCUCAGUCUAAAUACGCUAGACACUGUUUGGAUAUGGGUAAGGUAGUGCCAUUGUGGAGAAAGGAAAUAAAAAAUUCUCAGAAGCUGACUUCUUACACACUUUUCAAGUUAAAUAUUUGUAUCACUAAGCUGACUUCUGACUUUACUGUACCCUCCCUGCUAUUUGCUAGAGCUUCCCAUAAAAUUAACGCUUUGGCUGGAUGCCCUAGUGACCUGUAAAGUGGGUCGGUGUGAUUUCCAGGUACCAAAACCUAUUGGGGGUGAGGAGCUGGAAUCGACUGAGAGCUCUUCCAACAAAGUGGAUAAAGAUACAACUAGACCCAAGAUAAAUGGUAAGGAGUGAUUAAAUUUAAUUGGAGAAACUCUACAAGAACUGGUAUUUCACUAGCAAUAAUGAGCAAAAUGUUGGGAUAUUACAGAAAAUCUGCAUCCAUGUUUCAUGAAUGAGAAUGUUGAGAAAAAUGACGAGUCACUUACAAGAUUAACCUAAAAUGAUUUUAUCAUGGAAACAUAAAGGAAUUAAAUCCAAUUGACCAUUUAUGAUGUAGACAGCUGAAUACACCUAUAACAAAAAUUAGGUGGAAAAGACCCAAAGAGCAACCAAAAUUUAACGUGGGAACUGACCUGAAAAGACUAAAAUAUGAACGUAACAGGAGGUGUUACAUAUAAAGAACAGAGCAAAGGAAUCAGCUGAUUCCAUUUGAUUGAGACAUUUGACCGGGACAGUACGAGGAUGAUGAAGAUGAGGAUUAUAACUUCUAAGGUAGACUGACAAUCUUCCUCGAGUAUUCUGAUAUCUAAAACUGACCCUUGUGUAUUACUCAAUCUAUUCUUUCACUAUGAGCAUGAUUCCGAACUUGUCUAGGAAACAUUUCAAAAGCAUUUUGUAAGACCUAAAACACGGAUUGCAAAAUCUACAAAUACAAAAUCAAUUCUUGAUGUGUAACGCUGCUCAACAUCAUCCACAAUCAAACCAGAAUCUCAAGGAAUUCCGAUUCAAGUAGUUAAAUAACUAACUUGACUAAUAACAGCCCAACCUUUUAAGGACCUGAGCUCCAACUUUUCCCAAUUGAAACUCAAGACUCAGUUAGUAUCAAGUUACUUGAUCAACAAAAAGCCUUUCUUGGACUUUCCAGUGGUAAAAAGCCAUGGAAUCGAUUAGACAAUUACCCAUAUGAACAACAAAUGAAAUGAAAUCAAAGAACCAUAAAAUCCAACAGACCCAUCUGAAUUCCACUCCCAAACAAAGCAUUGCACAAAGUUUCUUUUUCCGAGUAAUAAAGAUUCAAAAUUAAUGGACUCUAAAAGCAAAGAUUUCAUCUUUCCGAAACAGAGUGUUUGAAUCUGAAAGAGGAAGGCGUACCAGAGGUGAAUUGGAGGUGAGAGCCCGAAAGGCGUGGCUGGAUCGGGAGCUGUUUGGGGGGUAGUGCUGCAAUUCUAUAGCAACAUGAAGAUUUCCAGAGGAGACUGGAGUAACAGCUAUGCAAGCAAGGAAACUAGAGUACCUGUAUUGUUAUUCUCAUUAUUGUAUUUAAUCAACAUAAAUAAAUAAUUGGAGGAAAAUAAUAAUAUGUGAAGCAUAGGAGGGAACUUGGGUGCGUCAUGGUUUAGGAUCUAGUUAUGUACGGUGGAUGAUGUAGAUCAUUUUUAUUCGAUUGUCUGAACAUUUCAGAAAAAUAAAAUCAAAUAAGAGUCUAAAAUAUCACACACAAGAGUUUGGUGUUGUAAUAUAACGUGCAAUUUAAGGAAAUCUUAAGGAUAAACUACUCGAUUAUAAAAUUUCAAGAAAAUGAAAGAAUACCGGCUAAAAAGACAAUAUUAUGAACGAGAAUAUAAAAUCUGAAGUUGUAAUGGGGUGUUGAAUUAAUACUACAUAGAUACUACUCACCACCCAUGUACAAAUGACGCCUACUAGGUGAUCUAAGCAUAGUACAUCGUUGAUUCAAUUACGAUCGGACUAUGAGUAUCUAAAAUGUUAGUAUGAUAGUAUGAUAUGGUAAAUUUUAGUUAAUUCUUGUAAAAUGUUGAGCGGAUGAUGGACGAUUGGGCAUUAAUUGUGUGGGAGAUGAACCGCAGCUGCAUGAAAUCGAUAACUUGUGUAAGUAAAUUCUGGUGGUAUCGAGUUUGAAGGACGAGUUCAGCGGCCAGUCAAUCAUGUAUGAGACCCCAACAACCCUCAUUUCACAAGUAUCCAAAUUUGAGGGGGAAGGAGCAAAUAAGUGAGAAAAAGGGAGAAAAGGUACCCAUUCUGCACAAGGCACUUAUGGCAAUUUUAAACUGGUCAUUGAGAAAGCAAAUACGACUUCUUCAAUGGCAAAAUCUACUAUAUUCUCCAAGUAACUUACCUUGAACGGUAAAGAGAGCUCUACUCUAUCACCAUCUUGGGGUCCUUUUCUGUAUCCAAGAGGAAACUGCUACCUUGUGGUAUCACUACCAAUGCGAAGUCGGCAUAUCCGUAAACGACAGAAUAAAAUGCAGUGUGGCUUUCGCAACUGACUAUGCCAUAUAAAAUAUCAGUACCUAACAAAAGCAGAUAUACCAAACAAGAAAAUAUCAAACCCAACUCAAUUCUGUCAGUCAAGAAAAUACUCAUCCACAGAUACAACUUUCUUUUAACUAAUAGUUCCAGAUAUAUAUAUAUAUAUAUAUAUAUAUAUAUAUAUAUAUCAACUGGAAAUUUAUUCUGCAUAACUCUGCAGUGUUCAUAAAUGUAACAUAACGUUGCGCAAUCCAUUUACCUGAUCAAUACUUGUGGCAGAUUCAAGAUUGAGUUAUUGUGUAAUUUAAGAUCCUGCGCGCACUGAACUAAACACAACAAGACAGAAAGAAGUUCCUGCAUGUAUAUAUGGAAGGGCACACUUCCAUGGUGUUGAUGCAUUCAUGCACUGAUUGCAUUCAGAGUCUUACCACAUUUCCAGAUACAUGUCAAGAAUCUCAUUUAUGAGAGAAUGCUACGUUUCUCAGAUACCCACAUUUUAGAUACAUGUCACGAAUCUCAUUUCAGAAUGGAUUUGUUGUACAAGGUUCAUAUUAAAAACCAACUAAUGCCGAGAGAAGCACAUACAGUCCAUCAUUUAUUCUGGUUAGAAUCAAACAUCUGAAUCCAAAUGAUCAGACAAUCCAUUUUAAUUAAGCACUUUGUGCAACAACAAAAAACAGUGAUUGAGUACUUGCAUUCAGAUUCAGAUACAGCUCGUCUAAAAUUGCAUAAUGGAACGAGAAAGUAAGAAACUGGUCCACGUUUGGGAAAUUUAUACAGAAGACAACUGUAUACAUAAAAGAAAGUCAUAAAUAUAAUUCAGAAGAAUGCACCAAAAAAUCUGCCUGGUCUAAAAUCUCAAAGACAAAGGUACGUCCUCAUGUAAUUUGAUUUGAGUAAACAAAAGAUGGCUUCCUACCGCAGCAACCAACCAAAGCUAGAGCCUCUGCAUUUUUUGAAUUAAAGUUUCUUCCAACAUGUAAUGCGUAAUUAUAUUAAAGAUUUUCCAAAUCCUUUUAGCACUGAAUUUCCUUCUUCAAUUAUUCUCAAAAAAUAAAAAAAUAAAUAAAAAAUCCUUCUUUAAUUAUGGAAAUUCUUGUAUGUACGACGUGUAUUUACACGACGUAAUAUUAACCAUUUAUAACAAUUCAUACGUUUGACCAUAAUGUUUCUAUAUUAUUUUCUCUAAUCCUGACAAUCCAUGUAUGUAUGUGAAGAUACACGCCGUGUAUUAAAAAUACUCUUUAUACUCUAAAGUUGGCGCAUACCUGAGCAGGUGUAUAUAGGACAAGAAACUUACAAUACAGACCCACACCAUACAAACCCUAGCCGCCUCCGAUGGCUUUUGACCCCAAAAAAGGUUCUUGGAAGGCUAACCGGUCAGGUUUAUGCCUAGAUGUUCUUGUGUCUAUUGCCAAUCGGAUGGAUUUAGUAGAGGACUUCAUAGCCUUCGGCCUAGUUUGUAAACCGUGGAGAUCAAUGAUUCAUCAAAGUACCUCCUCAAUUUUGAAUAAAAAAAGAUCAAUUGAUGACAAAAAAUUCAAAUAAACCGAAUGGAAAUAUGGAUUAAUCAAAACUAAAACCUCAAAGUUUUUUUUUAUCCACAAACAACUAAAAUGCUAAAACGUGUCUAAAGUGAGUUAUUCCCACUUGUAAAAGGGAGAUCGAUGCCACUAAACCAAAUGGUACUAGGCACUAAAAUCUCAAAGUUACGAAACAAUUCCAAAUUAUCAGUUUUUGAAAUGAUAUUCAUGUCAGGGGUAAAAUAGGAAAUACAUUUUUUUUACAAACAUUGAAGGAGGUAACCCCCCUUCUCCCAUAAUGUAGGUUUUUGAGGUUCCGUUUAGUAAUGGAAACUGGCCGGACUCGGAGGUAACAGACUUAGGGAGCAGAACAUUGUUCUUAGAUGGAAGGUGUUUAUUUUCUAUUGAAGCCUCCGCCUGCUCUAUUUGCGAGAAGAAUUGCAUAUACUAUACCAGUCAAUCUUUCCGUGGAACAGAUGGUAGGGGCUUUGAUAGAUUAACUCUGCCAUACAAAAUAAUCAAAACGUACAUAGGCGAAUACUCAGGUUCGCAAAUUCCACAUUUAUGGAUUCAACCAAGUUUAUAAAUGUGAAAGUAGCUAGCUAGGAUAUGCAUCUCCUUUAUUCUCCUUCUACUCUAUGGAGAAUAUUUGUAUCUCAAUCUUCCAAUUGCAUAUUCUAAGAUCGAUGAUAGGAGACAUUACUGUUGUUCAAAAGAGAUAUGGAUUCAACCAAGGGUUUGUUUUUAAUUUUUAAAGUGUACAACUCUCUUGUUUCAAAAGAGAAUAUAUACUAGUGUUGUUCUAAACUUGUUUCAAUCUUGUAUAGCCUUGUUCUGGGCAAGAGACAUCUUUUCAAUUUGCAGAGAAAGAAAAAAGUACAACUUACAUGAAGGAUCAUGAUAGUUCAAGUCAAUGGAAUAGAUAACGCUCUUGACCAUAUGACGAGUAAGUUAGAAACAAGUCCAUGUUUCGGAACCUUCAUAGCCUGAAACUCGAGGACCAAAAUUCCUCUUCUAGUUUGAGUUUACAAAAGAUUGUUCAAUGUGCGACUACAAGGUUCAUAUGGAAAGCCAAGUAAUGCCGAGAGGAGCUAAAUCCGUCUUUACUCAUCAUAAAAACUGAAAACAUUGGUGGAGUUAAUAUAACUGAAAAUGUCCUAUGGCAUGAUGAACAAGAUCCAUAGUAUAAUCUAUGUCAUUUUCCAAUACAGCAUGAGUUUAACUAGAACUUACGGAAAUGACUAAUCACUUAUUUGGAAAUGACUAAGAAACAAAACCUCAAACUGUUCCAUGAUUUGGGGAUUUCAAGUUCUCACCCAUGUAACAUUUUCUAUGAGACUGACAGUCCUAAUAUAACCACCAUGACAAGUGCUCUUAAGAAAUGAUUAUUUAUCAUACACUGCUUGUAAGUUCCUCCAGCUUUAGGGAAAAGCACAGACCCCGAGAUUGAAAACCAUCAAAGUAUAUACUCUCCAUUUAUUCAUUUAAUAAUUUUGGAUGAAACAAUAUGAUCAAAGUUGUCUCAAUGCAUGUAACUUGAUUUGUAAUUCUGAUGUAAACAAACAUAAGAACAACAUUUCAAAGUAGAACAUUAAAUCUUCCAUGAUUUUAAUAUCUUUCACUAUUUGUCAUCGAUUAUACUACGAAACCACCUAUUACCAACUCAAACAAAGACCCUGAUCUCAAAUUCCACCGAAACAGCAAAGAAAUCAAAGAUUCAUCAGUGUACCUCCUCAAAAUUGAUCAGCCGAUCCCACAUUGCUUCACCUACUCAUCCGUAGCAGCCUUAGCACUCCGAAAGCCCUUCUUCAACUCCGCCACUCUCUUCACACAAGCCGCCUUGGUCUUCCCCGGCACAGCAGCUGCAAUCUUCUCCCACCUCAUCGGCACCUCCUUGGGAAACGCCUUCAACGCAUUAAGCAACGCAAUGUCCUCACUAGCACCCCAACUAACCCCACCACCAGCACUCUUGCCCUCAGCAUUGCCCUCCUCCCCAACCUCCUCACUCCCACUCUCCAUUUUCUUCUCAUUAGGCUUCCUCUUCCUCAAAAACUCGGCAUACGAAUCCGAAUCACUCACCUUCUUCUCCCCCAACUCUUUCGCCUUCUUGAUCACACUCUCCACCUUAUACCUCCCCCCAAACGCCUCAGCAAUCACCUCCCACCGCCUCGGUUUCCCCACCGGGUUCUUCACCAGCUGCUUCUUCAAAACCUCCACAUCCUCCUCAACCCAAUCCCUCUCCUCCUCCAAAACCCUAACCCCAUUUCCUCCACCUCCCAAAGCCUCCACCUUUCUCUCCUCCCUCACAUACCCAUUACCAUUUCCGGCCAAAUCCACGCCAGGAUCUUCAAACCGCCGCGGCUUCUGCCGCCUCCUCUUCGCUUCAUCCUCCACCUCCGCCGGAACCUCCGGGAAGUCCACGACUGGGCCGUGGCCGACCCUUACGUCACCGCCGGUGACCGAAGGCGGCGCGAAUGGGCCGACGAGGAUUGACAGCGCUACCCAGAUGAGCAGCGAUUGGUAGGGCUCGGAUUGGAGGAAGAAGAAAGCGAGACCCAGUAAAACCAACGAGACCAAAACGGUGAAGGCGAUCCAGGGCUUGCUGAGAUUCUUGUAGUGAGGCUCGGUUUCUGUAGCCGAUGACGUCACCGCUUUGGAUUGGAAGAGGAACCUUGGCCUUGCGUCCUCGUCCAGAAACUCCAUUUUUGAAUCUGGGUCUGGAUCUCAAUCGCACCCAGAAGCUUAAAUAGGUGAAGGAGACGACGUCGUUUGGAAGCAAAGUCAAAGCUUCUUGCUUUAUUUAACCUCUGGCUCUUUUAGGCUUAAAAGGUGAAGGCUUUGUUUUGAAAACUUACUUAUUUACUAAUGCGCGCCUUGUUUUUCAGACCCACCAAGUUUAUACUGUUCAAAACUGUAAUUAGAUUUCGAUUCUAUGAAACCCAGAUAGCAAAACUCAGUUGUGAUGAUUCAGAGCUGCUUUGGUACUUAUCAAAAGGUUUGGUUAAAGAUGCACGCCAGGUGCUUGAGAAAAUGCCUAGCAGAAGAGAUGCUCAUGGCCGCGUUGUUGAUUGGACUUGUUUGGUUACCAAGUACUCGAGAGGCGGCUGGGUGGAUGAGGCUCGGGUGCUGUUUGAUAUAAUGCCGGAGAGGAAUGUGGUUAGUUAUAAUGCGAUGCUGUCGGGGUAUUUGCGGUCGGGGAGGUUGAGUGAGGGGUGUAGGUUUUUUGAGGAGAUGCCGGAGAAGAAUGUGGUGUCGUGGACUUUGGUGUUGUGUGGGCUGGCUGAUGCGGGGAGGGUUGAAGAGGCGAGGCGGUUGUUUGAGGCAAUGCCGGAGAGGAAUAUUGUGUCGUGGAAUUCGAUGAUUGGUGGGUUGGUUAAGAAUGGGGAUGUGGAAGGAGCGAGGGAGGUUUUUGAGAGGAUGCCGGUGAAGAAUGUUGUUUCAUGUAAUGUGAUGAUUGGGGGGUAUGUGGAGCGGUGUAGGAUGGAUGAGGCGAGAGGUUUGUUUGAUGGGAUGGUGGAGAGGAAUGUGAUAACUUGGACUAGCAUGGUAUCUGGUUAUUGUAGGUCUGGCAAUGUGGAUGAAGGGUAUGCUUUGUUUCGGGAAAUGCCUGAGAGGAAUGUUGUUUCUUGGACAGCCAUGAUCGGUGGCUUUUCUUGGAAUGGAUUUUGUAAAGAAGCUCUAUUGCUGUUCCUUGAAAUGAAGGGGGACUAUGGGACAAAACCAAACGGUGAGACCUUCAUAUCGCUUGUGUAUGCUUGUGCCGGUAUUGGGGUGCCUCAGCUUGGAAUGCAACUGCAUGCUCAGUUGAUUGUCAACAAUUGGGACCAUGAUGAUUAUGGUGGCAGGCUGUCAAAGGGCCUGAUUCACAUGUACUCGGCCUAUGGUAUCAUGGAUUAUGCAGACUUUCUGUUUAUGAAGCACUCAAAUACUCAUAGUGUUCAGUCUUGUAAUUCUAUGAUCAAUGGUUACAUACAUAUUGGGAAACUAGAACAGGCUCAGAACCUCUUUGACAGACUACCAAUCCGAGACAAGAUCUCUUGGACUUCUAUGAUCACAGGGUAUUUUAGUGUUGGGGAAGUAUCAAAGGCUUGUUAUCUGUUCCAAAUUAUGCCAGAUAAGGAUGCUAUUUCAUGGACAGCGAUGAUUUCAGGGCACAUCCAAAAUGAGCUUUUUGCAGAAGCCACUGAUAUCUUCUUUAAAAUGCGUUCAGAAGGUGUUUCGCCUCUGAGUUCAACAUAUUCAGUUCUUCUUGGAGCAGCUGGUGCAAUGUCAUAUCUUGAUUCUGGAAGACAGUUCCAUGGCCUUCUGACAAAAACACAUUAUGAACUUGACUUGUUUAUUAGUAACUCACUGAUCUCAAUGUAUGCCAAAUGUGGGGAAAUAGAUGAUGCUUACCGUGCAUUCUCUAACAUGAGUUUCCGGGAUUUGAUUUCUUGGAAUUCCAUGAUCAUGGGGUUUUCAGACCAUGGGCUUACAGAUAAAACUCUGAAGAUCUUUGAAGCAAUGGUGCAAUCUGGAACACAGCCGAACUCAGUAACUUUUCUGGGCAUCCUGUCAGCAUGUAGCCAUGCAGGGCUAGUCCAUAAAGGAUGGGAGUUUAUUAAUGCCAUGAGUGAUGUUUAUGGAAUUCAGCCAGCUCCGGAGCAUUGCAUCUGUAUGAUUAAUCUUUUGGGCAGAGCUGGGAAGGUAAAGGAAGCCCAAGAAUUGGUUAGGAGGCUACCUUUCAAACCAGAUCAUGCUGUUUGGGGAGCAUUGCUUGGUAUUUGUGGGUUCGGUAAAACGAAUCCCCAGGUUGCUAAAUAUGCUGCAAAACAACUCCUGGAGAUGGAUCCUUUAAAUGCACCAGCCCAUGUGGUCCUUUGUAACAUAUAUUCAGCAAAUGGUCUGCAUAUUGAGGAAAAAGCUCUGAGAAGGGAGAUGGGGUUGAAAGGAGUGAGAAAGGUUCCUGGCUGCAGUUGGAUUCUAGUGCAAGGGAGAGUUAAUGUAUUCCUCUCUGGAGAUAUAUUACACCCAGAUGUCGGUGAGAUGCUGUUAGUGCUAUUUGGCAAUAUGAGUGAAUCACAAAAAGAGUCCAGUACAGUUCUUUAUGUUUAGGUUAACUUUCACUGCACCAUUGCAUUUGAACAAGACAUUAUCAGAUCCUAAAAAGCACAGACUUAACAAGCAAAGGAGAAUCAGAAUUGGAUUCCAUUAGUACUCAAGGUUUUGCCUUUAUGUUGAACUAGUUUGUGCAAAAUGCUAUCACAUGUACAUUCGAAGAAGAAAGAUCGACGUGACACAGAAUUGAUCCCACAAUGGACGGUAAACUUGCUCACUUUUUUGUUUUCAACUAGUGUGAUAGUAUAGUAUAUCUUAGAUAUAAUAUCUAUCCUACUUUUGCAUGAGUAAAUUGCUCGAAUUAGAUUUAGUGGAAUCAGUCAUUCCAAAUGUAGACUAUAGUUAAGAACUGUAAUUUAGUUAUAAAAAAAUAAAAAAAAUAAAAAUCUUUCUGUUUUUCUUUUGGAUGACAACAAAGCAUGUUCAGGUAAGAUUUGGAUUCUACAUGCAUACACAGAAACACAAGCAUUUCAGUUGUCUUAUGCCCAGCAGGGGUAUUUGAGAUACCUAUUGAUUUGGAUGAUUAUGGUGUGUACUAAAAUUUAUGAUCUUAUAGGCCUGCUGAUGAGAAUGUUUAGGAACCCUUCCUAUACCAAGUGCCUCUUAAAGAUUCUGGAAGGAACAAAUCAUACUUGGAAGGAAUUAUUGGAUUCUAUAGCUAGAGAGGUUUGUAUUGAUGCUCAAUUGUUUAUUUACUUCUUGAGUUCACGUUACACCCACCAGAAAACCAGUGCUGCAUCCUAUAUUAGUUCCAGUAGCCUUCAUUGAUCUCCCAAUUGUUGUCACUUUUUUAUCGUCUUGUAUGCUUAUAAGUUAUAAGAACUCAUAAUUAUGUUCAUAAUGUUAUUUUCCGAGCCUUUUACUUGCUUUAUAACUCAGUGGGAAAUCAUUACAUUUUGCUCGUUCCUUGUUGCAUCAAAUUACGGUUAGCACGUAGGACUUGGUCUAUAUAUAUAUAUAUAUCUCAAAGCGCUUCUUUGAAUAGGAAAUUUUAAAACUUAAGGUGGGCAUUUUGUUAUUUAGAAGCAUAUCUUGCUAGUAGAGUAAUUGAUAGCUCAACUCUUUGAUCUCAGAAGUUGUUUAGUGAAGAUUUUGUCAGUGGAUACCUCACGAGAUCAUGAAUCUAAUGGCAGUCAUAGUCUCAAACAUUUAUAAAUUUUCCUUCCAGUUUUCACAUUCAGAUCAGAAGUCAUCAGUGCUAUUUAAGCAGACACGUAUGAAAUCCCCGCAGAGUGAGUUAAGAAAUCUUUAACUAGCUGUAGUAAAGAUAGGGUACUAAAGAAUAGGAAUCAUACAGCUAGCAAGAAUGAUAAACUAAGAAUUCUUAUUCUCUAAGUAAAGUUUGCCAUUUGCAGAGGCUAUGCAUCAUUCUGAAGUAUAGAACUAAUAGAAGGAAGUUACUGUAUUAAAUAACUUAAAGAAAUUAAUAAUAAAAUUUAGGUCGGAAGUUACAAAUUACUGAUUACAGUAAGGAAUGAAUCCUGCUAAUCUGUUAAUCCUCUUAUUCAAGCAUAUUUCUAUCUGAAAAGAAAAACAUAAUGAAUAAAGCAUAUACAUAAAAGAAAUGACCCUUGUACUCAGAAAUGAAGAAAAAUUGAAGACAUAAUCUUUUGCAUGUUUAUAAGUUCACUUGAACUCCCGAAUCAUAGGUUUGUCCAACUUCCCAGUCUUGUGGUAUGUUAUUCACAGGAACAACCCAAUUCUCAUCACCGUCAUCAUCACUGAAUAACAUCCUUAUUUGCAGGGGUCCAGUUGGAGGUGAGGUAGUUGUCCAAACUGCUCCAUAGCUCCGGUCCAGUAACUUACAGACAAAGUUUUGUGUCUGCAAAUAUUCAAAAAUGUUCCAGUUAAAAUGAAGAUGAUGACAUAAGUUUAAUAAACAAGUGAUGCUGAUAAGAACAAUAGGCUAAAAGGUAAGAAGAUGUUGAGUAACCAGAACAGAAACGUUCCUAGCUUGUUUUUCUUUUCCUGGUUUAAACUUUAAACUAUAACUGUGCUUGGGCUAGAGCAUGCAAGUAUUUACUGUGUUAUAACAGUAACCAAUGUAUGGAAAAAGUCUAAGUUGUUUUGGUUCAUAUAAUGCUUGGAUGAAAGUACCAAGUAUUAUCAAAUAUUAAAGAUUGAAUAAAGUAUAAACGAGUAUUAUUACUUGUUAAUAUUCAAAUUAAAUACCUCACAUAGCUGGACAGCUGUGAUAUCUUUCUUUCCUUGUUGGUACCAUAUUACAAAGGCCAAAUAAUAAGGAUAGUUACUGUUCUCAUCAAUCUUGAUUGUUAUAUUUUUGUUGGGGUAGCUGCAUGAAACACUGUUUGGGAAGAGAAUCAGAAAAGCAAUACUUGAGUUAGAAUCCAUCAUCCUAUUAAGUCUACCACAAACUAAGAACCAGAAGUUGAUAGCUAGAAAUGUUGCUCCAGUCUUUAGGCUCUUACCGUCUGUAUUCGAUAUCAACUAUACCAAGAGAUAGUAGAGAAGCAGCUGCAUCAGUUGUUUGAGCCAUCCUUGCAAACGCUCGUUGGCUGAGGAUAAAGUCUGUGCGAUCACUAGAGCCUGAAUCUGUUAUAACUACAGUUACUCCUUUGUCUGAGCAGUAGCCGCCAUUUGUGCACCUCACCUUGUGAUUAUGAAGGAUAAAAAGUUAUCACCUCAAACAGUACACAUACCGUUGAGACUUUAUAAUAUAAAGACCAUACUUUGGAAAUUUGUAGCCUUGCAUCACACUUUAUUAAACCACUGCAAUAAAGCACACACACAAAACCAAAUAUUCUGAUCUUCGUAGUUUAGCAGUCUUACCUGGUAACAAGCACCACAUCCAACCCCAUUGCGAAAGAGGUCAGAGGCUGCUGAAACAUCCCCACCAUUGAUUGUUGCUCCGAAUGUGCCGAACCCGCAAGCACCGACUACAGUUCAAUAGAAAAGGAAUUAAUAAGAAGCAUCAAAAUAUGCUGUUCAUUUCUAUCUUUGUUUUUUGUUCAAAUGAAAGUUAAAUGCUUCUUACUUUCUGUUCCUUGUGUUUCAGAAUUUGGAUAAUAAGCUGCUCGAGAUUGAACAAAGCAGUCAUUACACGUUGCAGCCUUACCGGCCAGUGUUUGUAAGAAAAGAAAAACGAUGACAAGGCACAAAGGUGAUCGCAGACAGAAAGCCAUUGUGAGACAGAAGAUGAGCAAAUUCAAUGAGAGGUAUAGCUGGAAUAUUGCAUGAAGCUAAAUGGUUACACAGGUAUUUAUAGUAACUAAGUGUAUCUUCAAUUUGGUAAACCUCGCCAACUUUGACAUUCUGCAAUUGUUACUGUUACUAUUGUUCUUUCAGCUUGCCUUCCUUGCUAUAGGCUUGUUUACCUGAUUUAGAAUAUUAUUGUGGAAAACUUGUUUACGACUUUUAAAUGUCGUUAUGAAUGUGAUUGUGAUAUUUUUUUCCCCUUUUGAAUCUCUUAUUAAAACUAGAAAAAGUCAUUACUUAACCUGUAUUCAAGUGUGAAUCAUUAUACUUACCAACUCCUAGUUGCAAUAUCCAAUGAGUGCGGUCUAUCUUUCUCUAUUAGGCAGUCUUGAUAAGAUAAUCUCUACUUUCUCAUAUCAUGGUUGCUCUUCAUUUGAUUUUUUUAAGUAAUUAAGAAGCAAUAAAGCAUGUCUUCGAUAAGAACUUUUAGGUAGGAAACAUUUGAUUCUUACAUCUAAGUUGAUUUGUGUGUUGCUAUUUGACCGAGAUAGGCAUAGUUGGAAACUGACUUUCGAAAACCAGAGAGAGAGGUCAGUAUAUGAGAUUGAGACCUUUGAAUGAAACGAAACGAAUGACUAUGCAAUGUGAUUUACUUGAAAUAGAAUUAGGAGUUAGAGUUAGGUGUUCUUGCACUAUGAAACCUUAUGUUAGGCAUCUAUAAUGUUCCCACCUUGGAGAAGUUUCUGUUAAUUAUGACUUCAUUGUGAGAGCAUGUUUUGUUCAUGAUUAUUGGACAAAGAUGGCUCAAUCUAUAAAAGGUGUCUGCCAACCACAUCCAGGUAAAUUUCCCCUGCAUAACUAUAUCUUAAUUUAGUGUAGAAUAAGAUAAAUAACCACAGUGGGUCACUAUUCAAUUGAUGGUAAUUAUUGGAUAUCAAACAUAACAUAGUAAUUUGUACUUGGGCUCAAAGCAUGUUCAAGUGUUCAACUACUAAAUGUCAUUGUUUCUUGAAUUUGACUCCAAGCAUGCCCCUAAAAACGAACUUUAUGAAUUUUUCUAUGCUAUAGGGCAGGCAUGGCAUAUAAUCUAUGAAACCCAGUUUGAAAUGCAUAUACUCAUGAGGGAGAAUGUUCUUCAUUUUCUCGGAAGUUGAUUAUUUGAUUGGCUGACCAGCACUAGCUUUAUAAAUAUUGUGACAGGCUAAUUGUGAAUAUGCUUUACAGUAGCAUGCCGAGGUGGACUGCCAUUGAAGAAGAGAAAAGACAUCCAUUGAACCAAAUCAGCCAUGACAUGGAAACCACUUUGAGGGUUUCAAAGUCCCUCCAAAUGACAACUCCUCAGGCUCAUUUUGCUUAGCGAAGGAAGAGGUAAGAGCUGGGAAAUGGGAAUUGCAUCAUAUGGUAUGGGAAUAGCUUUGAAACGUACGCGUUGCAUCAUAUGGUUGCAAAUUGCAAGGAAUAUAUUCUAUAUAUUCUGCAGACCUGCGGUUCCUUUCAACUGGUGGUUUAGCCUUUGAAGAAACUGAAAGUGAGAUUCUAUGUACUGGAGUUGACACCCUUACAAAUUGCUCACCAUACGUUCUUUCAUAAUUAUAUGCAAUUUUUAAGAACUAGAAAAAAACACUUUACUGAGAUGGUCCAAACUUCUUCAAAUCAAGUUAAGAUAUUUAAUUAAGAGAUUCAACAGCUAUGUAUUAUUAUGAAGCUGCAACAUAUCAAAAGCAACAGUAAGGCCCAGAACGUGAUUCUCCAACGGGUUGGAAGGCCAAGCAACACCACAUUCACUCACUGAGAAGAUUUGAUGAAGGCCAUGGAGAGAUGAAAGAAAGGAAAAAAAAACACAUUUGGUAUAUUGUUACAUUCUGUGAAGGGUUUCUUUCUCUGUGAUGUCCAAAAUACUCAAGUAUUGAGGUCAUGAUCGAAGUCAUCGCUCGUUCUAAUUAAGCUAUCAAUAUACCAGUCCAUCUGUUUGAUGCUCUUGGCAAUCAUGUUCCAAUAGGACUUAAAACAAACUACGUACUGCUCACACAGAAAGGAAUGCAACGAGCUUGGAUGCCUGUGCAGUUGUGGACCAGCAGCUAGCGAGAGCUACACAACCUAACCUGAUCGUUGUUCAUAGCUAGUUGGCCGAUUAGGGCUCACAUAAUAACCUAGCUGUGGCAACUCCAUCAAUUACAUAUGCAUGUACAUAACUACAUAUACAUCAGUCAUAUCAGCCAUAUGACAUAUGAGGGGAUCGAUCAGGUUUCCAUCCAAACACAAAAGGUGAAGAAGAUCGAUCAGCACACAAGAAACUACUUACACACAGUUGUUAGCUUGUUAAUUUGUUCUCAAUAAACUGAGCUUAGAACAAUUUUCUACGUAUGCAAUUGAGGUCUGGAGCUUUGUAUUAAACUAAUGCAGAAUGAUUCUGGAUAUGUAAAUAACAAUAUUCAGCCCUCAAGUAGUGGAUUGAGCGCAGCGCCAAUGAACAGAACCGUUCCCGUCAUGUCUUCUCUGAUCACGAACAUGAAUGGAUGAUCAGCCACAAAAUCUGUCUGAUAAGGCGAACACAUCAAACGGCGCCCGGGAGUAGCAGCUGCAGCUUUGGUGCCUUUUUCAUCAACUUCAACGACGGCUUUAUGAUAGAGGCUAGGAACAAUAGUGGCUCACCCACUACUCCACUAGUGAUUUCAUCACCUCUGUCAAACCUUUCAGAAGCCCCAAAUCCUUAACAACAUUGGGUUCAAAGCCGAAAGAAAACUUGAACUUUGGGAUUCUCAAGUCACCAACUCUUACUCCCCAAGAUGGAAUAUUAUAGUCAUCUAAUAAGCCAGGAUCGGAACCAAGUGUGUCAACCAAAGCCGGCAGACCAUCUUUUGCGUUCGGAACAAACAAGCGUAUGGAAUACCGCCGCAUGUCUUUUCCUUGUCGGUACCGGAGUUUCAAGACUUUGAAUCCGUCAAACUCGGUUAUGUACGUGCUGCCUCUCAUCGCUGGUCAUGUAAGGCACUCGUUUAAUUAGGUUCCCAUCGAGAAGUUGGAAGUCAUAUUUUUCGGUUUUUGACGCAUCAAACUCUUUGUCCCAAUCUCCUUUGAAGUACAAUGCAUUAGCAAAUAGGAGCCUCGUUAGGGCAUCAACUGAGCCCGGAGAAAGAGCACUAUUGAUGAGGCCGUUAGCCUCCUUGUCCAACCAUGAAUUCACUCUAGUUGUCACUUCCUCGUAGUCAGUCUUGAAAUCCACUCGGUUCAAAGCCGCCUUGUAAGCAUUGCCCCCUGCCUGUUCCAGAGAAGGCUCCAGAUGGACGGACUCAUCCACCCAGAGGCCAUUGGCACAUGAGAGGCGGGGCCCACCUUUUCGGGACCCGUCUGCAAACACCCAAGCCGCGAGCUUGGGGACCAAUAAACGGUCGUCUAGGGUGGAGUUGGUUUUGGAGUUGAGAAGAGAGACCACUGUUUGCAUGAAAAGCGGCGUGCAGACCAGGUUUGAGUCCUUGGCUUCGUUUAGAAGCAGCUUCUUUGUCAUUCCAAGUGCGAUGUUUGUCUGCUUUCUAAAUUCUAACGUAUUCUCGCAUAGGCUCAUCAAUCUCUAUUUCCUCAUCAUCAGAGGAAGAAACAAUUCCAUGGAGGGAAGGAGAGGUGGAUAGAGCUUUGGUGAAGGUUGUUAUUGGGGUCUGUAUGUUGUUAUUGUUGUUGCUGCUGGGUACGAGAGAGUUGGACCGAAGAAGAGGAAGACGAUUUACAUUAAAGGCUUAAACAAAGAAGUUAGGGUUCUGCUUUGAAACGCUUUCAACACAAACGCCAUGUUUGAGGUUAGACUGUUUAUCUCUCUAUAAGGGAAAUUAUUAUUUGUACCCGGAACACCACGUAGCACAUUAUAUAUAGUAGGGCCAGGCAUUUAAUCGAAUGUGUGCGAAAAACCGACCUAACCGAACCAAAAAAUUAAAUCGGAUAACUGAAUCGAAACAUUUGAGUCAAAACAAGUAAUGAACCAAUCCGAACUAGUUUAAAUCGGAUCGGAUCCGGUUCAAGCUCUUAAACAUUUACAAUCGGAUCGGAUUGGAACCAGUGUUAUUUGGUGGCUAAGGUUACCUAACUUCCAUACAGGUAUUUAUGGGCAUAAUCUAUCAUCAUUUACAAUGUUAUAUUUCAUAGUUUUUGUUCGAUCAUUGCAUGUGUUGACUUAUUGUUAUUACCAUGCAUGAAUGAAACUUUAUACGGAAAAUUAUUCACGAAAAAAAAAAAUUAACAAUAAUAAGGUAGUGUUGCGAAAUUUUAAUUAAAACUCGCAAGUGCACGAAUCGGUUGUAGUAUAGCUUAUGCAAGUACGAGGUCAUUCCAACUGAGUAUUGAUAAUUAAUCUAAAUUCUUACUCAAUUAAUAUAAACAAAUGACAAAAAACAAUCAAGAUUCGAAGAUAUGGUUUUUAGAUUUUCAAACAAACAAACAAACAAACAAACAAGAAAAUAAGUUGAGAAAACAAAGAUGGUAGAAUAUAGGGUGUCAAAAUCAACCACUAACAAUCUUAUUCAUGUAUCGAUGCAAUUAACACUCUUUCAUUUGUUUAGAUGACAAUUCUCGUAUGUAAGUCCAGGUACGACACUUAGACCAUAGUUUUCUUUAGUGUAUGAUGCUCUCCCUCUCGGAUAAAGGUCGAAUAUCCUAGCUAUGCAGUCUAUCCUUCUCAAGUAAUUUAACAUGCAUGCAUGACUCGUUACGUUUUAUAAAACAAAGAAAUCAAGCAAACCAUUAUUCUUUCUCAAACAACAAUCUAAUUCACCACACUUAAUCAUAAGAAGCUAAAUAAAUUAUAUUGUAUCUCUGCUUCAAAUUUAUCUUCCAAUCACUACAUGCAAAUUAAGUUCUAAGGUGAUCAAUCAAAGAACUUAAACAAAACGCAUAUAACCAAACAGUGAUCAAACAUUCAUCAUAAAGAAACUAUAAAUCAAUCAUAAAAAACAUAAACAAUCAUGUUAGGACAUCAUCCUAACCCUAGAAAAGGUUUAGCAAAACAUAACUAAAGGAAACAUAACGAAAACAUUAAAAGAAUGGAAAGGAAUGAAGGGGAAGAUGGAUGAAUGGUCUCCGCUACUUUAGGCGUCUACAAUGUGCUCUCGAGACCUCCCUUUCAUAUGAAAUUCGUGCUCCAUUAUAUAGAGAAGUUUCUUGCUCAUAUUGACUUCAAGUUUCCUCGUAGGACUUGGAUUCGUACUCCUUUCUUGAUUUGGAAUAUGAAAACCUUGAAAUAUUUCUUAUAGAAGUAAGAAAACAUGUACUCUUUGAAUCCUCAUCUGCAUCAUUUUCCUUGAAGCAUUAGGGUUGACGAUCUUGUGCCAUGGAACUUGAGUCCUCCACAAAUGCUAGCAAAUCCGAGCAGAUUUUCUGACGUGACUUCUUCACUCAAACAAUCAUAACUCAGUCUAGAAAUAUCAAAAUCGAGAUCCGUAAAAUGCUACAGAAAGUAGACAUCUGAAGCUUUUCAAUGAUAUAAUGUUCAUAGUCCGACUCGAUCUGAGUAAUUUCCAGUAAUUCGGCUAAGUUGGAUGUUCUGCACAAACAAAUUCUGACACUCUAGAUUGCAGUCACCUUUCGAUCAUUGUUUGCACAUUUUAGCUCAUUUUCUUCCCGCUACGACACAAACCUACAAAAACACUAAACUAACGUAAAUCAACUACAUAUAAGAGAACUAAACAUAAAUACAAAGAUUAGGAGGUAUAUAAAUAUAGGAUAACAUGAGCACAUCAUGUAGCAGAAAAUUGCAAAUAACUCAUCAAAGUUCAAGAAAAACUAAAUAUAGUUUUGAUGGGGCUAAGUUAGGUUACAGAGAAAGACAUAUUCCUAAUCCCUGGAUGACUAAUCGAAUGUGUGAAAUCAUUCUAUUAGUGAAUCAACUGUUGAUUGAUUAACUAAACCAUGCAUCGAUAUCCAUUGGGGCUACUGAAUCAGAUUCCAUAUAUGCAUUGUCAACCCGUGGAUAAAAUUCUUUGUACUCUUUAUAUAGCUUAAUAAGUAGCUCUUUAACUUGAGAAGAAAUCUGCUCAAUAUCCUCUUGCUUAGUUCCCACAUCAGUAUAACAAUAGGUAAUGUAGUCUAACUUCCAACAGGGAUCAUCAAGAACAUUAGCUACAAGCUUAAGCUGAUUUACUUUCUCAAACUUUCCCGAGUACUUGUCAAAUCUCAGCUUGAUGACUUUUGCAACCUUACACAAAAUUGCAUCCUCCUCAUUCUUAAUGCAUGAAUCCAAGUGCACAUGAAUAUAUAUCAUGAGGUAUUUGAUUUGAUGUAAUUGAUUUUGAUGCACUAAGAUUUAGGGUAGCCUCAUAAUAUAUAUAUAUAUAUAUAUAUAUAUAUACACUCAAUAAACGCUUCCGCAUUUUCCCAAUCAUCACUUUCAGGAGGCCCUACCAUCUUUUGAGUUCCAGUGUUGACAUAGCCUACAUCUUCAUCCCCUAAUCUUUCAAACACCUUUUGAUACUUCUAAGCUUCUACCAACAUCUAAUAAGUAGAGUGUCAUCUUGUCACCACAUCUAAACCCACACUGGCAUGUGGAUCCAUUUUUUCAAGAACAUCUAUUUCUCGAAACUUGUCCAACCUUUAAGAUGUGUCUAAUGUACCAAAUAGCAUUCCGGAUCCUUUAAAUAGACUCAUUCAACUCCUUUAUAACAUCUUGUACGAUUAAUUGAGAAUGUGACAACAACACCUUAAAUGCAAAUAAUUGCUACCAAGCUGUAAAGUCUUCCAAGUUGCCAAUUGCUUCUUCAUGAACUCAACGAAAGCUCGUCUCUUAUGAUGUAUUUUACACAAAUAAGCUUAGCUCUGUCCGGGUUAAAUUUUCAUGUCUUCAACUUAACAGCUCCAUCUUAUGUUUUUGCAAAAGUUAAUUAAGGUGCUCGAUCUGCCUUGUGUCUUUCGCCUCAUAUAAUGGAGAUUUUUUAACAGGAUUAUUUGAGAUGUUUACCGAUGGCACUAGUUCCAUUCUUCCUAGACACACACAUAAUUGUUGUACGACAAUAGUCACAUAGUCACAUAUGACUCUUUCAUCCUUAUUAGUCACACCAUCCUCCUUCAUCAUUUUAUAAUGUGUCCAAGCUUCAUAUUUUUUUUCUUCUUAUUUGAGGCACUGACAUCUUGUGGGACUAGAACUAGAGGUUGUGUUGAAAGAUUUGAGAUUGGAACUAGAACUGGAACAUGUCGAGCAAAGGUUGGAUUGAGAUUAUCGACCGGUUCCAUUACCUUUAUGAAAGACAUAGAUUAAAGAAUUGAGACGGAUUCCAAAGAUUAAACUAUCAAGGAUUAAACAAAUAAAAGGGCUGAGAUUAUCUAGGAUUAAAGGAAUCAAUUUGUGCUUUAAACUAAAGAUCAAUUAAACUAUCUAUCUAUUUUUCUGGUUUCAAAACAACUUUGUAGAUUGAAUCAUGAUGUGUGCUAUGGACAUCUUGUAGUUUUAUUGAGUUUAGCGUCAUGUAGACUAUAGUAUCUAUCAUAGGUUUUUAGAUUUAGGUUAGAGAAGAGAAUCAUGUGUGUACAGGGCUAUGAUAGGAAAAUUUCCAACCAUUAAGAACAUGACACAUAUAUUAAAAACUAUUAAAAUUAAUUAAAUAAAGUCGGUCUCAUUUGGUUAGCUCGGUUUUUUGGGGACAGUGAACCACAAACUGCCACAACAGUGGCUGGUUCUGUGUGGUUUCCGGCACCGAUCAACCGGCUUUGUCUAGUUCUGGUUUCCUUAGGUUGGUCUAGUGCGAUCAUUGCCGGUUUUUGGUUUUUCGGUCUCAAAAGGUCCACUCUACCCACAUUAAGGUUAGCCAUAGUCGGCAUUUUUUCUGAGUUUCUAUGUGUCUCUCUUUUGGGUUGGGAGGCUUUGUUUGUGUCUAUUAAAACUUAUUUUGAGCUUUUGUUGAAUUUAAAGGGGAGGAAUUGUUUGCAGUUUCUUGAUUUCACUUUCCAAAAAGUUUGUGCUAACUUCUUUCAACUAUAUAAAAUAACAUAGAACUUUAAUAGCUAGUGACAAACCUCAACAUCAAUCAACAACCCUUCUUGAGAGUUUACGAUACUCUUUAUCAAACGAUGAGUUUUAAAGGUAUGCAAAGUAACAAGUUUUAGAGCUUCUUCUUUAUCCAUCACUUGAGCUUGAUAUAUAGAAUAUUCGCACCAAGUUCUUUUAGCAAAUGUUCAUCUUUUGUUGUUAUAAUGACAUUGCGUCCCAUACCAAAUGAGUCAUGGUCUAUUUGUUAAUGCCUUCAAUUGUUCCACUUGGUCGACAUCAUCAAUUACAAAAAUUACCUUUCUACAUCCGAGUUUUUUUUUUAUCACAUUGACCCUGCUAUCAACAUGACCUACCUUUGCGAUGCUUGUUUUACAAAUAUUAGACUUGCAAAGUAAGCAUUCCAUUCUUUUGCAUAGUUUCUCUUACAUUAUGAAGAAAACUUGAAGUUUCAAAAGGUUUGACGAAAUUUUUUGGAAAGAUGAAGCGUCAAUUGGGGAAGGCGUACGACUCACUGGAUUUGAUAAGAUAGUUGAUUCAUUCGUUGAUGAAACACUUCGACAUUCUAUAGAGAACAAUUAGAAGAUGUCACAUCCCAGGACCAAUUCCGCCGUAACACGAUAUUGUCCACUUUGGGCCCACCGGCCCUCAAGGUUUUGUUUCCGGCAGCUCAGGAGCAGCUUCCCAGUAGGUCACCCAUCUUGGGAUUGCUCUAGCAUCAUCAUGCUUAACCUUAGAGUACCCAUCCCCUCCGAAGCCGCUGAGCCACCAAAAAGCCUCGUGUUAGAUUGGAGGUGGGCAUGUACAUAUACAGCACAUAACCUCUCUCCGUUUGGCCGAUGUGGGAUAUUACAAUCCACCCCCCUUGGGAGUCCGACACCCUCGUCGGCACACUCGCACCACACGGCAGAGUGGCUCUGAUACCAUUUGUAACACCUCAGGACCGAUUCCGCGGUAACACGAUAUUGUCCGCUUUGGGCCCACCGGCCCUCACGGUUUUGUUUCCGGCAGCUCAGGAGCAGCUUUGACACGACCCACCCCGAAUUUCACUCUGAAACCUAGAGUAAGUCGUGCGGGGACCACCUCCAAGGAAAAUUUACUGAAAAGUUUAAGAAAAUCUCCCUUGCAGAUGGACAACCCUAACUCGAAAAUUUCAUAUUACACUCUUAAUUUAACACUUCUGAACAUCACAUAAUAUACAAAAAUUCUAAAGUAUUCAGAGCUACUAAACAACAAGCGGAAGACAAGAAAACAACGAGUAGGUUGNNNNNNNNNNNNNNNNNNNNNNNNNNNNNNNNNNNNNNNNNNNNNNNNNNNNNNNNNNNNNNNNNNNNNNNNNNNNNNNNNNNNNNNNNNNNNNNNNNNNNNNNNNNNNNNNNNNNNNNNNNNNNNNNNNNNNNNNNNNNNNNNNNNNNNNNNNNNNNNNNNNNNNNNNNNNNNNNNNNNNNNNNNNNNNNNNNNNNNNNNNNNNNNNNNNNNNNNNNNNNNNNNNNNNNNNNNNNNNNNNNNNNNNNNNNNNNNNNNNNNNNNNNNNNNNNNNNNNNNNNNNNNNNNNNNNNNNNNNNNNNNNNNNNNNNNNNNNNNNNNNNNNNNNNNNNNNNNNNNNNNNNNNNNNNNNNNNNNNNNNNNNNNNNNNNNNNNNNNNNNNNNNNNNNNNNNNNNNNNNNNNNNNNNNNNNNNNNNNNNNNNNNNNNNNNNNNNNNNNNNNNNNNNNNNNNNNNNNNNNNNNNNNNNNNNNNNNNNNNNNNNNNNNNNNNNNNNNNNNNNNNNNNNNNNNNNNNNNNNNNNNNNNNNNNNNNNNNNNNNNNNNNNNNNNNNNNNNNNNNNNNNNNNNNNNNNNNNNNNNNNNNNNNNNNNNNNNNNNNNNNNNNNNNNNNNNNNNNNNNNNNNNNNNNNNNNNNNNNNNNNNNNNNNNNNNNNNNNNNNNNNNNNNNNNNNNNNNNNNNNNNNNNNNNNNNNNNNNNNNNNNNNNNNNNNNNNNNNNNNNNNNNNNNNNNNNNNNNNNNNNNNNNNNNNNNNNNNNNNNNNNNNNNNNNNNNNNNNNNNNNNNNNNNNNNNNNNNNNNNNNNNNNNNNNNNNNNNNNNNNNNNNNNNNNNNNNNNNNNNNNNNNNNNNNNNNNNNNNNNNNNNNNNNNNNNNNNNNNNNNNNNNNNNNNNNNNNNNNNNNNNNNNNNNNNNNNNNNNNNNNNNNNNNNNNNNNNNNNNNNNNNNNNNNNNNNNNNNNNNNNNNNNNNNNNNNNNNNNNNNNNNNNNNNNNNNNNNNNNNNNNNNNNNNNNNNNNNNNNNNNNNNNNNNNNNNNNNNNNNNNNNNNNNNNNNNNNNNNNNNNNNNNNNNNNNNNNNNNNNNNNNNNNNNNNNNNNNNNNNNNNNNNNNNNNNNNNNNNNNNNNNNNNNNNNNNNNNNNNNNNNNNNNNNNNNNNNNNNNNNNNNNNNNNNNNNNNNNNNNNNNNNNNNNNNNNNNNNNNNNNNNNNNNNNNNNNNNNNNNNNNNNNNNNNNNNNNNNNNNNNNNNNNNNNNNNNNNNNNNNNNNNNNNNNNNNNNNNNNNNNNNNNNNNNNNNNNNNNNNNNNNNNNNNNNNNNNNNNNNNNNNNNNNNNNNNNNNNNNNNNNNNNNNNNNNNNNNNNNNNNNNNNNNNNNNNNNNNNNNNNNNNNNNNNNNNNNNNNNNNNNNNNNNNNNNNNNNNNNNNNNNNNNNNNNNNNNNNNNNNNNNNNNNNNNNNNNNNNNNNNNNNNNNNNNNNNNNNNNNNNNNNNNNNNNNNNNNNNNNNNNNNNNNNNNNNNNNNNNNNNNNNNNNNNNNNNNNNNNNNNNNNNNNNNNNNNNNNNNNNNNNNNNNNNNNNNNNNNNNNNNNNNNNNNNNNNNNNNNNNNNNNNNNNNNNNNNNNNNNNNNNNNNNNNNNNNNNNNNNNNNNNNNNNNNNNNNNNNNNNNNNNNNNNNNNNNNNNNNNNNNNNNNNNNNNNNNNNNNNNNNNNNNNNNNNNNNNNNNNNNNNNNNNNNNNNNNNNNNNNNNNNNNNNNNNNNNNNNNNNNNNNNNNNNNNNNNNNNNNNNNNNNNNNNNNNNNNNNNNNNNNNNNNNNNNNNNNNNNNNNNNNNNNNNNNNNNNNNNNNNNNNNNNNNNNNNNNNNNNNNNNNNNNNNNNNNNNNNNNNNNNNNNNNNNNNNNNNNNNNNNNNNNNNNNNNNNNNNNNNNNNNNNNNNNNNNNNNNNNNNNNNNNNNNNNNNNNNNNNNNNNNNNNNNNNNNNNNNNNNNNNNNNNNNNNNNNNNNNNNNNNNNNNNNNNNNNNNNNNNNNNNNNNNNNNNNNNNNNNNNNNNNNNNNNNNNNNNNNNNNNNNNNNNNNNNNNNNNNNNNNNNNNNNNNNNNNNNNNNNNNNNNNNNNNNNNNNNNNNNNNNNNNNNNNNNNNNNNNNNNNNNNNNNNNNNNNNNNNNNNNNNNNNNNNNNNNNNNNNNNNNNNNNNNNNNNNNNNNNNNNNNNNNNNNNNNNNNNNNNNNNNNNNNNNNNNNNNNNNNNNNNNNNNNNNNNNNNNNNNNNNNNNNNNNNNNNNNNNNNNNNNNNNNNNNNNNNNNNNNNNNNNNNNNNNNNNNNNNNNNNNNNNNNNNNNNNNNNNNNNNNNNNNNNNNNNNNNNNNNNNNNNNNNNNNNNNNNNNNNNNNNNNNNNNNNNNNNNNNNNNNNNNNNNNNNNNNNNNNNNNNNNNNNNNNNNNNNNNNNNNNNNNNNNNNNNNNNNNNNNNNNNNNNNNNNNNNNNNNNNNNNNNNNNNNNNNNNNNNNNNNNNNNNNNNNNNNNNNNNNNNNNNNNNNNNNNNNNNNNNNNNNNNNNNNNNNNNNNNNNNNNNNNNNNNNNNNNNNNNNNNNNNNNNNNNNNNNNNNNNNNNNNNNNNNNNNNNNNNNNNNNNNNNNNNNNNNNNNNNNNNNNNNNNNNNNNNNNNNNNNNNNNNNNNNNNNNNNNNNNNNNNNNNNNNNNNNNNNNNNNNNNNNNNNNNNNNNNNNNNNNNNNNNNNNNNNNNNNNNNNNNNNNNNNNNNNNNNNNNNNNNNNNNNNNNNNNNNNNNNNNNNNNNNNNNNNNNNNNNNNNNNNNNNNNNNNNNNNNNNNNNNNNNNNNNNNNNNNNNNNNNNNNNNNNNNNNGCGAUCUCUAAAACCUAUGAAAUUUUGACAGAAUAAUCUCCUCAACAUGCUCUACAACUUUCAUGACCAACACAUCACCCAAUUCCAAGCCUAACUAGGCUAAUCGAACGAAAAUAACUUAAAAGCCUAGAAAUUUCAACUCCACAUUUCUCCUUACCUAGCUCAAGAGGGAGAGAGCUGCUUGGAGGGGUUGUUGCACGGGAGGAGGGCUGCAAAACCGUACCAAGCUUGCCCGGAUUGGUGGCCGGAGGAGGAAGUUCCGGCGAGAAAACCGAUUCGGCAGUCGGAGCUUUCGGGCGGCGUUUCUCCCUCACGACGGCGCUAGGGAGGCUUCCACCGGUCUAGAAAUGUUGCUGGGAGGGAGACCGACCGAACGGGACCGGUCCGGCGGCGAACGGAGGCCGGACGGCGGCCGGAAACUUUUCUGGGUGUAGAGAGGGGAAAACCGGGUGAGAAGAGAGAGAGAAUCGGGAGGGAGAGAGAAAAAGAAAAGAAGAAGAAAUGGGUUGGGCUCGGCCCAGCCGACCCAACACUCCUUUUAACCCAAAAUUCCAAAAUUCAACACCCCGAAAUAAAACCCCAAUAAAAAUUACCUUUUACUAGCUAAAAUUUACCAUUUUUACCGUCGUCGAAAUUUCCUCAUACUAAUAAUCCUCCGCACAUAAUCGUCCCCGAAACCCCUCUAGGGACCAAUUAAACUAUUUACUCAAUGAUCGAGACGGUAAAAUUCUUAUUAUAAUCACGCUAGUAAAUAAGAUAAAAAUAUAAGGGUCGGGAUGUGACAAGCUUCCCAGUAGGUCACCCAUCCUGGGAUUGCUCUAGCAUCAACAUGCUUAACCUCGGAGUACCCAUCCCCGCCGAAGCCGUUGAGCCACUAAAAGGCCUCGUGUUAGAUUGGAGGUGGACAUAUACAUAUACAACACAUAACCCCUCUCCGUUUGGCCGAUGUGGGAUAUUACAGAAGAUGUGUAACUAGAGAUACGAUGACAGUUUUCACGCCUCUUAAUAAGACAUUUUUGGAUGUUAGAAAUAAUAAUAAACCUAUAGGACAUUUUUUGAACAUCAUAUCUUAAGAUACUAAAUAAUGUUUUUUAAGUUAUAAGAAUGUUUUCUCAAAAUUCAAGAUAAUAUAGGACGUUUUUAUAAGGAUAUGAGGAUGCUUUUCACAUCCUAGUAGGACAUUUUAUAAUGUUUAUUCUAAUGCACUCAUCAAAAGGCACCAUGCAAUCAAAGUUUUAAAUAUAAAAAAAAAUGUGUAAGGCGAAACGUUUUAUUUCCAUCCUUGAAAUCUUUAAGGCUUCAAGGCAUAACUUUUUAUGUUGUAUCAUGCUUCAAGGAAUUCACUACCCCAGUUGAAGGAAAUUCUUGAACUCCUCUGUAUAUGGAUUUUCUUGUGGAUGAAGCUUAGUGGACAACUGGAACAAGCUUUCAGGAUUCUUGACCUUAAACUCAUAUUGUUUUCGUUGGCUAUCCUGUUGAUGGUAUAUCUUCCCCAGACAUUGAUAUUGUCAAUGUCUAUCAAGCUGGUAGUAUCCUCAUCUUUCAUUAUGUUUACACAUUGCCAAAUGAGAUCACUGUACGUAAACAAAAGGAUUAUGAAUAUUUUUGACCUUAAGUAUUUUUGUAAAAUAAAUUUAUGAUUUCAUUUAUUUAGAUGAAAUAUGACCACAAAAAUGCAGAUAAAUUGAGCUUAAAUCGAUGAUAACACAUGACUGUAGAAGAUAACUGUAUCUGCAUGUGUCAGAAGGUUACUUAUAGAAUUAAGAACUAUUUAUCCAUCCUUCAUAUCAGUACUCAUGUUGAGUUGAUUAUAUGAUUAACAAUAUGUGUAUUCAUUAUCUGCUAUUUUGAAGAAUCUUUAGUAACCAGUAGUAUGAAAAAAGCUAACCUUUUUUAACUUGAACAUAUUUAUUUAAGUAUAUGUACUCAGAAUGUCAGUUGACAUUUUCAAUAUAUAUGUCAUCUGAAUAAAACGUUGUUUGCUGAAAUCGUAUUUAUACUAAAGAAUGUAACACUAUUCUCUUCUUUCUCUAUGUUUUUUUGGUUCUUUUUCUAUUGUCAAUUAAUGCUUUUAUUCAUCCUAAAAUGUGAAACUUAAAAGCAUGCUAGUAAAGUUAUAAAUUGUUCUUGUGCUAAUGACUAACUAAAUUUUUUCAUCAAUCAUGUACCUCGCAGAGAGAUGGCAUACAGCUGAUCAUGGAGAGAGUUACAAAUUUGUGUUUUUUCUUUAUUUGAAAUUGUAUACUAAAAAUGUAAGUUCAAAUUACCUGUUCAAAUUACAUGUAUUGUCCUUGGGGUGUGUUUGUCUGGAAAAAAAAAAACAAAACAAAAAAUGCUUUUUUUUUUCGUUACAGAAGGGACCUAAAAGGCCCAAACAAAAGAAAAACAAAAAAAACUACAGACUAAAUACUGGAGCAAAGUCCAGUUCUUCUUGCUCUAGUAACACCAGCAAGAUCAUCUAAAACAGCUUGAGCAGCAUGAGCAUGGACAUUAGCAAAAGUGAUCAAACCAAGAUCAUGGCUGAUACUAUCCUUAGCCAAGGCAUCAGCUACCAUAUUGCACUCUAUGAAAAUGUGAUUAAGUUUUGCAUUUUGUAAAUUAGCCAUCAUUGCAACACAACCAUCAAGUAAAGAGCCUAAUUAAGGGAUGAAUCCCAUUAUCAGAUUUAAGCAUGAGUUGAACCAGCACAGCAAAAUCUGACUCAAUCUCAAGGUUGACAAUUGGGUGCUUAAACACCAGCUUAAGACCAAAGAAGAGCCCCCAAGCUUCAGCAUCAAGGAUUUCCCCAAUACCAAAAAAAAAAAUAUAUUUUGAUCAUUUAUAAAGGAGUGGUUUUAAAUAUACAUCCCAAAUAACUUAAUACACAUCCUUAUUAUUUGAUAUUUCAAAUCAUAUUUGAUUAACCACCACAGGUGGUCGAGUUGGUAAAAACCUAGGUGUGGAACCCUCAUACCCAGGUUCGAAUCCCAGCCGACGCUAAAUAUUGGAGUUAAAUCCCAAUUUAUUCUUGGUGGCCAAGGAGGAGGAAACGUUCUAACAUGAUCUCUCGGCGCAGAUUAGUCUGGAAAGCCUUUGAGGAUACCGUCGUUGAUACUCUAAAAAAAAAAAAAAAAAACAGAUUUGAUUGGUAUGUUAAAUGACCAAAAGAGGCAUGUGUAAUACAGUAAUACAAUUUAAAUACUAAAAACAAACUUAUAUUUGGAAACUAAUAAUGUGAAAUAUAAACCAAAUUAAAAUAUUAAAAACGAAAACUUAUUUUUGGAAACUUAUAAAGUGAAUUAGAACAAAUUAAAUUUUUAAGAUCGAAAACUUAUUUAGGGAAACUAUUAAAGUAAACAAAAAAUUUGCAAGGAAAUUUGGAUAAUAAAUUAAUUUCUUUUUUGUCCUUAAAGAUUCAUAAUUUCCAAGUUUAGAGUCCCAAAGUGUUAAACGAUGUAAUUGUUAUGCGUAUGAACACCUAUUUCGUUAUAUUUCAUAUAUUUUUUCUUUUCACCCAAACACACUAUUCAAAUAUGUAUUUUUCAUCUUGUUUAUCAUCUUCAUGUUUAAGAAUUUGAAAUGAACAAUGAAUUAUAAGGAUUUCUCAAGAAAUAACACUAGUAAUAGAUAUGAACAUCUAUAAAAUGUUAAUUUAUAUAAAUAUAUACUUAUUAUACAAUAAUAAUGGUGUUAAUAUAGUCACAUAAUAUUAAGGCUGGGCAUUUAACCGAAUGUGUACAAAAAACCGACUGAACCGAACCGAAAAACUGGAUCGGAUAACCGAACCGAAAAAUUUGGGUCAAAACAAGUAGUGAACCGAUCCAACCAGUUUAAAUCAAAAUUGAAACCAGUUCAAGCUCUUAAACAAACCGAAAAUAACCGAACCGACCCAGAUUAUAUAUAAUGUGUGUGUGUAUAAUUUAUACACAUGAAACGCUAUUAUAAUUAGUUGAUUUCAUCUCUACUGACAGUGUACUCUCCCACACUUAAUAUCUCCGUAUAAAAGACAUUUUAUCAUUUAACUCAUUUCUUGGAAAAAUUUGUUAGUGUAGAAAAGAUUGGGAGUGUAUUUGAUUGUUUGUUAUACUUUAAGCAUGUUACUCAAGUCAAAAACAUGAAAUUCAACUUUACAGUAAGAUACUAGAUCGAUGGGCUAAAAGUUUUUCAAAUAUGGAUCAAAACCGAAACAGACCCGACCCGAUCCGAAAAUUCAGAUGGGCCGAAUAUUCGGGUCAAAGGUUUUAAAAUCUAGUUUCGGUUGGAAAAAACCUUAAACCGAAUUAUUUGGAUUAGUUUUGGUUUUGUCCUAAAACCGAUCCGAACCGAAGAUGCCCAUCCCUACAUAAUAUGAUAUUUCAUGGAUUUUUAAAUUAAGGGUAUUUUGGGUUGUGUAUUUAGUAAAAUAUCUGAAUGAGAAAUUAAAUAAGUGAUAUAUUGAGAAAGAGAUGUGUAUUAAGUUAUUUGGGGUGUGUAUAUAAAAUUUCUCUUUAUAAACGUGUAGUAUAUAUGUAAGACAUCAAAGCAAUAAUAAGUUCAGUGUUAUCCUCUAAAAAAAAAGUUAAAUGUUAUAGAAUAUUUACAUGUGUGUGUCAUUGGUCUUAUGCUAGUCCAAUAAAAAAUCUUUAUUCUGUGUAGAGAUUGGUUUUCAUCUUUGUAAUCCAUAUAAAUAUGACACCUAUCAGUGAAUAAGAUGAUAAUAGUUCCACGACUAUUUUUUUUAUUCUCUAUUUCAUCGCUCAUACUUAAUCAUUCACUCACCUAAUUAACUUAAAUAUCAAAAUUAAGUUAACCUUUGUGCCUAGCUCUUUAAAAUUAAAUUAAGUUAAAUUGUGUGCUUCAUGCAACGUUGGUUGUCUAGUCUUAGUUUUCAUGAGUUUUCUUGCAAUAAGUUCAUCUUCGUGCCUCUUUCUUCUAUAUUAUUUCAUUCUUUGACCAUGUUGUCUUUUAUGUGUUUGUAAUUUGUGUGAUUCAUGCACCGCUUGUCAUUGUCUUAUUUUCAGUUUUAUUCAGUUAUUUGAAACAAUCUUUGUGCCUCGAUCACUACUCUUUUAUAUUUUUUCCUUUUUUUGUGCCAUGUUUUCUUUUGUGUCUAUAAAUUGUGUGCUUCAUGCACUACUUGUUAUCUUAUCUCCAAUUUUAAUAAGUUUGAUCUCUUUUGCAAUAAGUCUAUCUACAUGUCUCAUUCUUCUAACCCUAUUUCUUUGGCCCAUGUCUUCUCUCCAAUUCAGUCAAGUUCUUUCGCACAAUAAGCUCAUCUUUGUGUUUCAAUUUGUUAACGUUCAAGUUGUUGGCUCAAAAAUAAUUUAGUUGCAUGGCUUAUUUUUAUUUUGUUGUUGUUGAGAAAAUAGACAAUUUUAUUAACUUGUCCAUGACCAGAAAAUGGUUAAAUCAAUUUUGCUACUCACGACCAAUAAGUCUAAUUAACAACAAGCACUAACAAAGAGACAAGUAGCCUUCAUUACAAAUGCGCUCAGUUAAGCCUAUCACACCUAACUUCCAACUAUUCAUAUCUAAAUUCUAUGUAGCGGUAAUAUCCGUCGCCUACAGACCUCAAUUGGUGUACAACAAACAACAAUGUAAAACUGAAAGCUAAACAAGAAUAGUCCUCCAUCAGAUGUCUAGGUAAGAAACAAGGAAAUUAAACUACCUCCUUACCCUUAUUAUUAGGGCUAGCCUCUGCCCGAUCAAACCUCGAGGAUGUCAUGUGAGACGGAGCAGACAAAUUCUAGGCAAGGUUUGGCUCAGGCCCACCUAAAACCUUACAUAAAGGAAUAACCCCAAAUCCAAGCCCAUACCUUAGCAACACCAAUCCCUUCUUUCCUCUAGGCCAAUAACACCACUCUUGCCAGCCACCUUAUGCGAACCUCCGGUUGCCAUAAUUUCUUGUCAUCAACAAGUCUAAGCGGCGCCAAUGGACUAGAACGGAGCCCCAAAAGCGCUGUCUUGCAGCCCUCAUGUCCAAGCGGUCCCGUCGGAUAGAAAAAGCAGCCCCGCCAGUAGCUGAAGCCAGAGGCAACGAAACUUGCUGAGGUAGCAUCAAUAGAGGCCAUGGAGAAAGUGAGAUGGGUAGGCUAGGUUGAAAAGUAGAGAUUUGUGUAGUUUUGGCGUGAAACAGAGGUCGCAGCGCUAGGGUUUUGGGAGAAAAGUAGGUGAGUGGAGGCUCUUGGCUUCUCAGAGCAAAAACCGAGUCCUUUUAGUUGCAUGGCUUAUUAAAAUUUCGGAUCGUAAAUGUAAUUGGAUAAUUUUCUUAGUAGUGGUACCACCCUCUACAAAAUCCAAUCUAAACCCAUUUUCAAGAAUAAAAGAUGGAAAUUCGAACAACUGAAUAAAUAGAACUUUAUAUAUAUGUACAUAUUUUAUACCAAGACGUACUUAUAUGAACGGCACGCAGGAACAUACACAGUUCAUUCUUAGUCAUUCAAAACCAUUUGCAUGUAAAGACUACGAACUAUGUAUCUUUAUUAUGUCAUCUAAUUUUGAUCAUUCACAUAUGUAUACGUAAAUACACGCCUUGUACUGUAUUAAAGAUGUUCUAAUUUUGAUGCAUGUUUACGAAAUGUUAUUUAAAAAUAAUCGAGUCAUUUUUCAAGAAAACAAGUUAUCAGAUCAUUAAUAAUAUUUUAGUGAAAAUCAACAUAAUAAUAUCAAUUAAACUCUAAAACCCAAAAUAAUAAUUAAUUUUAAAUAUCAGACUUUCUGAAAAAAGGAAAAAACGAAAAAUCACCACCGUUUUUCCGUGAAUGAUAAGAAAGUAAAUCCCACAAGAAACGUGUUUCAUGACACGUGUUUAAAUACUAGAUUACCACGUUGUCAUGGCAGUAGAUUUGGUUACCCCUUUCAGUUUCCUUUAUAAAAGCUUUUCCUUUUGAUCAUCAACCAACAUAAUUUCUGUUUCUCUCCCUCUGCCGGUGACCGUGACCGUGACGACGACGGCAAGUUCUUCUCACUCCGUACGUUAUUUUUUUUUUUCUUCCUAGACCUUCCCUUUGAUAUUUGGUGGACGUUUGGAUACCGCUUGAUUUGAAUGGUGCUGCAUGCUUCAUGCUUGUCUCUUCAACUAUCAGUUUUCACCUCUUUACUAUUGUUUGAAUAUCAGUAUAUAAAGUUUAAACAUGAAACAUUGCUUCUUGAACUUUGAGAAUUAGCAAAUUCAGUUUAGGGUAGUGAAAUGUUUUCUUCCAUACAAAGUGAUCAAAGGUGUUACAAGACUACCAUAUUAUUUAGUACAUUAGUUUUCCUAACUUAUCAACUAAGACGAUUAAUGUAUCGAUUGUAAUGUGCGGAACGGAGAAUUUCGUCUAGUUACAAAGGAAGUUUCCCCAUAUUUAACCAUGAAAAAGAAAAAACCAAAUUCAAUUUGAUUUGGAAAUUAUGAUUCUGGUGGUGUUACAGAUGUGAGCAAUACACGAAAUGGGAAAUUCCCGUGAAAUUGUUCUAUUCCCCAAACGUUGGGAAUGUAGGAAAUUUCCUGCAAGUAUGAAACUGAAUAAUAAUAUUAAUAUGGCUGUGGAUAAAGUCAGGUCAUCUUCAUCAUCGAAACCGAACCCCACUACCUGGUGCCACUGUCCUCUAUCUCUUUCCUUCUCUUAACUUCAUCUUCACUCUCCCUCCCCCCUCCCUUUGUUUCUUUCUCUAUCUCUAAGUAACUAAAUUUUCCCUCACUCUGGUUGCACCUUAUAUAUUCAAACGCUUUCAAAAGCAGCAACUACCACAUGAUAUAUGCCUAUGCUCACAAGCAUCUCAUUCUCUUUCACUUUGAGUGAUCUUCACAACCUUUCCCAUACAACUCAUCUCCAUUUUGGUAUAUAAAGCGGGUGUUGUUCUGCUUCUCACUUGCUAAUUUCUUAGCCAGAUUGAUCAAUGGAGAAGUCAAUGAUCGAGAAGUCAAUGAAGCCUAAGCAGACGAGUGUUCAGAGGCUGUGCUGCUCUGUUCAGAACUAUGAUUGGGGGAAGAUAGGCCCGGACUCUGAGGUGGCCAGGCUCUAUGCUUCCAAUUCCGGCUCUGAAAUCGACCCGGAAAAGCCUUAUGCUGAGUUUUGGAUGGGAACUCAUGAUUCAGGACCCUCAUUCUUGAUUCAGAAGGACCUCAAUGGGAUGUCCAUGUCCCUCAAGGAGUGGAUUUCGACCAACUCGAAUGAGCUGCUUGGUCAUAAAGUCGUCCAGAAGUGGGGCUCUGACCUCCCUUUCUUGUUUAAGGUACUGUUACCAUAACUGUCCUAAUUCAGUUAUGCAUCAAAAUCACCUUUUCAAUUCAAACAUUGUGAUGGUUUUGUUCUUGUUUCGGAAUUAGGUGCUGUCUGUGAGGAAAGCAUUGUCGAUACAGGCUCAUCCGGAUAAGGAUUUGGCCAAACUUUUGCACAAGUUUAUGCCGAGUGCUUACAAGGACGAUAAUCACAAGCCUGAGAUGGCCCUUGCUAUAACUCAUUUUCAGGCUCUUUGUGGCUUUGUCACUCUUGAGGUACAUAUCCUCGUUCUGUCACUUUCUCACAUUUUUAAGAUAUGAACAAUCGACACCCUUUGUUUUUCUCAGCAUAGAUAUUCCUGCUAGCUAGCCAAAUUGUUUGUUUCCUGAUUAUCCGAUCCUUUUCGUGAUAAUCAUUACUGAUUUCGAAUGCUUACGUGCUUUCUCUGUUAACUUUUGGUUUGGUCAUUAAACAAGUAAUUGACUUGUAACUGUGAUUGCCUAAGUUUGGGUCCCAAAAAAUGUCAUUAUGCCAGAAAUUUGACAUAAUGCUAAAAAGGUCAAAAAAGCUUGGUAUGCAAAUUUGAGACCACAGAUCACCACCCUUUAUUAUACAAUAUUCCAAAUUUUAUUUUUAUGAUUAAUUGAGUAAUAAUAUGCAGGAGCUUAAAGGUGUGCUUGAUAAUGUCCCUGAGAUUGUACAAGUGGUUGGUAGUGAAGUAGCAAACCAAGUGUUUGACACCACAAAUGAAGAUGGGGAAGAUAAAGUCAAGUCUGUUCUGCGUUUAAUUUUUACCCAACUCAUGUCAGCAACCAAAGAGAUUGUGACUACAGCAACGACCAAACUGAAAAAUCGCUUACACAUGGAAAAUCAGGUAAGUAUUUCCAGCAUUGAUCGAUCAAUCAUUUUAUCUUCAAUAGUCGAUGACACUGUUUGAUAUUGACUUGAUCAGGUGAGGCAGUUGACAGAGAAGGAGCAACUGGUGUUGGAAUUGGAAAGGCAGUAUCAUGAUGAUGUUGGUGUCAUAUCUGCUUUCUUUCUCAACUAUGUCAAGCUUAGUCCCGGAGAAGCAUUAUACCUCGGAGCAAAUGAACCUCAUGCCUAUAUGUUUGGUGACUGUGUCGAGUGCAUGGCAACUUCUGAUAAUGUAGUCAGGGCCGGCCUCACUCCCAAGCAUCGGGAUGUCAAAACCCUUUGUUCUAUGCUCACAUAUAAGCAGGGCUGCCCUGAAAUUUUGAAAGGAGUUGCCUUAAAUUCUUAUGUGACAAGGUACCUCCCACCUUUUGACGAGUUUGAGGUCGAUCGGUGCCAUCUUCCCCAGGGAGAAUCAGUGGAAUUUCCUGCAGUCCAAGGUCCUUCCAUUUUCGUUGUCACUUUUGGGGAGGGAAUCAUAUAUACAAGCGAUUUUACAGGAGAUAUAAAUAUCACACAAGGAGAGGUUCUUUUCGUGCCUGCAGGUACGGAAAUUGGCAUAACAAGUGCAUCUGAGUUGCACAUAUAUAGAGCCGGAGUGAACAGCAUGUUCUUUCAACUCCCAUAAUUCCAGAAUCCAUGAGCUUCUUGGGAGAUACAAACAAGCUGUUGCUAUAGCAUGUUUGAUAUUAAGAUAGAAAACUAUAAACUAUAGAAUUGUCAUGUAAGUGUCUUUGCAAUGUAUGUAGUAUAUAAGAAUCGAAUAAGAAUUGAUCGAUCUAGUUCUAAAUUAUUGGGAAAGAAAAAUUAUAUCUAUCAUUUAAUGUUCUUCAGGAGAGCCACAAGUUUAAACCAGACCACAACAAUCAAAGAACCAAAGAGACCCCAUGGACGAACCAGAAGGCAGAAUAGUUAGACUCGCAGGCACAUGAGCACCAACAAAAACACAGUAUCACACUAGCAGGCUAAACCAAGUGAGAGGGUCCAUAGAAAAAAAAAAUGUUCCAAUUUGAAUGAACAAAUCAAAAGUCAGGAUCACAAUAAGAGGUUGGCAAGGAUUUAUCCUAUUAUUUUUUUUCCACAAUGUGAACUAAAUAACCAGCAGCAGCAAAGACAGAUUUUCUUUGUGAUUGGUGAGAGGGGAUUAACUUCCAUCCCAAGGAAAUCAGACCAAGGUUGCCUGGAUGGACCAACUUCAUUCUUAUCAAGCCUAAAUCUUUUGAAGCUUCAGUCCGCAUUACAUUAUUGGUACCCCAAUUGUGCAUGGGAGUCUUAGACAUCUUCUACCAAACAUCCCUCUUCACUCCAGUAGUAUUAUUUGCUUAAGAGAUUUGCAAGUAAUGACUAUGACUUUAAUUAAGCAAGGAACUGCACAGCAUCUAGCAUUAUGAACUAGGCACCACUCAUUCUCCAUUUACAUGGUUCGAUUAUUUAUGUACACACAUUGUUUAGCAAAUCACAUUGGGGUGUUUCAAGUAAUCCAUAACCCUUUUACAACCAAGUAUACAACUUGUCACAAUGAAUCAAUUUCAUUGACCGAACGGCAGAGAACAUAUGGGAGAGGACACGGCCUAUGUUGAUCAUCAUGAAGUCCCCUGAAAUCUGUCCGAUUGUCGCUCCAUACCAGCUUGAGCCCUAUUUUAUUCACCUCCACAGGUGACACACUGAGAAAAGCCGAUCCGACUUGUACAAAAACCUCAAAUAGGUCACCUGCCUCCAAACUGAGCUCAUUGUUUGGUAUAUGACCCAGCCAGAGAUAGUACACACCACGAGUUACAAAGAAUGAAGAUGUUGAAGGGUGGUAGAAACGAGUUUGUUUGGUAUGAUUAGUAACAAAAAAGCCAUCGAAUGAAAGAGAUGUUGCGCUUGUUGCCAAUCUGUCAAAUGCUGGAGAAUAAGCAACGCAGAGAGUAAAUGCGAUUACAUCUCUACCAGUAAGUGGAGGCACUAAAAAGAAGCCUGUGUCACCCCCACAUACAACCGCGAACCACUCAGGAAUAUCAUUUCCAGGGAGAAAAAUGCCAUCAGCUGCUCCAAUGUGAUUCCAUUUCUGUAUCAUGUAGAACAGGAUUUGAACAAGCAAUGUAUCAGUACUCACACACACAUAAAAAAAAUUAAUAUGAGAGAGAGAGAGAGAGAGAGAGAGAGACCUGUAGGAGGCUGUCCCUGAGAGUCGUAGUCAGAGUAGUGCACCCUUCCAUUCGAAGGACUUCCAAGGAGUUCAACAAAGAGUAUAGGACCUUAUCAAAUCCCCAAAUCUCAGUCAGUUUGGUAGAAUCACUUAUAUACAGUUUCUUUAAGGACAGUUUUGAAAGACCUGGCAAUCUUUCCAAUGCAGGGCAGUUAUCAGCAAUUAGGCUCGUCAAACUUGUUGGUAAAUCUGGGAUUGCAUGCAGGCUAUAGCAAUGGUACAGAUCUAGAUACCACAGCUUCAAAAGGCCACUGAGGCUAGGAAGACUAUGGAAACUAUUUCCUGCAAGACGCAGCAUUCGUAAAGAAUAUAGACUCCCUAGAUCAACUGAAUCAUCUCCUAAACUACAGCCUGUAAGAGAUAAUUCUGUUAAACAGUUUAAGCCUCUCAAUGAAGGAGGAAAUACUAUUGUAGUUCUAUUAGGUUCGAGGCCACGCAGAGAAAACUGUACCAAGUUCUUCAAUCUCACAAUGGAAGAUGGUAUUUUUCGUAUGGCUGUGUUACCAGCAUCCAGCGUGAUCAAUGAUCCCCAAGUCGUCAUCCAACUUCUCAAAUCUUGUACAGUCAGCAAGAACAAGAGUUCUCAUUGAUUUUAUCUGAUAGAAGCUCCUUGGAAGAUCCUUAAGCAUAAUGCAGCCUUUGAGAUUUACCGAAGAAAGUCUAUCAAGAUGUCCAAUGGACUGGUGAACCUCUGACAAAUUUAUAGAGUCUUCAAGAACAAAAUUCUCAAGAUUUGGGAGUCUCGAAAGGUCCUGUAAAUGUGAUAAGUAAUGGGAAUGACUAACAUUAAGAAUCUUCCAACUUCUCAAGCAACUGUCAGACAAAAGCAAAAAAAAAAAAAAAAAAAAAAAUAAUAAGUUCAAAAGAAGAGAAAUUAAGUUGGCAAAUAGGACUGAGCUAAUCUAGUGUAUACCCUAGGUUAGAAGGAAAUGAUUUACAAUUUUGUUGAGUAAAAUAAUAUACCCUAGAAUCCUCCCAAAGGUGUAUCAGUUUGCUGUACUGCAGGUCCAUUGCAACUACAUUUUGUAGACUAAAGUCUUUAGGUACUGACUUUAAAGGGAAUCCAUGCCAGCAGAGCCAACAUAGUUUAUUGGAAAAAAAUUUGUAGCCUCCACUGAGCUGUACGUGAUUGAGUUUGAGCAAUCUCAGCCUCUUCAUCUUUGAAAAUGCUUUUGUACUGAAACUAGCUUUGGCAUCAGAUGUCAACAUUUUCAGAGUGAGUCCUUCAAUUGCUUCAGAUCCCUGUUAACAAAACAAGUAAGAAAAGAGAUAUUUCGUUUGAACAAUAAUUUUCAGAUUCAUUCACAUGAACAUAGUCAUGAAUGCAGAUACAUAUGAACCCCGAAAGCAGUAGACGGCCUAUAUAUGGGAUCUUGUCACCAAAGUAUGGAUUGUUUCAAUAAAUGCAUUAUUCAAUAAUAUUAGAAAUGAAACUGACUGAAUUACAUGCAUUAUACCACCCCCUAUAAUUCACGCAAAAUUUGAUAAGGAAGGUACUUACAGAUUUAUCUCUCAAUACAUCUGUAGCAUCUGCAUCAUCCCACAGUCUACAACGUUUUCCAGGGUCCUGAGGAGAUUUUGACCAAACAAUUGCUCUGCCCAUGUCUCGUAUCAAAUCAUGCAUUCCCAUCUCGUUUGUUUCACUAACAGUUACAAGGCACCGUUGAAUGAGGACCUCAAUGCCUGAAUCUGGAAAAAAACCACAACCUUCGAGUAUUUGUUUUACAUGGUUUACGUCCAUUCCAAUAAAGAAACACGAUAUCAAGGAAUAUAUCCUUCUCUGUCUCGUCAUUCAAACCAUCAAAGCUUAAUUUGAGCUUUUCUUGAAUUUCCAAAUGAGGUAUCAUUCCCAAUUUUUUAAUUGUGCUUUCCCAAAAAGAUGUGCUUCUUCUAAACAGAAAAGAACCCAAUACUUUGAUUGCUAGUGGCAAACCUCCGCAGUAAUCGACAACGGUUCUUGAGAGAUCAGCAUAUUCUUCAUUAGGAAAACGAGUCUUAAAGGCAUGCAAACUAAAGAACUCGAGACUUUCUUCUUCAUUCAUUUCUCUAGCUGCAUAUAUUGUAUCCACUUGAAGGUGCUCUAGCAAUUGUUUAUCUCUUGUCGUUACAAUAAUUCUACUUCCUGGACCAAAUAAAUCGGGAUCUAUACCUAGGUCAUGUAGCUGAUCCAGUUGAUCUACAUCAUCAACUACAACAAGUACACUUCUGCAUCCAAUCUUCUCUUUUAUCACAUUGAUCCCUUUAUCAAUAUCAUCUACUACCGUCUUGGUUUGACUUGAGAUAUCAGAAAGAAAUUUAUUUUGCAUAGUGACCUUACCUUUGCUUUCCUUUGAAGUUUCCCUAACGUUUGCAAGGAAACUUGAGGCUUCAAAGCUACGAAAGAUAUGAUUGUACACAGCCUUGGAGACCAGUGUCUUCCCAAUUCCACCCAUUCCCCAAAUUCAAACCAUGCGAACAUCAUCCAAUAUCCCAACACCUAAAUGAAAAAUAAUACCUUGCAUGCGAGAAUCUAUUCCAACUUGGUGCUCAGCUACAUGUAAGGGUGUUCUGUUCAAAAGAUGCCAAGUGAUCUCAUCUCUAAUCUUCCUGACAAACAAUCCUUCAUGCCUGACAAUCAAAAUCAGAAGAUUAACUAGUCAUUACGCCAGACAACUAAAUUGCAUUAAUACAUAGGUCAAUAAUUCAGACGACUACAGCUGCAUGCUCAUAACUUAUAAGAUUUGACUACAAUGCAGCUAAUCAGAAAUUCGUGAACUGCCCAUAUACAAAAGUAAAAGUUUUGAUGAAAUUUAGUACUCAGUAAAUGUAUACAUUAAAAAUAUUGCUGGCUUCAAACCUAAAGUUUAAAGCUUUGAGGGUAAUAACAUUCAUUCUGUUUUCUUUGUUGACACUUGUUUCAACAAAGGCCUAAGCAAACUAAUGCUUAGUUGUCUUAGAUUUCUCCAUCCUGUAGCAAUAAUACAAUCAAAAAGACCUUGAUACAUUAGUAAACACUAAACAGAAAAACAAAAACAUUAAUUAUUAAACAUUACCCAUCAGCAGCAUUUCUAAGAUCCCAGCCAGACAAAUUUGCAGCUUCAGUAAGAGCAGCUCUCCACCUCUUCACCUUGUCUUCAUCUUUAUCUUUAUGUUUCUGAUCAAAUGCCUCUGCUAAAGUACCAGUCUGUUUCCUCACAUCUGAAGGAUCAACAUAAUAAAAUAUUGGGAGAACUGUUUGCCUGAGUGUUCUUCUACACUCCAUGAUCUUCACCAGCUCCUCCAGACACCAUCUGGAUUCCGCAUACUUCCUUGAGAAGACGAUGACAGAGAUUUUGGACUGUUGGAUUGCCCGCAUCAGUUCCUCAGCUAUAUUUUCCCCUCUUCUUAGUUCAGUGUCAUCAAGAAAGGUGUUGAUUCCAGCUUCUUUCAAUGUCAUGUAGAGGUUGUCUGUGAAGCCAAGUCGAGUGUCUUCGCCUCUGAAGCUCAAGAACACGUCGUACGUCCAAUGUUUGGAGGAGGGGGAAGACGAUGAAGGGGAGGCUUCAUCAGCUGUCCUGGUGGUAGCCAUUGCUUUCUUUUACUGCAAAACAGAUACCAAUAGGCUCAAGGAAGACAGGGUCAACCUUACAAAUGUGACUUUUGAGAAUCAUAAGCACAAUAAUGCACAUAUAUAUAGAGGGUUGAGCAGUUGGUAUGAUUACUAAAUCACAAUUUCAUAGAAAGAACAGAUGUGUAGCGGGUCAACUAGCAUUGCAUAAUAUUAUAUGAUAUGCAACGAUGCAGAAAAGGAGAUUGAUGCACUAACAGGCUUAACUACGUUCAAAGAAACUUCCUUUUUUUUUUUGGUACAGUACGUUUAGAGCAACUUUGGUACAGCCUAUCUUUUCAAAAGAAAAAUUCAUAUUCAAAUUUCAAAUUAACAUGUCUGAAGAAAGACUCAUUAUUUUCAUUUUUUGUAGAACUACCCACUCCAUUUACUAUCGAUUUCUCCAACUUAUUGAAGCUAAUGUUAUUGGUUUGAUAGCCAUCUGAUCUCAAUGAGAUUUCUUUCGAGACCAUGUUGUACCGUAUUCAAUUUAGUUCAAAUCAAAUUCUGAUGUAUGCUAGUAUCAUUUGUCUGCAGUGAACAUAAAAAUACUGUCAUUCCUUCUAUACAAAACCAUCAGUUUCGAAAGCAUAAUGUACUUAGACUGGGUCUAGCUGAAAUUUACAACAUCACACCAAACAAUAUUGUGCAGUGAGUGAAUUACACUAUCACAAGAUUAAGCAAUGUCUAAUUUAUUCAUUUUUAAAUCCAAAGUCUUCGCUGAGAUGAUCACGCAAGAAAAUAAAACACCUUGAAAGUUUGGAUUAAAGAUUAUUAAAGGAAUGUGCUAAGAAAUUCAGGAUGACAAUCAUCCCUAAUAGAAACUAGAAAUUAAAAAAAAUCAACUCACAGCAACAGUAGAGAAGAUUUCCCAAAAUGAAAAUGAAAACAAUGACAUACCUGAAGCUCCGAUUGUUGCCUGGGUUUGAUUCUCAUAUAAUUGUUAAGCUGACAGAUCAAGGGGAGACAGAACAUGCUAAAAAUCAAGGUCAUGAUAAAAACUUGAAGAACAACCAUGGAAAAUGGUAGAGAGAAAACAAACUGAGCCACUGGGAUUGAUAACAUCAUAAUUGUACAAAAGUUGGUUUUUAGCUUUUUUCUCUAUUUAUACUACUUAGCUAUUAUAAACGUGGACCACAAUUAGGCUUAUCUGUUGUUCAACUGGGCCUUCAUCAUCUUAACAUUUUCAUCAUCUUAACAUCCCCCCUCAAACUAGUGAUUGGGGCAUCAAGAAUAGUGCUGGGCGUUCGGGCCCAAAAAUUCAAAAAAACCGACCCAAAAGCCCAAUCGGGCCCAAUCGGUUCGGUCCAAAAUGGGAGGUGUUCGGUCCGGGUCAUAAACCGGUCCAAAUGCUCUCAGUUCGGUUCGGUUUCGGGUUCGGGCUCGGUCCUGAACCGAAAGCCCGUUCAGGCCCGAUAUACAAAUUUUUGCCACACGUCAUAAUCUUAUUGGUCCUUAUAAUUUUUUUAUUAAAAAAAAAAAAAACCCUAAACUAAAAUACCUGCGCCUCUCUUCUUCCUCUCUUCUCUUAAACUCUCUUCUCUGCGCCUCUCUUCUUCUUCUUCUCUUCUUCCGAUUUUGUUGUCCAACACAACGGUGAUGGAGGGAUGAUGAAUAAGGGAUUAAGGGAUGAUGAAGAAAAAGCUCUAAUUUUCGAUUGUUUGGAGAGUGGAGGCAGAUGAGUUUGAGUUGGGUGAUGUAAAGUUGGGGUUUCUGAGUUUUUCAGCUUCUGGGUUUGAGUAUUCACGCAUUUCAGGUAUAAACCCAACCUGGGUUUUCUAGGUUUCUCUCACUUUCUUUGUUUCCUAUGCUCUUUCUUUGAAUGUUUUCUUACCUUUCUUCGUAAGAAUAUGAAAGUGAUUAUUACCAUGAAUAUGAAAUCGUAUUUUGAAGAUUCAUGGAUUGUUCUUUCUUUGUAAGAAUAUGAAAGUGAUUAUUAAACAUGAAUAUGAAAUCGUAUUUUGAAGAUUCAUGGAUUGUUAUAUAUAUUUAUGUUAUUAUGUUAUCAUCAUAGAGGUGAAUCAUAUGAUGCAUCCUAAACUGUAUAUGUAUACCAUGUAUUGAAACUCUGUAUAUUAUGCAUUAUAUCAAUUGAUUUCUCGAUUUGUCGAUAUUUGGUUAUGCUUCCUCAACUUGUGUCCAUUAUAGCCACCAGUACAUUGUUCUGUUAUAGAUGUGAUCGAUUUUCGGUUCAGCUUCUUCUGAAACUUCAUAUAUAAUCGCUUUUCCAUAGCUAUUGCACUGUGUCACAAGCUUUUGUUAUUAUAUGUUCUCUUUGAUAACCAUGUAAGCCAUCAAUCUGCAUGUAAGCCAUCAAUCUGUUGUUUCAUCUUAUUAAGCAAACACCUAUUCUAUACAGCUCUACAUCAUCUCUGCUCAGUGAUCCUUAUUUUAUUCAAACUACUUGUAAUAGUGUUUUGGUUUAUAUAUACUGACCACUUUAAUUAACAGUUAAUAUUUAAGCUAACAUGGUCAUUCUUAAAAUAUUGGGGAUGAUAUGAUCCUAAUAUAUAUAAUAGGAUGAUAUGAUAUGAUCAAAUUUAAAGUCCAGAAAACAUUGGCUCCUAGGUCUCCAAAAAUUGGGUAUAACCUAUUUUGAGUCUUGAAGUCAGGUUUUCUUUCACUCGUCAGGUUUUCUGUUCCAACUUCUUCCUACAAACCAAAUGGUUAAAUCUUACUCCCCAAAUUUUGUCCUGCUUUAUCUAUUGAUGUUCUGUUUUGCAGAUAUUUAUAGCUUAGCCAUGUGCAAGAGAGAAAUGGUACAUGCCAAGCAUAUGUAUUGUUCCAGCUGAUACUGGCCUUAGAGAAAGCUUCUGGCACAGCAUUUCUAAGUGACAUUGGUUCUUAGCCUGGCUCUUGUUCCAUCUACUUAUUAUCAUGUUGGGUCUUUGGCAGUUGUACUUGGCCUCGGAUUGAUCUAAUGAAUUAGCUUUUUCUGCUGUAAUAGUUUUUAGUUGUACCUAUGUAAUUUCACUAAGUUGGGUUCUGUUGAAUGUUGCUUUAUAUUUGUCUGCAAUAUUGAUGCUUUAUAUUUGAUAUGCAAUGUUUGAUGCUUUGAAUUGGUUUUCUAAAGCUGCAAUGAAGUAAAUGUAUAGUAAAACAAUCAAAUCUUGUUUGGGCCCGAAAAAACAUAAUCGGUCCGGGCCCAAUCGGGCUGAAAAUUUGAAAGGCCCGGCCCGACCCGACCCGAGAUUUUCGGGUUUCGGGUCGGGUUUUCUAAAAACCCGAACCGGCCCGACCCGAGCCCUGCCCUAAUCAAGAACUAGUUUGCAGCAGAGAGAGUAUUGAGCCAAAAGCUUGUAAACAGAGGAGGCCAAUAACUUGUCUCAACCGGGAGGAAUGAGAAACAGUGAUCGCCAUAGCUUCAUAGGAUGAGAGGCUUGAAGAACAACCAUGGAAAAUGGUAGAGAGAAAACAAACUGAGCUACUGGGAUUGAUAACAUCAUAAUUGUACAAAAGUUGGUUUUCAGCUUACUAUUCUAAAAAGAGAUUUUUCUCUAUUUAUACUACUUAGCUAUUAUAAACCUAGACCACAAUUGGGCUUAUCUGUUGUUCAAAUGGGCCUUCAUCAUCUUAACAUUUUCAUCAUCUUAACAGAACACAGGUGGCCGGCGGCUGUUUCGGAAGAAAACAACAGAUUGAAGUACACGUGGAAAGUCAUUGCCAUGUGGCAAAGUGGUGAAAUCCCAUCUUUCGCCAAAAAAAAAACAGAGAUUUUACUCCGAUCAAUGUUGGUAAAAAAUAAAAAGAAACUUAAGUUUGAGCUUUUACAAAAAUCUUACCUUUUAAUUCUCUAUCUUUUUUGUCACGCCCCAAUUUUUAAAAGAUAAAAUUUAAAAAUUUUGGCAUGAUAUAACCUAAAAUAUUAAUAUCCCAAAACCUGUUUCAACAUAAAUCAAGGAAAAUAAACUCAAUGCGUAAUGUAAAUUUACACACAACACCAAAUUGAGUUAAAUUACAAUUCCUUGUUUAUAUAACUUGAGAACAAGAAAAAGAAACUCUCACAUGAGUUUAAUAAAUCCUAUCCCAGUGUAUAUAAAAAUAAUAUACAAUGAACAUCCAAAACCCGACAAAAAACCCUGCCACUAAGCCUCCACCUCAACCCUGCUGAUCCUCACCUGCAGGUCUAACCCCUACACCAAAAAUAGUGCACCGGGUUGUAAACAAUAAACCCGGUAAGCUAAAAAGCUCGUAUGAGUAAACUCAAAAACAACACAACAUUUAAUCACAUCCAAUAUUCACAAGAGAGAUUGGAUCAAUAAUUAAAAACCACACAUCUAACACAUUACCCAAGAAAUGUACUCAUGAGUCCCAGAUAUUUAAAUAAAUACCCCUCAUGACCUACAACAACACUAUGUGUAUCCAUGGGUCCCAGAUACCAUACAGUAUCUCCCAUGACCUACACUGACAGACGGACUAGAGCUCUAUUCCUAACCGCAACUAAUCAUCCGGCCAAAGGCUUGGAACCCGGUUUGACUGUCUAAUAUCAAACACAAAAGUGAUAAAUAGCAUCUUAACCGCAACCAAUCACCCAAAAAGAGCUUGGAACCCGGUUUGGCUAUUUAUCCAACAAUCAUAAUAAAUUUCACAACCUUGUCCUCAACAACACAAUAUCACAAUUAUUAUUCUCAACAACAUAAUGUCACAUCAUUAUCCUCAACAACACAAUAUCACAUCAUAAAUUAAAUCCUUCCUCAUGGAUAUAUUUACAUGAGAAAAAUAUAGAUAUUCCACAAGAAUAAUCUAUCAAUUAUUAAUAAAAUUAUGAUCACAAUGAAUCUCAAAAAUAGCAUAUAAGAAAACUUGUUUUAUCUUACCUAUGAGCCGUUGACGAUCAAGCUCAUAUAUUUUUAAAACAAUUAAAACCUAUGAGCCGUUGACGAUCAAGCUCAUAUAAUUUUAAAACAAUUAAAAGCAUAUUAUUAAAUUCAACAUCAUCAUCAUUAUCAUCAUCACAUGACCCUAAUAAUCAUUCGGUUCAAAAGUGAACCUUAGUGAGAUUUACUCACCUAGAUAGCCCGCUGCGUUUCCGCAAAACAGAAGAGCAAGCCAACUCACAAUUUCACAAAUCACCUAAAAUAACACACAAUUAAAAACCUUAGAAACCAAGGUAUUAAAGGAUAACACAAUACCCUUAAACUAACCCUUAGCUCAAGGGAGGACAACUUCCUAAAGUCGUUGAACUCAACGACACAAUAGAGCUGUCUCAACUCCUUAAAACCUAAACUCUAACCCAACCAAACCAACACCAAUAAACUUAAGUCCUAGCAUGCCAACAUUUCUUAAAAACUAGCCACACUACCACUCAACAAGCUCACAACAGUAAGGACUACCUAACCACAGGAAACUAGGGCUGCAACUCAACCGGACGCGCUGCCACGCGCCGCCACAGGCGGCGGCGAGUGGGCCCCACGCGCCACCCCAAACUUCCGAAUUUGAGAAAACUCCCAACAGCAAAGUUGAAGCUUGAAGCAAGGGGAACAACUUUCAUACCUGAGACUUCAACCAAAAAUUGCCAGAACCGGCCGGAAACCGNNNNNNNNNNNNNNNNNNNNUCGCCGGUUUUCCGGCGGGACAGCAGUAGUUCCGCCGCUUCGUGGCGGCUUCCAGGCGGCGGGACAGCCGGCGGGACUGCUCCAGAAAUGAAGAGGGCUGCUGUGGGAGUCGAAUGGGACCGGUGGCGUCCGGUUUGGUGGCCGGAGGAGGAAGAACUCGGCUGAAGAAGGUGAAGGCUCGGGGAGCUCGAGUGGGAGGAGAGAGAGAGGAGGGAAACUGAUUUUUAGGGUUCUAAUUAAUCCCACACACAUUUUUUCUACUUAUACUCUUUUCAAACCCGAAAACAAACUUCCUCUGAACAUAACUUCUUCAUACGACAUCCGUUUCAGACGUGCCGCAUGUCUACGAACUCGUAUCGACAAGCUCUACAACUUUCACGAAGGAAGUUUUCGAAGAUAACUUACGGAAAAUAAAGUCAACUUUUGGCCUAUUAAAAGUCAAGGCAACUUAAAUAAACUCCCGAAACUUCAACUUCGCAUAAACCCAAGAAUUUUCAUGAAUAAUCCUUCAUUAAAUAAGGGAAUAAUACAAGGAAAAAAAGAUAUGAAAAUCUAGGGUAUUACAUUUUUUAACAUUUUCAUAGUAUAUAAUGGCGACGUUUUUAUCAUGUUUGUGUAAAAGUAAUGGACAUUUUUAUUUAAAACCCUAAAGCUCUCUCUUUCUUCUUUUUGAGUCGGCAACCAACCACAAGUCCCACCCUCGUUCGAUGGCGGUUUAAGACAAGGUGGGCCUUUGAUCGCGCUAACGCUGUAUGACUCUGCUUGCCGGAUGAAGCCGGAUGAAGGAUAUGUCGGCAACCCAUUACUUUGAGAGGUAAUUGACCAAAAGGUUUUAAUAGCUUUUGAUCAACAUGGUUUUUCAUAUCGGGUUAGAGCUCUGCCACUACCUCUAGCCAUGCCGUCUCCUCUGGUCCUACCUCGGCCACUAACCCUGCCUCUCUGAAGAUCCAUCACCUAAGAAGCAAGCAACCUUGGUUAAUAUAUGCAUAAAACUUAAACCAAGGUAUAAGUUUAAUACAAAAGUGUAUUAACCAAGAUUCAAACACAAGGAGGAACACAAUGUUCACCCUAAUAGAGUAAAUCCAUACUCUAACAAACUGAUGUUCCUCCGAACGUUACCUAAGAGCAUCUCCAACAACGUAGUCUUUUGCAAGAUGGUCCAGCGGCGUGGUCUUUUGCCAGAUGGAGAUGCAACGAUAACAAAAAGACUCUUGCAAUUCUCUCCAACCUAAAUGUCAAAUCUAGAUGAAUGACACGUGGUUGACUAUUCUUAAUGUAGCUGUCAAAUUUGACAGUGCCGAUUGAAAUUAUCUUUUCUUUCUUUAUUAUUAUCUCUCUCUCUCUCUUCCUUCUCCCUUUCUCCCUUUCUCUCUUCUUCCUUACAAAUUUCUUUCUCUUUCAUUAUUUGAUAUGCAUCUUAGCAACACUGAAAGAUCAAAUGAUCUCCAUAACCUCAUGUCAUCAUCCAUCAAUUGCUGCACAUAAACCCAUGUCUUUCAAACAGAAAUUAUUCCAAUUGCAAAAAGUCAAAAAUACAUAGAAGAGAAAAAAGAGAGUUGGAGAAGAUGGAGAGAGAUUGUGGCUCAU